Molecule: long non-coding RNA, 106521 nt
Filed under: Citrus sinensis (sweet orange)
Lineage: Eukaryota; Viridiplantae; Streptophyta; Magnoliopsida; Sapindales; Rutaceae
Description: long non-coding RNA (CSIN_LNC001830)
Source: RNAcentral
UGUUAUAUAUAAAAUUAUUUAUUAUUUUAUUUUAUCAUUUAAUAAAUGAAAAUUACAUUUAAUUAAAAUUUAACUAUUAGAAUCUUCAACAUUACAACAACAAAAAAAUUGAUGACCAUUAAUGAGUAUUUGUAAAUACAAACAAGCGAAAAAAGAAUUAUAAAGUUCGUAACUUGUACAAUCAAAACUGUUGAAAUAGUGGACCUCAAAAGAGAUAAAAUUAUAAAAGGGACUUUUGAGUAUAGGAUUUUAUUCCCACAGAGAAAAAGAAUGAACCAAAUUCAAAGAGGGUGCAAAAGUAUAAAAUUAUAAAAAAAAAAUUAGGAUAAAUAAACACCAUUAGAAUGAUUGUUCAGUCUUGGACGGAUUUCUCGCCUAAUUCAUUCAUAUUUAUUUAAACAGCGUCAGAUAAAAUCUAUUCGCCGUGGUGGGGUAUGUACUCUUCAAGUCAUUAGGAAUGCUGAACUGAACCCAGAAUAUUAAUGGGAGGUUUUACACAUAACUCACAACAGAUGAUAAUGAAUUUGUACGAAAGACUAGAAAACCAAUAAUUAUGAAUUUACAAGCAUCACAUUAGCUGGUUGCAACACUAAGUAAUGCCACCCAGAAAGAAAGCAGUUUGGCAACAAUUCUUGAAGCUUGUAUAGUUCUUCUAUUAUAAUUUGGAAGUACAUUAAAGUGAUAAACCUUGAUAGAGAACAUGAAAUUGUUCACUCCACAUGCGAAAGACCACCGCCGCUUUCAGACUUUGUUCUGCACAAGCCAUCAGUUCCGAUAAAUACAAGAAACUAUGUAGUAGCAUAUAAAACAUAACAGGAUUGAACUUCACAAUCAGACUUGAAAUGAUGGACAUUUAAUAAUUGUGCAAAUGCCACACAGAAUGAAAUUAUAAUAUAUAACAAUAGAAUAAAUUUUGAGCAUCAUUUCCUUCUACAAUGGUGAGAUUGAUAAAUAAGUUCAAAAACCCCACUAUCUAUGAAACUAUUCCUACAAGGAUAACCAAAACUUACUUGUGGUCGGAGGGAUUCGGCCUCAGCUCAUAAACAAUUGUUGCCACGACGUCCCUCUUCAACUGUUACUCAAUAGACCAAAAACAAACCAAAUGGGUGUUAGAGGUGCAGGAAGGUAUUAGUUGGAAGCACAAACAUUUCACAGAUUAGAACAAGGAAAAAAAAAAUUAUUAAAACAAAGACAAUAACAAAUUCAUAAAAUUUGAUCUCAGCCAAUAAAUUACCUGGGUGGCUUCCCCUUUUAGGCCAAUGUAGUGUAUCUGAGUUGUGUCACCACCAAAAUUGUCAGGGAAGUGUAAUGUGAUAUUGGCCACACUUUGAAAUUUGGAAUACCUAAAGUAUGCAUUAAUAUGACAUUAAAAACAGUUCGUAACAGAUGAUUUUUUUUUUUGGUGGAAAUACAAUACAACAUCAACCAAACAAUGGUAAGUUGCUAAUAAAUGGGAAGCACCCAAAUUCAGUAGAUUAUGCCUGGUCACAUCAAUUGCUCAUCAUGAAAGUAUGGAUAUGAAGUGUUUGCAAACAAAGCCUCUAUUGCAUGUCAACAAAACUGAGUAGUAAUCAAUAAUUACCUUGUUUGGUAUUCUAACACUCCUUGCAAAUUCUCAACCAAAUCCCAUUCCUUGGAACAAAUGGUACAAAUGUGUCAGAUGAGUUGAAAUGAAGAAUUUGCUAAAAAUGCAAUGAUAAGCCAACAUGAGGCAUACCUGAAUAGCUUGCAUAUCUUGAGCAUCUGAGAAGUCAAUACCCUCUCGAUUGAUGAACCUAUUAAAAAAUGAAAAAAAAAAAAGAAAAAAAAACUCAGGACACCACUUCUUCUUUUAAGAAAUAUAAAAGGUAGAGAAAUAAAAACAAAUUUAAUAUUUGAGUAAUGGCAACAAGGGACUAAGAUUGAGCAUUUUUCGCUCAAUCCGCUAAUCAUCUAAUCCUAACCCAGACUAGACACACACACACACACAAAACCACAAAAAAAAAAAACUAGACUGAGAAUUUUAUGAUAAGCCAAUGAAAAUUCCAUCUAAAAUUUAUAUUUCUAAGAUCAUUUGAUCCCUUCCACUUACUACGAUGAGAAAAAAAAGCUAUUUGAGUUUCUUUCUAAAUUGGAUAGUAUUACAUCUAACAAUUGAUGAAGCAUUAUGACAGCAUACAUAAAAUUCACAAGUUCAAACUCACACUCUCAUCUUCGAAGGACUUGUUCCAUCAGCACCACCAACAAUUGAAAUGCUCUUGAUCUUAACAUCUGUAGUAAAUCUAUCAAAAUCAAGUGGAAGAAGGAUUCUCAAUGAGCCCUUUUAGAACAGAAGAAAUCUUUAGGGAAACAUGUUCUUAAGAAAGAACAAUAUGAAACAAUAAUUUCGAGAGCAUCUUACUAUGAAGAAAAAAUAGAUUGGUUUUAAGAAAAAAUUUAUGCAUAAGAAUUAUAGGUGCAGAAAUGCGGACAUCAAAUUUUGACUUUGUAUACAAAGUUGAGCAAAUAUUAUCUUUUAGACUCAAGAUGGUCUCUGAUUGUUCCUAGUAAGAGACAUUAUCGUUCCACUAAAGGAGAAAAAGUAUGAAUAAAGAUAACAGAAGUCCUUAGUAUUUUAAUCAUAAAUUUCAUUUCAUUCCAUCAAGCUUAUUUAUGAAAUUAGUAAAUUUCAAAAUAUUGCUCAUUUUAACAUCAAUAUAAUACAAAUUAUAAUUAGACAUAUAGAUUGGUGGGAUAUAAAGGGGUUUAGAAAGAACAAAGCCACUUGGGAUAUGAAAAAAUACAAAAUUAAAUACAGCUGGGGACAUGAGUGUAAUGAAAAUUAAUGUCUAUUUCUCUGAACCUUGAGAUCCCAGCUACUGUUUAUUCUUAGAGCAAAAGGUAGCCACUUACGGAAUAUAAACAAGUAACUCUGGAUCACCAUCAUUGCUUUCCAAAUGUUCCUGGGUCCACAAUGAGGAUCACAUAAGCUUUAAGAAGGCAUGUAAUGAAAGACUUGUUUCGAUACAUCAUAAGCAAAAUAUAGCAUGCUAAAUAUUGAUAUUUCCCCCAAAACAUCAUCUUGAUCAACUUGGCUUGCUUGCAGAUUCUAUAGUAACUUUUCUAACAGGGUAAGCGUCUUUUUUCUUUCAGAUGUAAUUUCCAGUUCUAGGUUAGAAACUGGCAAGAUAUUAAUUUGUGUAUUCAUAAAAUUGCAAAGUAGAAUAAUAACGAGGCUGAUAAAUAAGUGAAACAAAUCGCACAAUAAUCAAAAGAAGGCUAUACCUCAGUGGUUUUCCGGUUUGAAAUAGAUAUUAAUCAAAGAGCACUACUCAUAUGAGUAACAAGAAGUAAUGUGUAUCAUGACCAAAUUUAUUUUGCUUUGCAUUCAAAUCUUUUUAUUUGAAGCUUUCUCAUCAUUUCAGAAGAACCUAAUCAAGUGUGCUUAAUCAGGGUAGUUAUCCUAAGCACAGGUUGCAAUAUUAACACUACUUUCACAAGAGAGGCAUACAAGUGAUGCAUACACUUGUUUGCAAGUGAAACCCAAUCUCAGUAGAAUGACACCAAGGGUAAAAGGAAUCAAUUAACAGAAAUCAACUUCCAGUGGUCAGUAAAACAGCUUUUUGCAGCAUAUUUGAGGCACAUCUUCAAAAAUCUUGCAUCCUCAGUAGAACUUCAAAAGAUAACCAGGCAUAAUCAACCACCUUAACAGAAAUGUUUACCUAGCUGUAAUGUGAAAAAGUCACGCCAAUAAAUCGAAAGCAAAUCAAUACUACAUGUAGAAGUCAAUCAAUGUAAUUUUAAUUCAAAAUGGAGACAUAGAACUAGAUUUCAAGUACAAAAGUAUAUGGCUAUGGUGCAAGGAUGAGGACUUUUAGGAGGUCAACCAAACCUUCAAUGAAUGAUUCAAUGAUUGAACAUUUAUAACAUACUUAAAAGUUGGAAAUAGAUUCUGUGCAGCAAGAAAUAUUUUUUCAAUCACAUACAGGCACAUUCACCUGAGAGUACACACCCACAGAUGAGACACGCUUCUUGGAAACAUGCCAAUGUCUAGAUAAAAAAUGAACUACAAAAGAGUAUACAAAUGCAUGAAUUACCCCAGAAGAAUUCAGACGCUGCUCCCAUGCUUUGAAAACUGACUUGACACUCCCUGGAACAGCCUCAUUUAAUGCAGACACCUAGAAAGGCCAUCCAGUACAAAAGAAACGGAAAAAUCAGUGAAAGCAAUUAAAUGAAAUGAACUGAAAAAAGAAAAUAUAAACCAACAACAGCUCAGAAGGAAGUAGCUUCCUGUCGCAAAGCAAACGGGGCAUCCAUUCAAAUGAAGCAGCCCUUCACUCUGGACCUGUAAAGGAACAUAACCCGGCCUAUCUACUGAGUACACCAAAACAUGGUGGGAAAAUUGAUCUUAAAACAGCUCCCUUGCAAUUACCAAGACUUUUUUUUGAAAGCUCACUAAUGUUUUUUCACCUGGGCAAAGGGUAAUGAGAACUAAGGGCAAAGCCAAUUUGACAGCACAGGGGGAGUCUUAAAGUGGAAAAAGUUCUGCACAGCCAAAUUCUAUCGAAUUCAAGCUCUAUCCUGCUUACCCAUAAAGCAAAUCACAACUACAAUUUCCAAAUGAUCCCUUUCUCAUUUUAUCAUGCAACUGGCAUACAAAGAUGCGAGAAUCCAGAUAAUUACACAAAACCACAGCAUGCGCACCUCGUCAUCCAAAAUUUUAACCAAACCUGACUGACCCCCAAAAUACAAACAAAUAACAGGAAAAGUGAACACAAAUGCAGUUUAUCAAGCAACCACGCCUUUUACACAUUUAUUUCUCCGGCUAUUUCAUAUAUAUCGAGUGUGAAAAGAUAGAAAUUAACCUUGGAAAGAUCUAUAUGUUUGUAGAGAGACCAAUCAGAAGAGCAAUCGUGAUCUUCACAGCUAUGAUCGUGCAAACACGCCAUCCCCUUCCGCCUCUAAACCCGGUUACCGCCACAACACACACGACUAUGUGCGAGCUACAGCCUACAACCACGAGUUAAUCUGAUAUGACUAAAAUACCCCGGAACACAAAGGGAACAAAACUCCUCUUCUUUCUAAUAAUAUCAAGGGUAUUUUCGUCGCACUAUAUUUUUUCCACUUUGAAAACUAAAACGGUGCCGUAUUGUUGUAGUCUUUUUGUGCCACGACGUCGUUUCUAGUUUCUGAUGCAGCAAUUCAUGCGGAUUCAAACGCAGCGUGUGCGCUAUCUGUGUCUCCAACGAAGCUGAAUCAUCACUGUGUCUGUAGAAGAGAAAUCGAUGGAGGGAAUAGAGGGAGAAAGCUCAGGAGCAGGGCGAUUCACGUUGCCGCCAAUGCGCAUAAGCAACGAAGACAUAAUAUUUUGUGUAGAUGUGGACGCCGAAUCGCUAGUGGAAAUGAAAUCAACUGGCUUCAAUGGGAAACCAAUCACCAGACUGGAUGCUAUGAAGCAAGCGAUCCUCCUCUUCGUUAACUCCAAGCUCUCUAUCAACCCCGAUCACCGUUUCGCUUUUGUCACUCUCGCCAAAACCGCUUCCUGGGUACUCUCUCUUUUUCCCCUUUUCAUUUUUCAGUUGAAAUUCUGAACGACGUGUCGUACAUCCGUGGGUCCUGCUAUUCUUGUGAUUAAUUGAAAAAAGAAAUAGUCAAAUUUGAGAAUAAAGUAAAGAAUUUUCUUCAAUGCAGUUAAUGUAUUUCCAAAUCAUUGCAACUGAAGCACGUAAUUCUAUUACAAAUUUACGAACAUAUUGCUUGUAACUCAAGUUGGAAUACGUAGUCUGUAUACAAACUUUGUAAGAGUAGCACUACUUGUAUAUUUAUGCGAGCCAUUUUAAUGUGAACAAAAUGUUGCAUGAGUCAUUGUCAAUUCUUUUGCUCUUUUGUUGAAAUUAAGAAUUUGAUGUGUGUUUGAUAUGUUGUAGCUUCGGAAAGAGUUCAGCAGUGACAUAGAGUCUACUUUGACUGCAGUCCGGGGGAUUUCAGCUACUUCUGCCUGUGGUCAGGCAGAUCUCACCCAUCUCUUCAAGUUAGCAUCUCAUGAAGCAAAGAAAUCUCGUGCACAGAACCGGAUUCUCCGUGUGGUAAGAUUUAGUCAGUUCAUCUCACUCUGCUUAACAUGUGCUUAUGCAUUUUCUAGCUGAAUAUACAAAAUGUUUUAUCCGUUUAUCUUGUUGUCUUAUUUAAAUUUGCUAUUAGUUAAAUAGUCAAUCAGUGUGAUUACCACAACUUGCUGCAUCUUCACAAAAAUCAUAUAAUCUCUUUGUUAAAUUUACUGGCACUUCCAGAGUUUUGACAAGUAUUUGAAGCUUUUUUUUUUUUUUUUAAUUUCAUCAAAGCAUUUCCAUCUUGUUUCAACUUCAUUCUGGAUUGAGGUCAUAAUAAGAAGUUAUGAAGUUGUGAACUGCAACGCAACAUGAGAUCUGAUAUUCUGCUCUAUGUAGAUUCUUAUAUACUGCAGAUCAUCUGUAAGACCACAACAUCAAUGGCCUGUGAACCAGAAACUCUUCACUAUGGAUGUAUUGUACCUUCAUGACAAGCCUGGACCUGACAAUUGCCCCCAGAAGGUCUAUGAUGCUCUUGUUGAUGCCCUUGAACACGUCUCUGAGAAUGAGGGCUACAUCUUUGAGAGCGGGCAGGGGUUAGCUCGUAUCCUCUUCCGGCAAAUGUGUGUGCUGUUAUCACAUCCCCAACAACGGUGUGUGCAGGAUGAUGUUGACAUACCCAAGUCUCUUGUAAAGAAGUCACCUGCAGCUGACACAACAAAUGGUGAAGAUACUGUUCCUGUAACAUCCAGCCAGUGAAAAAGUCAACAACCUGAUUGGUUAGUUCAUUUUGCCUCUGAGCAAUCAGUUCUGUUUUCGCUUUUAUGCUUUUAGGUGGUGUAUUACUUAUUGCAUAAAAAUGCUUACCCUCUUUGGCCUUCUCCCAUCUUUCUUGUACAAAUUGUGUAUCCUUCAUGAGACUGAAUGGAUUAUUGAAUAUGAAAUGUUCAGUAUCAGAUUUUGGAUUUUUUUUUCUUAAUUUUCCCGUUACAACACAUUGCAACCUUGCCGUUUAUUGUGAAGUCUUGUGGACUGGACAAGUGCUUGUCUCGUUUUCUGAGCUUAUUGUUGGUUUCAUUGGAUAAGUAUUAUGCUUAUAAUGUGAUAGAAACUUUUAAGCAAUUAGAAAAGAAAACCAAUCUAGAUGAAGUUGCUAUUAUUGAAGUAAGGUUGAAUACUCAUUCCAAACCACCAGGAACAUGAGUGAAGUGUACGGGAAUAGAAGCAUGUGAAUUGAAUUGUUGAAGUUCAUUGUAUUGGGAUUAAAUAAAUUUGUUUAUUGAAGUGUGAUUAUAGAAAUAGGUCUGAAGGAUGACAGAGAUUAGGAUUGUGAUGAUCCUUGUCACCAUCAUAAUCAUCUUGUCCUCACCAAGCACAUGCCAUAGACACUGUCCACCUGAUUCUGGAUAAACUUUGAGUCGGCUCUUCAUAGAUUCUUGCCUGUGAGGCCAUCUUUUCUUGUUCUGGCAAAUGUAACAAUGCGAUUUAUUGUAUGAAUAUUAUCAUACGUGGGAUAACUUAUCCUCAUAAAGAAAAGGAAUCCUGUAGAUUCAAAGAAGUUUUAGAAAAAUAAGAACAAUAAUAGUCAAUGGCUUCUAGCAGUACCAACAGCCAUCCAAAUUAUGUCAACUCAAUAUUUUAAUCUCUCACCUACCAUGAAGUCUGACGGCAACAUAUGUGUUAAUUACCACUAACAAUAGGCAUUUCUAUACUGUCAAACAAUUGUUUGUCCGACACAAAGCACCAUGAUUGUGCUUUGAGUGCACUGAUAAAAGCCAUAGCAAGAGCAGCUCUUUGGGAAUUUGCAAGGUUUCAUUGGCAUGUGGUGAGAUUCAGAGAGCAACUGAGGCCACCGCACUCCAAAAGACAUGUUAAAGAAAGAUUGGGUCUAUAAUUCGGUCUAGUACGUCACAUGCACAAUCAAAUUAAUUGAAGGCCUAAUGAACUCAUUGGCGAGAUUGUUGGUAAUUUUCACUUUGAAUUGAAGAUUGAUCAAUAACUUUAAGAACCUGUACACAAACAGGGAAAAAGAGAGAGAGAGAGAGAGAGAGAGAACGGAAUGAACCUCUAAACAAAUAAAAAAUAACAUUUCUGGGUGAAGUUCAAUUCAUAAUAAAUUUCACUGUUAUCCAAAGUUCCAAUCAUUUGGAACCUCCCCCAAUCCCCAUCAGACUCAUGCUUUGAAGGGCUCAGGGUUCUUUUCUUUUCUCAUUCUUACAAACUGUAUGUGUUUUUAUUGUUAUCAAUAUCAAUAUCCAUGGGAUCAAUAAUUGAUACUAAAGAAAAAGAAUCGGGCAGAUUCAAAGAAAUUUACUUUAGAAGAAUAAAAAUCUAAGAAUAGUUAAUUGCAUAGUCAAUGGUUCCCUUGCUGACCAAAAGCCAUACAAAUUGGCAACAUAUCUCUUCAACCCAAUUGCUUGAAAUUUCUCCAUUCACAUUCAUUUAAAUAUGCAUUAAUUCCUUUGAAAAAUUAUAAGAUAUCAAUUGAUUAAAAUAUCUUGUAAAGGUCGGCAAGAUUCGUAUAACAUUACAAGCCAGGUGGGUGCUGAGAAAGUUUUGAUGAUAUUGAUAAGAGCAAAUACUUCUUAAAACGCAUUCAAUUUUGAUUGAAUCCAUUAUCAACUCAUAACAAGAUUAUAAUAUAAAAUCUUUCAAUUAUAUUAAAUUCGAAAGUUCAACACUCUUGCCCUUUCCUUCGUGGCUAAAGUUUUUUCACUUUAAAUAAGAAAUUAAUCAAACUUAUCUGACUAAUUUUUUUUUUGUAAUAAUCUAACUUUAUAUACCACUUGCUCGAAUCAUGCAGGGUUUGUUUUUUGGGCCAAUGGCUCGAUCGGGAAGACUCAAAUACCCACAAGAUUGGGAAUCGACCCCCUCCUUAACAAUCCAUCUAAAUAAUUUAUUUGAGAACAAAGUCAACGGAAUCGUGAUGAGGACCCAACUUGUGAAAAAAAAAAUUCCACAAUUUAAAUGGUCAGGAUCAUCUGAUCAAAUCUCAUCUGUAUAUGAAAGAUAUAUAUACUAAUUUUGCUCACCCAUAAAUAACAGUGUGCUUCGGUCCUGCUAAUUUGCGCAUGCUUGCGUUAAUUAUUAUAAACCAUAAUUACAACCUAUACGCCUAGAUCAUAUAUUUAAUUGCUUAAAGUAUUCUUUUUAGUGGUCACCAAUUAUAUAUAAUCUCUUUAUUUUCGGGGGAAAAGAACUAUAUUAAUAUAAUCUCUUUUGAUAGAUUUACCAAACUCAACGGAUUCCAAUGGCCUGGGAUCAAAUCUACUUUAAUUUAUCCAAAAAUGUGCUCCCACGACUCUUGUUGCUUUUUUUUUUUUUUAAUUACAUGUGAUUUUUGCUCAAUAGUACAAUUCCUAUUACAUAAGAUUACAACUGAUAUUUAUAAAUUAGACUACUACUGAGACUAAUUUACAUCAAUUAUUAUAAAGCACCGUCCAAAUUUUUACCCUCUCUAAUAUUCAAGGAACGUAUACUCAACUCACGUUUCGAAAAUAAGAAAAUUAUUUUCACUCAAAUUGAAAAAAAAAAUUAAACCCUUAUAAUUCAUGACCUCACAAUUGUGAGGUUACGUUUUCUAACCACUAGGCUUUAGCCUAGUAGCUUAGACUCUUCUUGCUUUUAAUAUUUGGAAGCGACCAAAAAUCAAUUUUACAUUUUGCAUGAUAAAGCCAUCUAAUAUCUUGUGCUAUUUGCUAAAACAUGAUUGAUAUCGGUCACGUAUUUAGAAAAUUAUAUCUACAUGUAUAAUUUACUGUCGACAUAUCUGUGUGAAUAUUUAAGUAAUUUUUAAUAUAAAUUUUGAAUUUAAAUUAUGUUAAUGUAUUUUAAAAUCAAAGUUUAAUGUAUUUACUUGGUGCAAUAGGAGCAAAUUUAUAAUUUAAUUUUAACUUAAUUAGAAAGAAAAUAUCUUAUGUGAUUGUUGGGUUAGUAGCAGACUACACAAUAAAAAUAAAUUAAAUAAUAUAAAAUAACAAUAAUAAUAUGAGUUCAGCUAUGUUGGUUAUGCUCUAACUUAAAGCAUCCAUUGCAGUCAUUGAAUCUAAAGUUGAAACAAAAAAUACUCAUUUUAUCUUUAGAUUCAAUGCAUUCGUGAACUUAAAGCAUCUCCAACAUAACAAAUCAGUUAAUAACUAACUAGAUGUGAGUUGUGUAUGAUGCAGCAGCAUUACAUCAAAUCAGUUAAUAACUAACCAGAUGUCCCAGAAUGCCAACACUUUUACUGAGAAAUAUGAAGUUUGCACGAGGAAAAAGUAAGCAAUUCGGUGCACGCGUAAAGCUAGAGCCGGCUCAGUAGAAGUGCUUUUAAGAUACUACUCUAGUCUAAACUUAUGAGUAGGGAACACCUCAUUUGCCUCUUUAAGUGAAUCUUGGGGUAGUCUUAACACUAAAAUAAUGCACGAACAUUAAAAAACCAAUGAAUCUAUAUAUUAUUAUUGAACAAAGAGUGUGCUUUCAGCUCGUUGGGAGCCACUCACACAUUUUUAUAUUUACAAUUAUUAUCUUUGCUAACAUGCGCUUUCUUUUUGUCCUUAAAAUCCAUGUUGCAGAAGACUAUUUUCAGUCAUAUUAGUUUUACGAGUUCAAGUGGAGAGGGUAAGAAAGAAAAAAAAAAAAAAUUGUACCAUUUUGAGAAAUGGGAAUCUGCGUAUCCACUGCAUCUUCAGAGAUUCACGAUCAAGUUGACAACGGCCAAGAAAAUGUUAUAUUUGUUGAAGGAAAUAUUGUUUCUCAUGGAGUUAAGAAACUUUGUUCCCUUUAUUCUAAGCAAGGAAGCAAAGGCCUUAAUCAAGAUGCAGGCAUUCUUUGCCAGGUUUGUACAAGUUGUUUCUUUCUUCGAGUUUUGUGCUUUACUGCUUUUGGGGUGUUUAUUAAAACUCGGAAACUUUUUGUUUGUUUAAAAGGGCUAUGGAACGGAAGAUGGAGAAUUCUGCGGAGUCUUUGAUGGGCAUGGAAAGCAUGGUCACGUUGUGAGUGAGCUUGUGAGAAAUCGGUUGCCAUCACUCAUACUAAGCCAAAAGAAUGCUCUUUCAAAUAGUAACGUUAAAGCAAAUGGAGAAGUGAUGAUGCCAAGCAUUGACUUUUAUAAAUGGCAAGAGGCUUGUGUUAAGGCCUUUAAGGUUAUGGACAAAGAAGUUAAGCUUCAAGAAAAUUUGGAUUGCUUUUGCAGUGGAACCACUGCUGUCGUCGUCAUAAGACAGGUAUUAAACCAAGUGAUUCUGUAAACAAACAAUGAAAUCAUUUCUUGCAAUUGUUUUCAGCUUUGGAUGUUAAAGAGUUCUAUUCAUUGUAAUCCAAGCAGGGUGAAGAUCUUGUCAUAGCUAAUCUUGGCGACUCGAGGGCUGUGCUAGGGACAGUUUCCGAUAACGGGGAACUCAAGGCUGUUCAAUUGACAACAGAUUUGAAGCCUAGCUUGCCCAGUAAGAAACUAAGAACCCUCUCGCUUUUCGCAUUCAAAAGUAUAAUGAGGUGAUGGGAAUGUUUAGUUGAAUUUGUUUGUGGUGAUUGACAAGCAUCUGUAAUGUAUAGGUGAGGCAGAGAGAAUAAAGCAAUGCCGUGGCCGAGUACUUGCAUUAAAGGAAGAGCCACACAUCCAGCGAGUGUGGCUGCCUCAUGAAGACACGCCAGGCCUUGCAAUGUCUCGAGCUUUUGGUGACUUCCUACUCAAAAAUCAUGGCAUAAUUGCAAUCCCUGAUGUUUCUUAUCGCCGCCUAACAUCUAAUGACCAGUUUAUACUUCUCGCAACCGAUGGGGUAAGUAUUUCGGAUUUCAACUGCUUGCAUCCCGUACUCUUUAUUCAGUUAAUAGAUGUUGCUGAUGGUGCUUAUUGCUUUUGUGUACACAGGUUUUGGAUGUGCUUAGCAGCAACCAAGUUGCAACAAUUGUUUGGGAGGCAGAUAACAAGCAGGAGGCCGCGAGAAAGGUGGUUGAGGCGGCAAACGCUGCAUGGAAAAAGAAAUUUCCAUCUUCAAAGAUGGAUGAUUGCACUGUGGUUUGCCUCUUCCUUCAAAAGAGGUGAUCAAGGCGUUAAACAAUUUGUGCAAAUGUUUCUCUGUAAUUCCUUGCUGCAGCAGAAGUCAAUCCUCCUGUGACUCUCUGUUCUGUUUCAUUUUGAAGCCUCAAUAUUCAACAUUGUCUGAGAAAAGGAUCACAAACAGCUGGUGCUUUGGUUGAUGAACCACUGUAAUCGAAGGAUAGGAAUACAAGGCUUCCAGUUUGUACAAAACAAUAAAUAAUUCAAUAAAACAAAAAUGGCCUCUCCAACACUUGCAAUAACAAGCUCUUAAUACAAAAUGAUAAGAGCAUUCUCUAUCCAAGAGUUACAUACCAAAAGCCUCCAUUGUCAUGGAAGAAAUCAUAUUAGCCAACAAUAAUCACUCUUUAAAACUAUUACUCUCAAUUCUCUCUUCUAAGACGGCGUGAAAAUUUUGUUCUGUUGCCUCUAUAUCCAUAUCUGUACCACCGCAUGUUAAAAAUUAGAAACAAGGCAUGACGGAUUUCCCAAGAAUCAAAUGGAAUCAUUCUUGGGAUCCUCUGCUAGCAGAUCAUCGUAUGAAACAGGUACCCUGAUCCUAUCAUGAACAGAUUUAGGUUUUCCUUCAGCACCAGACUUUCCAUCUUGAUCUUGAGGAACAGACUGAGAACCACCACCUAGAAUGCUGACUGAGGUUCCAUCAGUGGGUGCACCAACAGUUCUUUGUGUGGAAGCCUCUUUAAUUUGCUCUGGAGCAUGCCGGUUGUUUUGCUCUGGCACCUGUCUGUUGUUUUGUUGCCUAAAUUGCUUCUGCAAAAAUAAGAAAGAAAAUUGUAAUUUUGGAAUUAAAAAUUUAGCACCCUAGGAAGUUCAGAUACUGUACACAAACUCCCCAUACAAACUUCACCACUGCUAUAGCAAUGCCACUUCACUGUCGGAGUAAAAAAAAAGGAAGAGAGAAGCCAGAAAUUCUGCACAUACGAAACCAUAUCCAGGUCGAAAAAACGUCAUCCAAUUUUAACAGCUAAAUCCCCUGUUGUGGUGUAAGUGGACCACAGAAUAGGGGAAGCUAAUAAUAAAGGCAGAUUAAAAACAAAAAGCAGAGCAUGUUGGCAAAUGAGAAAAGAUUUUGAAGCAAAUCAUCACGCUUCUUUUUGUUUGAGUUUGCUUUCUUUCUCUUCCUUAGAGUCUGUGUGAGAUCACACACAAUUAGAACCAGGGCAGUUUGAGAUUUAUAGAACCAAACCCUAAUUGCCAUUUUUUUUUACAUUUCUCAUUACUCUCCAAUGAACACACCAAGGACGAUCUAAUACCUUUAAACAUAGGUAUGAAAAGAAAAGUAGCAUCUAAAUAACCAACUAAAACAGUAUUUACUGCAUAAAUUUCACACACACCUCAAAUUCCUUUGUCUUCUUUAUUAUCUCCUUGUAGGCCCCUGGUGCUCGUGCUUUAAUGAUGUUCCACAACACGCCGCCACCUGUCCGAAAACGUCUGCUAUCAGCAGUCAUCUGACCUCCACAUGCCUGAAUUGCCUCCACCUGAAAAUUAAAAUUUCAUCAUACAAUCCCAAUGGCAAAGCAAUGUUUACCCCAAAAACAAAACCCCAAAAAAAAGAAAGAAAAAAAGUCAGCCUAAAAGAAAUGAAAAUUUUCUAAUGACAGACAAUAAUAUCCAUAAUAAACCAAAUGUGGAAGUAGUACAAGAUUAAAAAUACAUAUAUAAAUGUAUACAAGCAAAGACCACAUUCCAUAGCACAAAUUCUCCAACAUAAACUCCAUAUCUCCAUGUAUGUACCUACAAGCAGUAGUUACAUAGAUCACGGUAUGUAUGCUUCCCACAACUAACACACUUCCACUCCCAACAGCAAGUUAAAAUAGCUUUAUAACUCCCAAAUUUCAGUCAACAUUUUCUAAUCAAACUAAAACCAUGGUCAAACGGCUAGUUUAUAAUCUAUGCUUUAUCUUCUGGCGCAAAAUACUUGAUGGAUAUGAAAGUUUCUUUAAAUAUAAUAAAAAGAUGAUGUAUAAUAAAGCAAGGGAGAAAAAGGCUUUCAUUUGAUAUUAAAGCCUGACAAUGAAGACCCUAAAACCAAGGAAAUUACAUAUCACUAGUAAAUAAGGGAACUUUAGCUUACACAAGCAGUGUAUAUGAAACAGAGACCUAAAACAGUACUUAUUUCCAACACUCACAUCAAAAUUUGAAUUCAUUGAAACAAAAGAUAUGAACUAACGUUUGCUCUAAAAAUUUGAAAAAUCCCCCCCCCCCCAAAAAAAAACAACAUAUCUUCAUUCAUCGGUAGCAUUUCUACUUAGAUUUUUAACAUAAAUCUAUGUAGAUCUAGGUAUUUCCAUGCACAAUGUUUGAAAAACUUGAAGGAAAAAUUAUAACAACCUACACAAAAAGUAAACGAUGAAUAGGUUCAGCCAUUGUAUAUCUCAGUUCAGAGCACAUAAUUUGAGCAGCAAAAUGGCUUCUGCCAGAAAGAUCUGCAAGGGUAUUGAAACAAUAUAGAGCAUCAGACAUCAAGAAUGGUAGAAUGGCUUUAAAUAGAGUGGAUAUAUAUUUCAGCUCUGGGCUGGUCCAAAUCCAACUACAACCCAGAUUCUCACCUUUCCUAAAAAAGACUCAAACAAAUCUUACUUUUGCAGAGACUUGAGUGGUUGAUUUCUAAACAUUACCAAUUGAAUUCGCGAAGUGGAGAAACUUCAGGAGAUAAGGUUACAUCAUUCCCAGAAGUAUUCAAAACUAACAUCACAGAUUCAGGACCAACAUCAGCAUAAUGCUGAAAGUUGUUUAAUGAAGUAAUUGGUACACAACAAGAUCUCAGCUCAAAGGUAUGAUUUUGGAUAAUAAUAUUACAACACACUCAUUCUAACACAAAAAGAUGCACAAGUAUAUCCAAAAAUAGGAGAUACUCGCACAAAGAUCACCAAAAACAAUAAACACCAAGUACUGCAUAGAUUUGGUGAAGAAAAUGGAGACAGCGGGAAACCUUUAAGUAAUCCAUGUACAAGUCCAGGGAUGCACAAUUAAUUUAUAAGCAUCAUAAUCAUAAUAAGUAAUAUCACUUUUAGUUUUAUAAUUCUUGUGAAAAGCAAAAUUAGGUAGAAGUAAAGGGAGAACAGUACCUCCUUAACGAGAUCACUUAGUGCAGGAAUGCCAAGACAACCAACAGCUGUGUAUACCAUGUAAGAUUUCUUCUCUUUUAGCCGCUUACAUGUGUCUGAAACAAACCUGAGAACAAUAAGUACUAGAUCAUCAGAACCACAAAAUGAACUCCUACAACCAAUUGUCCAACUGAGUGAUAUACGUAAGAGUAAGAAUAUAACCUGUUUACAUCAGUAACAUUUGGGCCAGGACCACUCCUCUUUUUCUUAUUCUUCUUCUUAUUUGCCCUCCGCCUGCGGUUUUUACUUUGUGAACCCUGAUUUCCUGCACUGACAUCCCCACUGCUGCUCUGCUCCACAUUGGUUUGUGAGCUUGAAUUAUGCUCCACAAGCUCUCCUUCCUCUACAUCAAGCAUCUCAACAUCUUCGCCAUCUUCUAAGUUAUCUUCACUAUCUUCAUAUAUUACUCCUAAAAUGCUCUCUCCUUCAUCCAUGUGAGUCCUAAAACUACAAAAGUAAAAUAAACAAUGAUUUAGAAAGGAACCACACCGACAAAUUAUAUUAACUUUGAAAUCGAAUACUGAUUAGGAUUACAGUUUCCUUAUCAUUGUUUUCCCCCUUAGCCCACUUCAUACCACGAACACAACUCACAACUAAGCCGCCACAAACAAACUUUAUAUUAAAUUAUUUGAAAUUAAAAAAAGGACAUAAAUGCAACUAAAAAAAAUCUGAAAAAUGGUGAAAAUCCUAGUGAUAGAAAUUCUUAAGCUCAAGUCAAAAAUACUGCUGUACGGCCAUUUUUUUUUUUUUUUUUGUGGUGACAGUAAUUAGUUAAUCGCCUAAAGAAUAAGAAACCAAAAAUCCUACAGAAAAAAAAAAAAAAAAUCGCAAGAACAAAGUUCACAAUAUAACUCAAAACCCUAGUAAUUGUCAUGUUAAACUUCAAAACUCCCCUGUACCAUGCAAUCAGUUACCUGACAAUCGUAGAUUGAAAACCUCAAACUAAAACCUUAAUUAGAAAAGUGAACAAGCAAGCAUGAAAUGUAUCUUUUAGAAUUCUAAUAGUAUAAUAGGCACUCUUGAGAAACAACAAAUAGGCGGUGAGUUGAGCUCAUGUUCACAUUCAUCUACGAGGAAAGAGGCCAUGAGCCACGAGUAGGGGUGGGAAGAUCGGGUUUCAGUUAGUGUUUUUCGGGUUUCGGCUUGGGUUACAAUCCGUUGGGGUUGGAAAAUUCAAUCCAAUCGGGUUCAAAACCCAAACACUGAAUUCGAUUUUCGGAUAGAAUUGGAUUAAAAAUUCAGGUCUUCAUUUAGAUUGGGGUUACAAUUCGGGUUACAACCUAAAAUUCCAUAUUCAUUUUCAAAUGAAUCAAAUCCCAACCACCUAAAAUUCGAAAUUCAGUUUCAUAUGAAUCAAAUUCUAGCCCAGAUCAACUGCAAAGGUUGUUGCUUGUCGAUGGAAGAAGAUAUUAGAAAGGUAAAUAAAUAAGAGAAACUCAUAACAGUUGUUAUUUUUGACUUAUUAUUGAUGAUGGCUAACACCUUCCCAACAAACCCAUUUCUUUAAGAAUACCACGACACAGAUUAUGGAAUCAAAAGAGUAAACAACCAAAUUACAGUAUUUAAAUAGCCAUCACCAUUGCAGUAUUUAAAUAACCAUCACCCAAAUUACAGUAAACAACCAUGAAUAAUAGCACCCAAAGUCCCAAAUUACACAAAAAAAAAAAAAAUCUUACCUUUUGCGGCUGACGACGGCGAACGAAGACGGAGGCAGUGACUGGCGACGGUAGAGACGACAGUUUCAGCUUUCGGCUGACCAACGAUUGAGGCAGCACCGGCGCAACUGAAAGGAGGUAACAGUGGCUGCAGCGUGGCGUGGGUGGUUGUCAGCUAAGGGUUAGCGGUUGCGCUAGGGAGAGGAAGAUUACGUGUUUUUUAUUAUGCGUUUUAUACCACUUUUGACUUUUGUUUUUUGUUUUUUUUAAACGGCAAACCCGAUCGGGUUUUUUUUUUAUUCGGGUUGAAACCGAACCGAAAAGAAAACUGAUCGGUUCCAAAUUAUUCUCGGGGAAUGAGAAUAGAGUUAGACUAUUAACACUCCUCCAAAAUUCUUUUAAAGCCGCUUUUUCAGUUAUACUAAAUUUAUUACUAAAAUUACUCUUAUUUCUAAAUAAAUAUAUUUAAUUUGUGAAUUUGUAAAUUUUUUAUUUUUUUUGCUCCUCACAAAUAAUUUUUAUCGGUGAUAAACUUCUUGACAAAAAUCAAUGAAUUAAAUAAAUUAUCUCUAAAAUUAUGAUGUAAAAAGUUUUUGUACGAGUCUAAAAAAAGUCAGAUAAUUUUAUCAAAAUGUGUUUUGUUUAUUAUCAAUAGAUUGUUGUAUUAAUUGAAGAAAAAUUUAUAGAGAAUUUAAGAAAAAAAAUUACAUGUGCGAGUGUGAUAGUAGAGAAAAUAUAAGAAUUUUUUUUAAAGAGAAAAAAUAUAAAAAUUUAAAGUGAGAUAAAAUAGACGUGAGAUAUAUUAAAGUGUUUGUCUUGAAAUAUGAUUGUAAUAAAAGAGGGUUUGAAAAGGAUUAUGGAGGGGCGCCAAUAGUCCAACUCAUGAGGAUAUCCCUGGGCUCGUUUUGUUUUAGCCAACCCAAUUAAUAAAAAAUCCAAGCUUCGGCUAAAAACUUGGGCUGGACCAGAAACAGACGUGAGAUAACCAACCCAAGUAAUUACCAGUUCCUUUUAGACCCCGUUUGCUAUAAUAUAUAUAGUUUAUUAAAAUUGGGUAUAAAAUUGGUGUAAAAUAGAUUCAAAUUUAUCUCAAAUUAAGCACUCUGAUAUUAUAAUUAAGAAAAUCCAGAAUAAUAAAAGUGGAGCCUAAAUAUUUGGAUAAGAAAAGAUGAGCUUGCGCUGGGGCCUCAAACUCAAGGAUCAACAUGGCGUCAAUUUCCUAUUGGAAUAGGUCUUUCAAGUUUUAACACCCCUUUAAAUUUUUUAUAAAACCCUUUUUUUCUCUAUCGAAAUGAUUUAAAUAACUAAAAUUAAUUUUUUUUUUCGGGAAAGAAAAAUUCUUCUUUUAACAAAAUUUUUACACCCAUCCUAUUUCAUAAAUUAUAAUUAUAUUUCCAAAUUUUAAUAAAAGAUUAUUUUAUUGAAAAACUUAUAAGAGUUCAAAGUUAUGGAGAUAAAAAUUAUAUAAUAAAAUUAAAAUAAUUUUAAAUUAUAUAUUUUAAAAAAAUUAUAAAAUGAAAACAUAAAAGAAAGAUCCUUUUCUAAGGUAAUAUUUUAUAGCAAAAUGUUAAUUUUAAUCUACAGGUAUAUAUUUUAUCAAUCAAACUAGUGGUAUUUUAGGAAUAAAAUUAUAAAAAUAAAAAUCGUUGUUGUAAGGAUUUUAGUUUUUAGAGUGAUGUAAAAGCUCCACUCUUUCGUAUCACGCAAGUGUCAGUACACAGACAGCCACAGAUUUCAAGCGGACGACGAUAGAUAGGAUAAGGCACAAAAUAAAUACAAGCGAAAAAUGUUAAGAACGAAUAAAUAAAUAUCUUUAGAAAAGGAAAGUGGGUGGAUCUCCCACGAUUCUUGCUGUUAAAUAAUGUUAAAUUCUUGAAUCUGACAUUAGAGAUUCAGGUUGGAUUCCUGCUCCUGGGGGCCCAAUUAUUCUAUGCCACUACAUCAUGAAACUGACAACUACAAUGACUUUCAUUAUCUUUAAUGCGUCAGAAUUGCCGUGCGUGGCAAGUGGCCAAUAGCAGCAUGACAGUGGCCGCUGCCCAAUUGCAAUUAUUUUCAGCGUUUGCAAAUGCCUACGAGGCUGCGAGGUUGAUUCCCCGUGAGCUUGAAAACGAAAACACCCCAGGCUGCGGGCUGCGGCUGCUAAUUAUGACUGCUUUGUGUCUUUUUUUUUUCCUCUUCUCAAUUAUUAUAAAAAACAACAAUCAUCCGAUAAAACAGCAAAUGCAUCUUCCCGGGACCCAGUCCGAAAUUCAGAAUCUUUUGAGAUGAAACUAAAAUUGUUGCGUUGAAGCACGGCUCCUCUUUCACUUCCUCCAAUAAUUCCGCAGUACACGCCACUCAGGCACUGGCGGUAGUGGCGGUUGGUGGGCUCGUCUCACACUCUCAGUGAAAAGUUAGAGGUCACAAGCAGAUUCAUGUUGCGCGCGGAAGGGAAGGGAAGGUUAGCCAGUCGACGCCACAAUAAAUUUGAGUAACCAUUUAUGCUGCACUACACGUAUAUCUAUUUAAAUUCUGAAUAAAUUUUUAAAUUGUAAUAUUUAUAGUAUGGUAAUCGAUCAUAAAAAAAAAAAGAAAAAAGAUAAAAAUCGUACGUAAACUACGCAAUAGUCCGAAAUUGAACAGCACAUGGCUUGUCACUGUGUUUCGAGGCUUAUUAAUAACCUGUACGUGUCCUUACUGGCAAGUGGCAACCUAGGCGUUCGUGUGCGCUGCUUUCGGUGGCCCAAAACCGAAAGAUAGAUGAUGUUGAUUUCUGUGAAAGAGGACUUGAAAUGAAACCAACCAAUGUGGAAAACUUUAUCACGGCAAAUAUUUGGAAUCCACAAUGGUCAAAUCUACUGUUAUCUAUCUAUAUAUAUUUGGACCGAGGGCUACAAGGUGAUUCUCAAGCAAGAUUGAUUUUUUAUUUUUAUUUUUUAUUGAACAGUCUUGAGCUUAAGGCAUGGAUAUUUUUUACAGUCUAAAUAUCACUCGGGUAGGAAACUUAAAAUCUCAAUUAAUAUAAGUAAAUCGUGGGUAUAUAUUAUGGGCAGGUUCAAAUUUGUGAGAGUGAAUUCUAACAAUUGGUGUGAUUUAUGGACAGGUUCAAAAUGGAAACCCUUACUAUUAUCAUAUGAUAGCAUUGAAUAUAAUAAUUCAAUAAAUUUGAAUUAAUUUUAGUGUGUAUUUGGGAUUGAGGUUGAGCAGCUGUAGUUUAAAAAGUUACAGUACUAAAGUAUUUGGUAAACAUUAACUGUUGUAACUUGUAAGCUAUGUUGAUAUAAUUCUUUACUUGUAUAAUAAAAAAUUUAUUAUAUCUUUAAUAAAAUUUUUUAAAUUAUUAUUUAAAUUUUAUAUUUACUAUAUAUUAUUAACUUUUGUUUGAUAGUGACAUCUUUGUUUUCAUAGCAAUUCUAGCUUAAGAGGUACAGUACUUCAAUUCCAAACGGAACCUUAAUGAAUUUGACUAGAUAUUUAACGUCCCUCCUGCUAAAAAAAUUAUUGAAUAAUUCAUCAAUUGGUAAUUUUUUUAUUAAUUCAAUUCAUGAUACUGGUAAAGAAUUUCAAAAUCAAAGGUAAAAAAGGGGGACAAAAGGUGGUUGAAGUGUGCAAGCAGGGAAAGGAUUCCUUAACCAAAUGGGCAUCAUCGCUUGCUGUUUACUGCCGAUUCUGUUUUGUCUUACAUGAAUGAUUUAAAUUGAUUCCAACUGAAUUCUGAUGAAUCGGCAAGGGCCAUAGGCCGUGGCCCAUGGUCGCGUUAUCUUUAUGUGCACGAUUCCAAAAGAUUCCCAUCGAAGUCAUUCUCACAACAAAGAGGCCAAGUUGAAAAAGUAUCUCGCUUGACAUUUAUUCCAAGUUUUGGUUAGAAAAAAAAAUGAGAUGAUAGGACAUACGUGUGUGCUUCACCAUUCGAUAAUUUCAGAUUCGUUUGAUUGAGCGAUUCUUAUCUCUGUUCCCCGGCUUAUACUUUUUUAUAAUUUAAUAAAAGAAAUUAUUAAAAAUAUCACAAAGAGUGUUUUUAUGCUUUAGAAAACUCGAGAGUUAGGUAGAGUAGAUUUCUCCAAAUUUAUUUCUAUGAGAUUUAUGUAAUUUCAAGCCAAUUUAUGGGUUACAUUCAUUAUUAUUGUGCUAAUCACGGCUAAUAUCCGUUUAAUAAUAAGAAUAAUAAAAUUAAUGUCAUAUUCAAGAAAAUCAAAGGACGAAACACUAUAUAUAUAGUUAUUAUCAAAUGUGGAAAAAAAGAGAGAGGUAACACAUUUAUAAAUUAAGUUAUUGAACUCAACAAUGAAUUAUAAAAAAUAAAAUGUCUUAUACUUAAAAAAAAAGAUUGUGUCUUUCAUAUUUUAUUUACAAGGUACAUGAUGAGUCUAUUGUCUACAUGCAUAUUAUAUACGUAAAUUCCGUUCACAGUUCAUCGUAUUCUCAUGAAUUUUAUUUUAUACACUCUUUUAUUAGGAUAAACCCUAACAUACAUUUAAUGUAUGUUACAGCCACUCACACCACUCAUUGUUCAUGUGAAUAGUGUAACAUACGUUAUGUUAAAAGGAUCCUCUUAUUAGUUAUCAAAAGAUUUUCGAAUUUUACAAUAAUAACAAAAAUAAAUAGUCGUUUGCACUAAUUUUGUGUUCCGUGUAAUACGGUCGGGUGUGUUUUCCAGGAAAAUGAAUAAUUUUUAUUUUUUUCUGGGAAAAAGAACAAAGACGUGAUGGGCCGAAACUCUCUUCGUUUGACGGGAUGAAAAGCAGACGAAAGCAGCCAAUACAACAACAUUACCUAACGAUUACCGGGGCGGCUAAGUGACCCCACGUUACAUCGCCCGUUUAUCCAACCUCGAAAGGGACCCAACCGCAGUCAUGCUAAAUUACCCCGGCAUCCCCUGCACUUCACACUUCCACAAUUCACGGCACGAACCUCAUGGAUCUUUCUUUCAUCAAUGCUGACGUACGGCUGAGACGCCUGGUGGCUGGUGCAGCUGACAUCAACUUUUGUUAGAAGAUCGGUUGCAUCUGGACCGUCCAUAAGAAAAUUAUCCUCACUUAGGCUGACGUGUACGUGCCAUCUGCAACCUCACUCGCUUUACACUAUCUAAAAUUCUCAAUUUCUCUAUGCAGAAUUAGAAUAAAGUAACGCUCAAACGUAAAAUCAACGCGACCCCAAACGUUUUGAUGUAUUUCAUUUAAAUUAAGAGUUUGAGCAGUCUGAAAAAUUAAUAUAACAAAAUAAUUUAUUAUCUUUAAUAAGCAGUGAAAUGAGAGUUGGGAUAUUAUAUUUGAGCUCAUAAAGAAUAGCAUAUAAAUCUAAUCAAGAAUCUCAUACGCUAUGUCGACUCAUCUAUUAUUUACAUUAUUUAUUUAAUAUAGUUUUUUGAUAUUUUUAAUAAAUACCCAUUUAACAUGAUUUUAAUAAAUAUUUUAGAAUAUUUAUAAUGCUGCAUAAAGUAUAAUCAACUUAAUUUUAAUUAUAACAAAUAAAAAUUAAAAUAUGAUCAAUAUAAUAUAGUCUUAAGAUUUCUAAUUUCCAAGUAUAAUUAUUGAACAAAUGAUUCUGUCCUAAUCGUUAGUUUUAACUUUUAACCAAAUAAGUUGGUAAUUUUGUAAUAAAUAGGGUAUUGAUUAAGAAUUUUAUAAAUUAUUUUACCCAAUUGAAAUAAAUUAAAACAUUUUUACCCCUUAUUAAUAUUUUCCCGUUUAAAAUAAAAUAACAAAAGAAAAAAUAUAUUGUCAGCAGUGCAUCACUCGGUAUUAUAAAUAACAGAGCUCUUCCUCCCCACAACAACAUUUCCAUAACUAGCUCCAGCAACCAAUCAACCCCCUUCAAAAAACCAUGACGCGCCUUGCCUCCGGCGUGCUAAUCACGCUCCUAGUCGCUCUUGCAGGAAUCGCCGAUGGAAGCAGAGACAUAGCAGGUGACAUUCUGAAGCUACCAUCGGAAGCCUAUAGGUUCUUCCAUAAUGGUGGGGGAGGGGCAAAGGUCAACGAUGAUGAUGAUUCUGUCGGCACGAGAUGGGCCGUCCUGCUUGCCGGAUCUAAUGGCUUCUGGAAUUACAGGCAUCAGGUCUGCUAUCUGAAUUUUAUUUUUUGAAAUCACGUUUUAUUUUAAUAAAUUCCUUGGAAUUACCAAGUUUUAUUCUUUUCGUAAAUAUUAUAAUGAAAGUUUAUUUUAUUUUUGUAAAUUUUUUUCUUUUUCUUUUUUUCAUUUUUUUUUCAGAAAGUGAAGUAAGGUUAAGGUUUUCUUUGAUGCUUGUAUUUAAAAAGCUCGCCAUAAAUUAUGUCUGAAUAUUGAGAAUCUCAUUUUGCGCGUAACUGUUUAAUUUACGUAAGCAGCAAGUAAGCCGAGACAAUCAGACAAAAGAAAGAAUGUGAAAUUCAUUUCAUGUUUUCGGUUUUUUUUUUAAAAAAAACCAAAUUUCCAGUUUGUUUGUGCAACUUAAGCACUAUCUCUUAAAAAAAUUAAUAAUAAUAAUAAUAAUAAUAAACAAACAAACAAACUAUCACAUAGCUUGACAUAUUUCUUAAUUGUAUCAGUCUGGUUAAAGGUUUUCCCCAAUAAAAAAUUUUGGUUAUUUCUUUGAAAAACAUAUAUAUAUAUAUAUAUAUAUAUAUAUUACUUUCAUUUAUUUAUUCAUCAUCUCAAGUGAAACUUUUGUGAUUUGCCUGUGAGUGACAAUUGUUUGUGUACACUGUCAAUGAUUGUAUGAAUCAGAGGCAAGAUUUCUUACUUUAAAUAAGUGGGUAACUGUAUUUGCACCUUUUGUGUAAGCCGCUUGAUGUAAAUAUUGCUGUUAGGGGAUUUGAUUUCCUAUCAAGUCCACUUUUCAUAUAUAUAUAGAGAGAGGGCAUUCUUACUUUGUUAAGGUGAGAAUGCCAGCAAAAGACAAAAAAUAAAAAUAAAAAUUUCAAUAUACUAAUAGAUUGAAAUAUAUGUUUUUUCGUAUUUUAGUGAUAUCUUAUUUUGUUAAAGUGAGGAUGUCCUCAACAAAGAAGGACUCUCUCUCUAUAUAUACAUGCACACAUACAUGCUUUCUAAUUAUGAAUUUCAGCAUAUUAUACUGUCUAUUGAUGUCAUAAUCAUAUUCUGUGUAGAGCUUCAUAAAUCAUUUUUUGUAUUUAUUUUAUUUUAUUUCUAUUUCAGGCUGAUAUUUGUCAUGCUUAUCAACUCUUGAGGAAAGGUGGGCUGAAGGAUGAAAAUAUUAUUGUUUUCAUGUAUGAUGACAUCGCUUUCAAUGAAGAGAACCCAAGGCCUGGAGUCAUCAUUAACCACCCCCAUGGCGAUGAUGUUUACAAAGGAGUUCCAAAGGUCUCUUUCCCUCAAGAGUAAUUCUAGGUUUACAUAAUCCUCUACAAACUCUACUCAUAUAACAUGUUGUGGCAAUUUUUCAAAGAAAUAAAAGCAAAUAAAUAGUGGGGAACAUAUGAUAGUGAUAUAAUAAUGUCACAUCCGUUCGUAUGGGUAGAGUUGUAUAGGAGCUUGUAUUCCUAUUCUCACUAUUGCAUCAAAGAUCAACCAUCUGAAUAUGUGAUAAAGUUCUUUAUUACUACUACUACUAUUAUUUUUUUCAUGGUUUCUUCUUUCAUGUGGCAGGAUUACACGGGGGAAGAUGUUACUGUUGAAAACUUUUUUGCUGUUGUCCUGGGAAAUAAAACAGCUCUUACAGGGGGCAGUGGGAAGGUUGUGGAUAGCGGCCCCAAUGAUCAUAUUUUCAUAUUCUACUCAGAUCAUGGUGGCCCUGGGGUGCUAGGUUAGUAGCCACGAUUCUUCAUAAGUUCCCCACUCUGUCUUAUAUUGUAUGUGUUUUUUUUGUGCUGUUUGAAUAGUGGCUGUAGUUACCCGAAUUAGAUGGUGGUGGUCCUUGGGCUUGGAUUUCUUCCAUCUUAUGGUCAAUUUCUGGUUUUAGUUCAGCGCGUGUCAUAAAACUUGAUUUUGAUUCUGAAGUGAUUUUUAGAAAAUAGACACCAUAGAAUUGGAUUAUCUUUUUUUCUUUUGGCCCAAAUCAAACCGGUUUUGGUGGUAUAUGACUGUCACUAGAAAAACCCUGUUAGAGAACGUCUCACAUGGUUUAAAGAUUCAAAAUUAUUUUCUUUAACCACUAAAGGCAUUUCUUUUAUGGUAAUAUUAUAUUUACUGAGUCGGGAUUCAUAGUUUGUAUCUCAAGUGAUGAAUCACCAAUCAUUAAUGGUCAUGUUUAAGUUUUGGUUGAUUUUAUCAUUUAUCAAUAGGGUGUCAAUCUUGCAACGUCAGAUGCCACAUCACUUGCGGUGCAAGCUAUGUAUAUAAACAAAUUCUUCUAUUAUUAUUAUUAUUAUUAUUUAUUUAUUUUCAUAUUUGUGAUUUUACUGGGAAUAAAAAUUUGAUUGUGUUGUUAUGCUGUUGCAUGUUGUUUGAAGCCUAGGCCAACAUGACUCAUGUAAAAAUUGGUUACUCAGAAGGUUAAAAGUGUAUUGGUUUUACUUGAAAUAUCCUACCUUAUUUUUUCAACAGAGUGGAUAUAUAUGUUAUAACCGACACUAUUUUUAAACUUCUGUUGUAAAAUUGACUUCUUAGUUCACCUGUUUUGUGAUCUAUUUUAGGGAUGCCCACCAGUCGAUACAUAUAUGCUGAUGAACUGAUCGAUGUCUUAAAAAAGAAGCAUGCUUCUGGGAACUACAAAAGCUUGGUAAGUAAUUGGUGAACUGCCAUUUGACAUGUGUUCUAUUUCGAUAAAAGUCUUGGCAAAUUGAAAUUUUUGUUGGUUUCAAUAUCAAAAAAUUUAGGUAUUUUAUCUCGAAGCCUGUGAAUCUGGAAGUAUCUUUGAGGGUCUUCUUCCUGAGGGCUUAAAUAUCUAUGCAACCACAGCUUCAAAUGCUGAAGAGAGCAGUUGGGGGACCUAUUGUCCUGGAGAGAUUCCUGGUCCUCCCCCUGAAUAUAGCACUUGUUUGGGUGACUUGUAUAGUAUUGCUUGGAUGGAGGACAGGUAUGACAACAUUUAUGAUUUUAUUUAUUUCACUUUGGCAACAUUUUUCUGUUUCCUUGAGUAACAACAUGUCUAUGUCUGUCUUCUGUAAUCUCUGAAAAUAGAAGAAAAGUACUGGUUUGACCGAAUUUAUUAACUUACUGAACAAAACUUUUCUAAAAAUUUAUCAUUUUGUGCAGUUUUUUUCCUAGAGAAGCAGUGUGUGCGUGUGCCUUUUUUUUUUUUUUGGGUGAAUUUUAAUAUUUUGACCUUUGCACAGUGACAUACACAACUUGCGGACAGAAACUCUUCACCAGCAGUAUGAACUGGUAAGAUCUCAUUGAGACUUUAUUACUUCAUCGAUGUUCAUUAUACACAGAUAAUGGUUAACUCAGUGCAAAUAAAAUUAGUAACAGUUGGCUUUUUAAGAAUCCUAGAUCCUGCUCUUACCUGCUUGUUUUGAUAACCGCUAAAAUCAGUUUUUUUUUAUUUUCGAAAUUUCAGGUUAAAACAAGGACUGCUAGUUACAAUUCGUAUGGCUCUCAUGUCAUGCAAUAUGGUGAUAUCGGUCUUAGCAAGAACAAUCUCUUCACGUACUUGGGUACAAAUCCUGCAAAUGAUAACUACACUUUUGUGGAUGAGAACUCCUUAAGGCCAGCAUCUAAAGCUGUUAACCAGCGAGAUGCCGAUCUCUUGCAUUUCUGGGACAAGGUAUGUAUCCAACAAUGCACAUAGCUCAUUAAAUUGAAUGCUGCCUCUCUAGCGUAUUUUAUUCAUUUACUUUUUCAAUCCCCAAUGUGGGGAUGGAUCACAAUUCUAUGUUCAACAUGGGUUUGAAAGUUUGUCAUCUCGUUGUUGAGGUUGGUGUAAACUGUAUAAGGGUCUUAUGAUUGGUUAAGUUGGAAUUAGGAAAAGAGGUUAGUGAUGUAACAAAGCAUGGUAGUAGCUUGAUAUUAAGAAUUUUGGAACCAUUUUUAGGUAUGCCAGUUCUCUAUUAUACCCAAAGCAGUAUAAGCAGAGUCCAUUGGCCAUUGGGUACAAAACCCCUAUAGAACAUGUUGUUUCUAUUUGCUUGAGAUGUGGAAGUUUUGGUUACCCUGCUAUGUUACCUGUGGAAAUAACAGUCAGAACGCCCUAAAUAGAUUUUUUUUUUUGGGGGGGGGGGGGGUGAAUUGUAAAAUAGCGACCCUUUCUGCAGUAUGUCUGAAAAUUUUCUCCUUUCUACUUAAGAAUAUACCUCACUUUGCCUAUCCGUUACUUUAAUAGUACCGCAAGGCACCUGAGGGCACUCCUAGGAAGGCUGAAGCUCAGAAGCAGUUUUUUGAAGCAAUGUCUCAUAGAAUGCAUGUAGACCACAGCAUCAAACUUAUUGGAAAGCUCUUAUUUGGAAUUGAGAAAGGUCCAGAGAUCUUGAACACUGUUCGACCUGCUGGUCAGCCUCUUGUUGAUGACUGGGGCUGCCUCAAAUCACUGGUAAAAUUCCUGAUCAUCAAUUCUUGUAUUUUUUAAUCCCUUGACAACACUUAAAAUAUCAUUAACAAGGUUCUUUUCUGUCUAUUCCUCUGUGCAGGUGAGGACUUUUGAGUCGCACUGUGGAGCUCUAUCGCAAUAUGGAAUGAAGCACAUGCGUUCUCUUGCAAACAUCUGUAAUACAGGAAUUGGGAAAGAGAAGAUGGCUGAAGCAUCAGCACAAGCCUGUGAAAAUAUUCCUUCUGGUCCUUGGAGUUCUCUCGACAAAGGAUUCAGUGCAUAAAGAAGCCGAGAACUGUGCGAAUAUCAUAAGCCAGUCUUGAAAUAUGUUAGUUUUCAUUAUAGUCGCCAAUAUGGCAAUAUCUAUUUUCAUUUGGCUGAUGAUUGCUUCCAUUUAUGGCAAUGUCUAUUUUCAUUUGGCUGGUGAUUGCUUCCUUGUAAUUAUUAUAUUUAAAAGCUCUUCCCUGCCAGACCGCAGUUGUAAUUUGAUAGUAUAUAUUUUGGAUGUAUGCGAUGCUAUUUUAUGCUUAUGUAGCUAUAUUUGUUCCUGAUUUGUAGACCGUGCAACUCAACCCUCUUCGUGGUGUUGCUCUAAAUAUUGAAAUAAAAGCUCUAAUUUUGGAUUAAAAAAGAUCGUAUUGUUCAGCAAAUAUGACAUUUUUGUUACCAGGGUAUUAGAACUUCUCACGGUAUUAAAAUAUUGUUAUAUCAUGUUUGUUAAUUACUCAUUUUAUUUUAACAUAGUCAACACACCCUUAAAAUAUAAUCAUAGUAAGUAGCAAGCAAGCAGAACAUAAAAUUUUCAUCAAACAAAUUGUAAAGGAAAAUUACUUUCAACUUUUAAGUCAUGGCUGUAAUUAUUGCCAGACAUUUCAAAAGAGUCUUUUAGACAAAUUUCUCCGCUGCAUUAACCGAUAACGUUGGCUUAGGAUCAAGCGUUUCUUCCUUCAGCUUCGUUUUCCCCUUCGUCUUCUUGAAAAUCAAAAUAACAAUCCUCCACACUUACGUAAACAAAUUUCAAAACCAAAAUUCACACCCCAAUCUUUCUUUUAACGGAAACUCUUCCCCAGAGUUUCUGCCUGUAGGACUUAAAUAUUUUCCUAAUAAAUCCUUGAUAUAAAACAUUAAAAUAAACAGGGGUCGAUCAUCUAGUCAGCGGCAAAAACAAAGUAAUAAUUCAUUCACGGAAAUACAAAAGGUAACUUAUGGUCUUCUAACACUGUGAUAUACCGACUACUACUAUAUAUGUUUUCCAGAACACGAACCGAGCAAAUACAAAUCCAGACCAAAAUUGCAAAUACUCCCAUCCGAAUGCAUAAACCUGUACGAGAGAACCCCGCACAAACACCACCAAUCAUAUCUGCCAAUUCACGUAGCAGGACUUCCCCCUUCCAUAACUUCAGCAAGCUGGUUUAGCUUGGAGAUUUGCCUAUCUUGUCAGCAUUGAUCUAGCAAGCCUGUAAUAACUGAUUUACUGGCAAUCAGAGGGAGCAAGUAGCAUAAUAAAACAAUCAUAGACUUUUGCCUGGCAUUAUUGUAUUAAUCAAUUUCAUCUUUGUUUUCAUAAAAGACGCAUACAAAAUAAAAUUAAAUAACAAUUUAAGUUCAGAUGUGACCAUGAAUCUAUCCUGCCAUCCAUUUUAUUCUUUGUACAAAAGUUAAUCAGUCUAGGUAGGCUGACGAAAAACACCUAGAGAGGCCACACCAUCAUAGUCAUUCAGGCAUGUCUAUGCAAAUCCAAGAUGCUUAGAUGCUAAAAUUCACAAAUACCCAAGCUUUAUGUGUAGUUAGCAUGCCUUUCAAUUAACAGCAUGACAUACAGGUUCCAUUUUCUUUCUCUACAUUACGAAAGCAAUUUCCCAUGCCAUUAUGUAUUGCAAAUUUAUGUGAGAUAAUAAAGGCAACUGGAGACAUCAGCUUAGGUCUGUCUAUACUUAUAAUAACAGACUAUGCUAAUUAUUGGUAUUUACAGGCUUAAACAUACAAAGAUAAAACAACUUGUAAAAUCUCAAUUUACUUUCUAAAAGAAAUUUAAAACCUUUUCGUCAAUAGAAGCAUAAAAAAGUAAGUUCCAACAACAGAAAUAAACUCACCAGCAAUACAGCAGAUAUCAGAUAGCUGCUUCAGUCUCAACGUCUGCCCCGAUCAUCUUCAUGCUUGUACGCAUACCUCCUUCUCUCACUUGACCGAGAAUCAUCAUAUCUAACUCUCUUGGAGUAAUCCGCUUGUUUGUCCAGCUCAUUUCCCUUACUUUCUUGCACUUCUCCCUCCCCUCUCCCAUGCUUUCGACUACGCCUCUCUUCUUCCUCCCCUCUCUCAUGCCUUCGACUACGCCGCUCUUCUUCCUCCCCUCUUCCAAGCCUUCGACUUCCUCGCUCUUCUUCCUCCCCUCUCCCAUGCCUUCGACUUCCUCGCUCUUCUUCCUCCCCUCUUCCAUGCCUUUGACUUUCUCGCUGCAGCUCUUCAUGAUCCUUUCCGUGCCUUCCAUAUUUGUGUUCUUCAGCUCUCCGAUGCCUUCCCCCUCUAGCCUCCUCUUCAUCCAUGUUUUGCCUUCUAAACCCUGCAUGCUCUUUGGAAUCUUCAUCAUCCCCCCUACGACCAUCCUCAUUCCCACGUGGUCUGGCGUUCAAUUCAGACUCCGGUUUUGCAUCUGCAUGAUGGCCUUCGUGCAUUGCAUCCUUCCCAACAAUACUACUCCUUAACCUUGCUUCUGGUCGCUCCUCCCUGUUUGCCUCAUCAUACUUCCUCUUGGCCAUCCUCAUUUCCUGAUGUUCAUAGGUAGACCUUCCCAUAUCUGCAGCAUCUCUUUCAUACUGGUACAGACUUCGCUCCUCUAAUUUCCUCAGUGCGUCUAACAUAUCGUCAUCUUUUCGACCAUUUCUUUCUCUUUUCCUGUCACUUCCAGCAGGACUGUACCCAUGAUCACUUCGUCCACUUCUACCACUCAUACCAUUUCCACUUCCAGUUCUGUUUUCACCCACACGGUUCUUUCCACUUUUCUUACGUCCGUAAUCACUUGCACUGCUGUCUGAAUCUCCGUCACCACUUCCCUUGUCAGACUCACUCCUAUUUCUAUUGCUAUUGUCCAAAGGAGACUCAUUUUCGAUCGCUUCAGGCCUUCCAAGGGAUGCUUUAUAAUUUUUCCUCCCAUAGCUGGAAUCUGAGUUUUCAUUAUCAGAAUUAUGCCUCCUACUUAUCCUGCGCUUCUCAAUUUUAUUGCCACUGUCAUCAUCAGUGUCAUUCCUUCUCGAUCUCCUCUUUAUCACAUCUGCAUCAUCAACAUCAUAGCCUUGCCUGUUUUUCCCAUAACUAUCAUAGUUGCUCUUUUGGUGAGACCUUAAGUCAAAAUUUUCUCGCUCCCCUCUGCGGCUUCCACCCAGCUGAUUGCCCCUUUUCUCAAGAUGACUUUUAUCCUUUUCCAUACCAAUACCAUUAUCGAAAUCAUCCUCAGAAUCAUGACGUACACUUGCUUUCACAUGCCUACUCCCCUUCCGAGUCCUGUGCUUAGAUGAAUCUUCAUCAAAAUCAGAACCAUUAUCCGAAUCAUGUCUCCUAUGACUUUUUCCAUAUUUCUCAACUUCCUUCAUGGAACUAACCUUACCAGUGUCAUCAGAAGAAGAAUAAUCUGAACUAUCAAUAGAAUGUUUUCUGCUUUUCUUGUGCUUCUUCGAAGAGUUCCUCCUUUUCUUAGGGCUUUCACCAUCACUGUCACUGUCACUUUCACUAUCACUUCUCAGGCUAACCUUACGAUUCUUCUUUGGCACCGCUCUUGCAUGCUUACUGCUACCAGCGUCAUCAGAAGAAGAAUUAUCUGAACCAUCACUAGAAUGUUGUCUGCUUUUCUUGUGCUUCUUUGAAGAGUUCCUCCUUUUCUUAGGGCUUUCACUAUCACUGUCACUGUCACUUUCACUCUCACUCCUCUGGCUAACCUUACGAUUCUUCUUGGGCAUCCUUCUUGCAUGCUUACUGCUGCUAUCAGAAUCAGAAGAAUCGUCUCCAUGUCUUCUCUUUCUGCCAUUACCCUUAUGGUGCCUGGUCUCAUCCUUCUUAAUUUUCUCAUCUUUAACAGUCUUUUUCUGAUCAUCCUCCACAAUUUCCCCCUCUUCUAUCACACGUCUCUUCCGAACAUUCUCUCUAUCCAAAAAGGCAUGUUCGCUUUUCUCAUGCCACUUACCGUCAUCAUUGGAAGCAUUCUUUCGACCAUUUCUUGGUGCAACAUCACUUCCUUCAGCCCCUUGUUCACUAGCUUCAAUCGUACCUAUACCAAGUGCAGCUCUAAACAUUUCCAUUUGUUUCUCCUUUCUAGCAGCAAUUUUAUGGGUCUCUGUUUCUGAUACCCUGAACAAGCAAGGAGAAAAUUAGAAGUUAAUUCCUAGGUAACCUAUACAAAAAUUUCCUACUGAGAAGACAUGAUUAAUCAAGUAAAAUAACUCGGGUAACAGAAAUCUCAAGUGUAAAAUAAACCUGAAAAUGGAACAACUAUUACAAAGACGAAGGAAUUUCCAAGAAACAAGAGUAAGGGAAAUUAGAAAAAAAUUAAUUCCCCUUUAAUGAAUCCCAUUCUGAAUUACAUAUAUGCCUCCAGAACAAAGCCAUCAAGGAAGUGAUUCAACAAUCCCCUUGCAGCCGAAAGGAGAGGCAAAAUUGCAGGUUCCCUAAUUAUACAUGCUUCAAACUUCAAACACAAGCAGGACAUACUAAAAACAUACCAAUUGCUUUAUCACACAUAUAAAACAACGCACAAGAAAACUAACCAUUCAUAAUAUUAUAGCAGUGAAAAUAAAUAAAACUGACACGCUUAAAAGUUACACACAUGAAAAAAUGUCUACAAAAAGACAUCUCUACAAACUGAAGUGGUAUGAGUACUUGAACUGUACUUGUUAUUUUUCACUGUUCCAAUCAUAUCAUGUCACCUCAAGAAUGAAAAUUUGUAUGUAUCUUAUUAUUCAUAGCAAGAAUUACUUACUUUGCAUCAGCGGCAGGCCCACCACUUUCCGCUGAAGCUGAGGCGACUUCAAGAGUCUUCCGAGCCUCCUCAAGCUUCUCGGCAAUUUCAGCCUCAGUGUAACCCUGAUCAACGAGUUUGUCUUCGAGCACCACCAAUUUGAGUUGAAUCUGGCGCUUACGCUCAUGCUCGAGGAUCUCCUGGUUCGGUUUUCUGGUGACUCCAGCCGUUCCCUGACCCGCUUCGAAUCCCUUGACGCUGUCGGUAACCCGACCUGUUUUGGCCUUCACAAAAAACUUGUUCGUUUGUAUGUAUCCGUUGGUUCCGGACCCCCUCGGGGUCUGUAAGCCGAUUCCGUUAUACAUCUAACGAAAAUACAAAACAAUUCUCAAUCUUCAGCAAAAAUGAAUUUAUAGAUCUUGAAUUUCAAGAUCCCGAUGCAUGUGAUAUUUCGAUCGGAGAAAAAAAAAAUCUCACAAAUAAAAGCACGAGAAUAGAACAAUUGGAAAGAAAACAAAACGCACCAGUGAUUAAUCGGUUGAUAUGAAACGUGAUAUCUGAUUGAUUUAGUGUUAUCUUCUUUCCCCUUAACUCGGUGAUUCUUCGUUUCGGCAAUUCAGAGAAAGAGCGAAACCCUAACCUGAUCGCUUAGUGCUUGUAGGGACAAUUUGAUUUGACAAUAAUGUCCUCCAUUCGAGGCCAAUGAAAUCUUAGAUAUGAAGGAUGUUUAUGUCUUUGACCUAAACUUUUUGAAUCCGUUUUUAUCUCGAUUAAAUAAAUAUCAUCCCAUUGAUUGAUAUCGACCCUUUUUUUUUUUAAUUAUGUUAUACAGAUAUGAUUAUUGAUAUUAACAUUAUAAUUAUAAUAUUUAUAAUUAUAUUAAACAACUGAGAUCACCACCAUACAUUAAUCUAUUGAAGCAUUUGUUCAAAUACUUUAAACACUCUCUAAUAUUUGAGGGAUGCCUACUCUACUUAUAUUUUGUAAGGGAGAGACUGUCUACACUCAAUUAAUUGAUAAUUAAGAAAAAAAUUGAAAAUAACUUCCAUAAUACUCUUGUGGAGGCUUGAAUCGUUACACUCAAUAUUAUAAGUAUAAGACUUCUCUCAUUGAACCAAAGGCCAUUGGUGAUUGAUACAGACCUUUAGAUAGUACUACAUAGACCUUUUCUUUUAUUUUUUUUCCUUUAUUUUCCCCUUUAAUACAGAUUUACAUAAUCCAUAAAUCGUAAUAUAGAGAGGUCUAAGUAAUCGGAACACCGACAUUACUUUCGUGUCGGUCUUGUUUUGUUUUGUUUUGGCUUGUCUUUUUAUGUGAUUGUUAUCUCAUAAAGUAUUGUUGUUAUGAACAAUUUUAGAGCAAGCUGAUCUUGUGCACGCCCUCGCGUACGUUAUUAUAGUGUGCGAUUGGCUAUUAUGUUAAUGAUGAGUUCUUAUUAGGGGCUUUCGAGCUACAGCUGAGCUUCCUAUAAUGGGAGCUUACCACGCAUGUCAUAACAUGUAUGACAGCGUGUAUUAUAUAAAGUUGUUUGUGUUAGAUAUAUCAGAUGGUAUUUUCAAAGCACUCUGUUUUUUUUUUUUUUAAUACUGAUUAAUCAUCAGAUUACUGCAUUACACAGAUAUUUACAACAACUGCUUAUUGUAGCAGAGAUAUUACACUGAUAUUUACAAUCAGAUAUACAUGAUUGGGACUUACAUUAUUACAAUGAAUUCUAUGAAGUACAUGCCCAGACAAAUAACCCCUCACAGGAGAGGGAUGUCCAUACUCCACUUGCAUUUUGCAAGGGAGAAGGAUUUUUUAAAUAUAAAGAACAUUUAGCCCCCACAAAAGCUUUGUAGGGGCUAGAACCGCUGCCCUCACAAGUAUUGUGUUGUGAGGGCAGCAGCCCACCACUUCGGCCAAGGCCGAAGCGGCGCACUCUGUUAAAAUAGUUGAGUGGUAAACUGCAACUCUCACAAGUUACCAUUGUGAGAGCUGCGAUUUAAGUUCUUAUAGCAGAUUUCUAUUUCUUCUUCUAAUUAAAAAUUGGGUUUAAAAAUUGGGUAUAUAUUAGAAUCUCUCCUGUUAAUUAAAUGCAGAACAGAUGUCUAAGAGCUGUAAUUUAAGUCACCAGAAAAGACUUCUAUUCCCAAUUAAAAAUUGAGUAAAAAUAAGUUUCUAUUCUAUUAAAUGGUGAGUAUUGAGUAGAGCAGAUGGGAAAUUUGUAACCUACCCCCAAAUAAAUUGACAUUUUGCACCACGCCCCCAAUUCCAUUAUUUUAUCAGUUAAGUUUAACGGUGGAGGGGUAAAAUUGAAAGUUUAUUUCUUAAAUUAAUUUUAAUGGGAAUUCUCUUUAUUGUAAUUAAAAUAAAAAUCUUUAAAAAAUUAAAGAAAAAAUAAUAGUGGUGACAAUGAACAUGUAAGAAGAAUUGUUUUUUUUAUUGCAAUUGAAAAAAAAACCUUAAAAAAUUAAAUGAGCUAAAAAUUUUGUUUUUUUACAUAGAGGGGCAUUUUUGUCAUUCAAUCAAAAGUUAAACGGAGCCGUUAAACUUAACUAAGAAAAUAACGGAAUUGGGGGCGUGGUGCAAAAAUGUCAAUUUUUUUGGGUGCGCAGUGCAACAAGUCAAAUUUGUUGGGGACGCGGUGCAAAAUGUCAAUUUAUUUGGGGGUAGGUUACAAAUUUUCCUAGAGCAGAUAUUCAAUAUAUGAUGUAAAUAUUAGUACGUAUUAAUAAUUUUAGAGAAAAUGUUAUUUUUAAGUUUAAUAAAUAAAAAAACAUGCGCGAUACAUGGUGUUAUUGAUUAAGCAAAUGAUCACUUAGGCUUUAGGAAUAAAAUUUGAUGCUUUGAACUUUCAAAAUCUCAACUUUGUUCAUUACAUAUGACUUUUUAUCAUUCAUGAGCUUGUAGAGGUAUUAUAAACAAUUAUAAUAAGUAAUAAGCUUACAUGGGGGCAAUAUAAAGUUUGCAUUCAAAUUGAUGAUGUGGUAGAUGAUAUGAUUUUAUUUCGUGAGGUCAUUUGAUAAUGGAUUAUUAACUCGGAGUUUGGCAGUUUUCUGCUUAUUUAAAUCAAUAUAUAUAACUUGUUUUCAACUAUAUGUAUAGUAUUCAAAGAUAUGUGAGCACAAACAUUUAAGCGAAAAUAGAUAUAAAUGAGUUAUUUAUUUGAUAUUUUAUCUUAAAAUAUUAAAUAAUGGUUAUUAGAAUUUUUUUUUCAAAAUUAACAAAAAGUAUAAAAAAAUAUCUUAUUAUUAAUUUUUUAUUCAUACUGAAACUUAUAUUUGUUAUUUUUAGUAUUUAAAUCUUUUAUUCUAUUUUCAAUUUAUAUGAUUUAUUCAGUUUAUAGUUAAAUCAAUAAAGUGUACUUGAAAAUAAGGAUUAUAUUGUAAAAUUAUGGUACCAGUGAGUCAUUAGGUAUUAUGAAAAUAAUAGGGAGUAAGUGAUAGAUAUUGAUUUCAGUGUAAGAAAAUUGACAAUUUUCCUUAUUAAUUCUUAUCAAUUAUUAUCUGAAUAGUGAAUUUGUAUUUACUAUCAUAUUAAUUCAAAAUCAAAUUUUAUAUUCUAACUUUAUAAAUAUAUUUAUAUUUUUACCCUUUAAAAUUGUUUUGAACGCUCAUUAAAAAAAAUUAUUGCCUAAUUGGCUUUCAAGGAAAUUACUUAGAUGGCCAUAACAAAUGAAUGAACAAUCUCUUUAUUUUCCGUCAAGUGGUCAGCUCUUGUACAUACUGCAUGGACUUGAGAAGGUGACAAAUUGACCACACACCGACAUUAUUUUAGGCAUUGUUGCAUAGGCCACGUCAAAGCCGUUGAAUUUGAAGCGCACAAAUCCAAAGGCCCAAAAAUAGCCACGUGAUGCUAGUUAAUGGAGAAAGUGACAGAAUCGACCGUAAAUAAAAGAGCAAAUUGGCAAAGGAAACACCGUGAGGUUAAGAGAGACAGCCAGAACAGUUGAGGAAACUACUUCUGCAGUACUGUAAGCGGAAAAAAAAGAAAAAAAAAAAGACGUACGAAUCAAGCAUUUUAUCUAUUGAUAUCGCAGAGCCUUGCAACAAACGUUGCAGAAAUUGGAUUAAUAAAAAUCAAACUUUAAGAUCUAUGAUCCUAUGCUCCAAUAAUAAUAAUAAUAAGGGUUAUUAUUAUUUUAUUACUUUAAAAAUUAUCAAAUAUCAAAUAACUACAACAAAUAUUAUUUCCUAUUAUUUUCUUACUAUAUCUUUAUAAAAAUAGCAUUUUACUACUUUUCUGUUAUAAUCUUGACAAACAAAAUACUAAUUUCACUCUUCAUGAUUAAAAAAAAAAUACUUAAAGCUUAUUUACAAAAUAAAUUUGUAAUAUAUUUAUUAAAAUGGAUAUAAAACACCAACAUAAUUAUUUUAACUGGAAUUAUGAUAUAUGGAUUAAAAAUUUAUCUUAUUAUUUUUUUAAUCAUGAAGGGUAAAAUUGAUAUUUUAUUAGUCAACUAACGGGUCAACUAACGGUUGUAAUGAAAAAGUAGUAAAAUGAUAUUUUUAUAAAAAUAUAAUAGGAAGAUGAUAGAAGACAACACUUGUUGUAGUCAUUUGAUAUUUGGUAAUUUUUGAAACAGUGAAAUGAUAAUAACUCUAAUAAUAAUAAUAAAGAUAUAUGAUUGACCGACUAAGACCGUAACCCCCUUCAAUAAUGUAUUUACUCUUUUCAUCCAUGCUCGUUAAAUUAGAUUGUUUCAAAUCUAACGGCUCAUCCAAAAAUGAAAAAAAAAUACAAGUUAAAUACAAGGUGUUUUUUUUCCCCCAAAUAGAUUCUCAUUAUUGCAAGACAAAAUUUCAAAAUAAACAAGUUAAAUGUUGUAGAAAAUCUUCACCUGUAUAAGAUAAUAAUAAUACCUAAAUGUGAUUUUUAACCAAAGCAUCAACUGCUCUAUUAUAAUUUUUAGAAACAUGGUCAAUCUUGAAAUCUUACUAAAUUAACAGUAGAUACUUCUUAUAAUUAUUCAAAAUAGCUUAAUACAAAUACAAUGAAUACGAGGUUAUUUGUCCUUGUUACUAGAUAGUGAAGCCUUUGAUGCAUAAUAAAAUGUUAAAAAAUAUGAAUUAACAUAAUAAGAUCAAAGACAAGAACUAUAUAUGCAUUUGUACUAUUAAACAAUUUUAUUUGCUAAAGUUUGUGUACUUGUUAAGACCUUGAAGGAUUUUAUAAAAAUAUUUAAUUGGAAAAUGUAUGUUUCCCUUUCACUUUUUGAGGAAAACAAUUUUUUUUUCUUUUUUAAUUGAAGGAAAGAAAAAUCAAGUCUAAACGCAGUAUUACACUCUUUAGAAACAUACAUUUUCCAAUUAGAAACAUACUCUUUAGAAACAUGGCCAAUCUUGAAAUCUUGCUUCAAUAACAGUAGAUGCUUCUCAUAACUAUCCAGAAUAGCUCAGUACAAAUACUAUGAAUAUAAGGUUAUUUGCCCUUUAUAUUAGAUAGUCGGGCCGUUGCUGCAUAAUAAAGUGUUAAAAUAUAAAUUAACAUAAUAAGAUCAAAGACAAGAAGUAUAUUUGCAUUUGUAACAUUAAACAAUUUUAUGUAGUUAUUUAUUUUUUAACUUCGAUCUUAUACGCAAUUAAUUUGCAAAGUUUGUGUAUUUGUUAAGGGAUUUUAUAAAAAAAUGUCUCGUUGAAAGAUGCAUGCACCCCUUUCAAUUUUUGAGGAAAACAAUUUUUUUUUAAUUGAAGGAAAUUUUUUUUAAUACAAUAAAAGUCCAAACAUAUUAUACUCUCACAACUACAUGAGAAUACUCAAACUCUCCACUUUAAUAUUAAGGAGAAGAGUGAUUGACCAAUAUUACCAAGGGAUCAUUACCAAUAAAAUAAAAAAUUACAGACCCUAAAAUGUAACUUUAAAGAAUAAUAAUAGAGUUAUAAAUUCUUAUAUAAGUAAUUUUUAUACAAAUUGAUAUGGUAUAAUAUCAUUGGUUGAGUAAAUAUAUAAUAUAAUAAAGAUAAAUCAUGUGGACAAUGUGUUGGUUUCAUUCAACCAACUAUGUUACAAAAUUAAUAUAAAAAUUUAUAGAUGUAUCAUUACUCUAUUUUAAGCGAACACAUUAAAAAAUCAAAAGCAACUUUGAGAUCAUAUCACUAAAAUGGUCCGAUUAAUAAAAAUGUAUAUACCACCAAAAAUGACCAUUAAAAAUUAAAGCAACUAUAUUACCUAUAAAAAUGACAAAAUUAUUAUAAAUGACCACCGUGAAUAAUGACUGCGUCAUUAAAAAUAAAAUAAGUUAAGAGAACAUUAGAACACGUGCAGGUCAUUUUAUUAUUGUUGUUUAAAUGUUAUUUAUCGCGAUAAAAUACCAAAAUUGCCCUUAUACCUAUCGCUAGAUUCACAGGUCUGGUUAAAAUUAAACCAUGGUUAGUUCACUCACGUGAUUAACUAACCCUACUGUUACUGCGAUGCUCUAAUAAUGAGCGCCCCCACACCGGCUUGAAAAAAAAAAAUUCAACAAUAAACUAAUAAUAAAAACAUAACCGUGGUUUGAUCAGUCACGUGAUUAACUAACCUUAUUGAAUGUAACUCAAUACUCUCUAAUAAUAAGCGCCACCACACCGGCGUUAAAAACAAAAAAAAUUGCAACAAUAAAAUAAUAGAAAACAUAUCAGAAUAAAUAAUGAUAUAAUUCAACAAAAAUUCAACGUCGUUAAAGAUUCCGUUAGAUUGAUGAAGUCCGUGAGGUGAUAAAAAUUUGCCACGGGCGCAUGCUAACUUGAUGAUAGACGGGUGUCGACGGUUCAAAGGAGGAGUAAUCAGGACCGUUUGAUUGAUGAUUGAUGGUCACGAAUGCUCGGUGUGGAACCGAGAGUAUGAAAGAGGGGUAUAAAACUGGUUUUAAAAGGGAGAGAGAAUUUCGUUUAUCAGAAGAAGGAAGGAGAGCACUUUGUGUUGUUUGUUCUCUCUCUGGUUUCUCUGCGAAUUUUCAUUCACUUUCUUUCGUUUUCUCAGAAGCCAAACAGACUACUUUGGCUGAGAAUUGACGAGAAUAUGAUAACGGAAUGUUGAGAAUCUGAAUCCAAUAGAGAGAUAGAGGAGAUUUAGAGGUGUGUAUUACCAACACACUUUUGUUUUUCAUUAUUAAGAAGAUCAAUUUAAAAAAAUUGGCCGGUAUAAUUGUUGUUUGGUUCAUGCUUUAGUUUACAGACAAAUUCAAAAUGACAAAAGACGACAUGGUUCAGUUGGCUUAGUGUUAAUUCCGUAUAAUUCAUCCUCUGAUAUAAUCAUUUUAUUUGUUUUGCAGAUACAUUUCUUAAGAGAAUAGAGAAAUUUCUGUAAGGGGAAGAUCAUAAUCUCUCAUUAGAGCAGGAGAUUUUCAAGUCUUUGAAAUGCCAAUCAUUUCGCUGAGAAGCUGAUAUACAUUCGAUUUGUAUUCUGCCGACUGAAAGAAGCAAAAAAUCGGCGAAUUUGAGAUAUUGGAGGUAUAAAAAACAAGCAUAUCGAUUUUCAUCUCGUCGAUUUAACUCGGGACCGGUUCUCUUUCAUUUCAGUUUUGAAUCGGUUUCCACUUGCUUCUUAUUACGAAGCUUAUACUUAAGUUCGACUCCGAUUCUCGUUUUUUCAGCUGUUUGGCUCUGGCGAGAAUUCAUCAUUAGCGUCUACAAGAAAUUUCAGUUCCAUGAAAAUCUUGACUUGUUAUUGAUGAAAUAUUUUUUUCGUUUUGAUUUUUGUUCUUUUGACCAUCUCUCAGUCUCGUCUUAUUCGAGCUUUAAAAUUUUUGUCAGUCUCGUCUUAUUUUGAGUUUUAGCUGUGGUUGCUUCUCAGAUUUUUCUCAAAUUACCUACGUUUGGUUACUGAGAAAGAAAGCAGAGAGAAAAAUAACAUCUCAGAACUUCUUUCCAUUCUCGAAUUGAUCUCUAGAACCAACGAAUUGGUUCUGAUUGUUGCAAUUCACGAUCCUUCUUUAUUUUCUUUUUCGAACAUUUUCUCGGCAGCCGAGCAAAAGCAUGGAGCUUGAGAAAUUUUUUCUCCGCUUUCUAUGCGUAUUCUUCGUCAGAUCCUCUGGAGUGAGUACGUCUGUGAUCUAUUUUUGAAUUAAAAUUCUCAUUUUCACUGCUGAUGACUAUUACAGCAUCACUCGGUAGAGAAUUCUGCAUUUUUUCAUUUUGAAAAAUCCUUGGCUGUCGGAUCUUCCUCUUCCAGUCUUCGGUCUUCCUCAGUAUUCAAUAUUUUUGUUGCAUUUUAAUAUAUGUGAUUCUUAUGGUAAGCCUACUUUUCUUCUCAAAAUUUGGGAAAAUUCUUAGCCGUUACUCUAAAAUUUUAAUUUUAAUCAUUCGUUUUAAAUGGCGUGGAAGUUGCCGGAAAGCCGAAGCCGUAUCCAAAUUGUUCAUUUUGUUUUUCUUUUUUAGUAUAAUUCUGCAAGUUAACCGUAAUUUAGGAUGAGUAAUUGUAAUUAACUUAUCUGAAUGGGACAGGUUUGCGAAAGGAGAUGGAUAAGGACUUGUUGAGAAGCGGUAAUAAUGGGAGCACUUGCAAAGAUGGGGGAUUAUUAAGAGCUAGCUCAGAGAUCAACACUAGGCAAACGGCGUCGUCUGAUUUCGUCUUACAGUGGGGGAACAGGAAGCGACUCCGGUGCAUGAAAGUUCAAGUCAAAGACGAUUCGUCCGCUUCGGCCCAUCGGACGACGGUUCGAGUCGUAAGAACCGACAAAGACACGUCCAAUCAGCCGAGUACUGCCACCGCUAACCAUAAUAUUGGUAACGGUUAUUUUAAUCUCCGUCGACGGCCAUCUUCGCCUCCGCCACCGCCACCGCCACCUCAGCGUGUGCUCAGGUAAUAACUCGGUAUCAUCGUUUGUUUGAUUUUAUGUUUGAAUAAAAACAGAGAUUUGUAUGCUUAUUCUUACGGCGCGUAUUAAACACUGUCGGCUGAGAUGGUGGAUCUUGUUUUUAGCUGUGGGGUUGUUCGCACUGAGGGCCUGAGCCUGAACCUUCGCUGGUGUUUGCGAGGCAACUGUAGUGUUGUGUGUAUGACGUUUAGAUAAUUGAAUGGGUUGCGCGUGGGCCCGUGACGCGCUUUGUGUCCGUGUUCGCAGUUUAGUGUUAGCUCCUUUAUUGUUCGAUUUCUAUAAUCCACAUUGGCGCGGAAAAAGAUUUCGAUCUGCUCUCUUUGAUGGGUCCCUUUUUACCCUUUAUCUUUAAUUAAUGGUUUUCUGCCGCAAGAAAUAUGUUUUACCGUGGUGAAUUAUAUUUUCUUCUUCAAUUGAAUUGGUGUUUAUGUUAAAUUAAUGUUGAAGAAAGAUAGUUGCCCUUUUCAGUAAUAGCAUGAAUUUGGAUCACCUUUAGUCAUUAGUCGCUGUUGGUACACGGUCACUGUCGACAUAAUUAGUUUGUGUAAUAUCAGUAAGCCCGGAGUCAUUCUGCAUUUCUGCUGAUAUUAUUAUUAUAUUUUAAAUUCCAAUUGCAGCCUUUAUGCUUGUUUUAUAAAAUUGGAAAUAAUUAGUUCAUAGUCUGGGAUAGUAUGUCCCUUGGUAUUGUACUAUGGUUUGAUACAUUUGUCUAUUUCUGGUAGUGGAGUGGACUGUUCCAGGAAUAGAUAAUAUCAUAUGAAUACUAAGCUGGCGUCUGAAUCUUGAUGCCUAAUAACAUUUCAGCAUCAAAUUAUUUUGCUUUUGCUGAAGUGGAGGUUAGUUGGAUCUACUUGUUCAUUACAAGAUGAACUUUUAAACUUCCAAAAUUGGGGCUGAGUACUUACUUAUGAGGCUUAUACUUGUCCAUUCACUAAUUGGUCAGGUUGGUGCAAAUCAGAACUCAGGAGAGCUGAUGCCUGAUGGUGAGUUCAUAAGGUCAGGGUGUCCUUAUAUUUACUAUUGCUUUAGUUUCUAGGAUUUGAGUCUUGCUAAAGUGGGUUGCCCAUGUCAUUUCACGAUCCUUAGAAUCUAAUAGUCGCGUUUGAAGUGUGUGAUCUAUAGAUAAUGCACUUGAGAUUUGGGGAUAGUUUCACUUAUUUAUAAAUUUGAUUAGUUUCUAGACUUUAGCAUAUAAUUGGUGAAGUUUUAGAUGGUGCAUUCUCCCAAUAUUACAUUUACUGAUUUACAUUCUUAAUUGGGAAAUUGGCUGUAAUCUUUGCUUUGUUAUUUGACUGAUCUGCGGCUGCUAAUUGUAGUUUUAUAUGGGGUUAUAUUUUUAUUGUUCUCGUUAUAAAUUGACAUUCUUUAGAACGUUUUUUUAUUUUUUAAAAUCUCAAAUUGCUUCUUUUGCAGAAGAUAAAAAUAAACUGAUCAACUCACAUUUUUCCUUUAUUUUUUGAAUAAAAAUGAGGGUAAUUUGAGAUUUUGAAAAGUGAUGAUUUGAAGAUAGUUAAGUCUCACAAUUUAUGUUUUAUUCUUUUCUUUUUCUAUAUUGCAAUCUUAUUGGACUGAUUUUGUUCAAAGUUGUGCAAAAGAAGAUUAGGUUGAUUAGCAUUCCUAAUCAAACUACUCUUCUUACUCAAUUGUGCUACUCUUGACCUUUUGCAUUUGCCUAGAGGGUAGCCAACUUGUCUUGAGUUCAUCACGCCUGAUUUUAGCCCAUAACGCUGCCAAAGCGUCCUCACAUGGUGGACUCGUUGGAACUUGGAACUAGGAAACAUGGAAUUAGUAAGUUCCUGCCACGCGUCCAAUGAUGCCCAAGUCUAAUCUCAACAAAAUUUCCGCCGUCGAUUGUAAUUGUAUUAGGAAUCUGGUCCACUCUAUCCUACAUGCCAACCCAUCCAUCAACACGUAGCCCAUACCUUAGAAAAGGAAAAUGAAUCCAACGGCCUACAAACCGCCCAUAGGACCAGCUGUGCUCGUUAGAUCGAGAUUAGAAUCAAAACUAUUUUUCUCAUGGCAGCCAAGUUAGCAAAUAUCAACACUUCCUAUUUGUUUAAAAAGCGCAAUCCAAAGUCUCUCCAAAGAAGCCAAAAGAAAAAAAGAACUCACCGUAUAUGACUUUCUUCUCAAAUUUAGCCCGACUUUACUUGAUCACUCCCAAGGUUAUUUUCGUACUUGCAUAAAAAUUCACUUCAGCACAUCACUUUUUUCACUUUUUCCUUAACACUCUACUUGACUGUAUUAAAUUUCAUUUUUAUUUCACAUGUUAUGUCCAGUUAAUUGAUGUGUUGUUAUGUGUGUAUUGUUUGUUAGGAAUUCUGAGAAUUCAAGUGCCAUGAGAGGCCAAAGCAACGGUGGUGUGAGAGGUUUUGCUUCACCAGAUAGGGGUGCGCACGAUAAGAGAGGUACCCGUCACAACAAUCACAACCACCACAACAAUGAUUAUAACAAAUCAGGGGCAUCAUCGGAAACAGCUCAUGAUAGCAAGAAAGGUGGAUCCUCUUCCGCUAGUGGCGAGGCGGCGCCACCCGUGUGGCCCCCGAAAUUUGUGAUUGCUUUAACCAACAAAGAGAAAGAGGAAGAUUUCAUGGCCAUUAAAGGGUCUAAGCUGCCACAGAGACCCAAAAAGAGAGCAAAGUUUAUUCAACGCACAGUCAAUGUAAGCUUUUCUUAUUCUUUCCUUGUUUAAUCCUUCAUGAUAUCUAGACUUAUCUACGAUGUUGUUUUAGUUAUUUUAGAAUUUAGAUUUAACGAAUUUGAUUCUAGUUGCAAUUUAAUUAUCGUGAAUAAUCAUCUGUAGGAAUAUUUUAUUGGGGUACAACAUUUAGGAGCACAAGGUACAAUAGAUCUCUUGCGGCCUUUUGAUGAUAUUUUGGGAUGGGACACGGUUUUUAAGAAUGUAGCUGUUACUACAAAUAUGGUUGCUGGGUCGGACCCUGAUUUAUGUGAAACUAUGAUCUACUUUAUUAUUAUUUUUUUAUUAGUCUUCAAUUUUUGUUUUCGCUUAAAAAUAGGGCUGUGUGUAAAGUGACCAGUGAGAUAUACAUGUCCACGUGUCGGUAAAGGCGUGGACGUGUACCUAAAAAUGACCUGUAGUAACGUUAGCCUCCCAGUGACCGAGUCCUGGUUUGGGUGCGGGAUGUAGAAUAAAUUAACAAAAAUCUGGGGUGGGAAUAUUACCCUUGCCCGAGUUUUGUGCUUUGAUAAUCAAAUUUCUCUUGAUUUAGUCGGAAAAUUCCAUUAAAGUAAUGGUACAUAUUUUAAAUCUUUUGUUUUUAAAAAUUAUUCUAAAUAAUGUGGCAUUCCGUAAUGCAGUAAUUCAUACUUUACUUCGUGGGGGAGAUAAUUGAAUAACAAGAGACAAUUGAGUUGUCAUUAAGUUUUUUCUGUUUUUGAUUUUUUUUAUGUUUAUGUUCCAAUUUAUCAAAAUCAAAUAUUCUUACGACCAAUAAGAGUUACUUAAGUCAAGAUUUUACCGUAAGAGAUUAUCACGGUAAUACCGCAAUUUUGAAUUUAUUUUACUUUUCUUGGCUACGGGGAGUUCUUUUUUUUUUUUUUUAAAGAAAGCGUUGAAAAUGUUGGAUAUGUGGAAAUGAGUAAUAAUAGAGUUAUAAUUACCUUCUAUAAGUAAGUGUAUAUAAAUCGAAGUGACGUGACGGAAUUAGUUAUAUAAAAUUAUUAUGGGUUUAUAUAAUUAAAAAUUAAUUAUUAUUAUUAUUAUUUUUAGCUAAUUUUUAUCCGUCAUUAAUUUGUAUAAAUUAUAAAAUCAUUCGUGGGUUUAUCAUUUUACAAGAAUAUGAGGGGGUAACAGAAGGAUAAUUUUUAAAAACGUUUGAGCUUGUUGCAAGUAGAUGGCGAGAAUUAGUUUAUUUGUAAAAAAUCUCCUACCGUCAAUUAAUUUUAAUAUUGACCGUUAGUUGACUGUGCAAAGACAAUAUUAUCCUUAACAAUAGUUUGUAGACGGAAAUAACUAAAAAAAAAUUAAAAUUAUUGGUUAUUUUACACUCUUUAAAUUAUUGAUAUUUUUUUAAAGUUUCUACAAAAAAGAUAAAAUUAAAAACUUGAAAAAUUUUCUUUAAAUUAUUGAUAUUUUCUUAAAGUUCCUACAAGAAAGAUAAAAUUAAAAACUUGAAAAUGAAAUAGUCAUAAUCUUUACUUAUGAUAUUAUAAAUCUUUGGAAUUGACAAGGAUAAUAUUGUUAAAAAUAGGGUUUGUGCUUUUCGCGCCAAUAAUUUUAAUUUUUUUUUUAGUUAUGUCAGUCUAAAAACUAUUGUUAAGGGUAAUAUUAUCUUUGUACAGUCAACUAACGGUCAAUGUUAAAAUUAACUGACAGUAGGAGAUUUUUUACAAAUAAAUGAAUUUUUGUCAUCUACUUACAACAAAUUUAAACCUCAAGGAAAGUUUUUAAAAAUUAUCCGGUAACAGAAUGCCUUAAACGUGGUACGUGGGGUCAACAAGGACGUGGUAGUACAGAGCUGGAAACUGUAUUUUUCUCUUGGUUUUAACUUUUAAACAUUAUGAGUGUCUCAGAUUGAGAUGGAGGGAUCAAUCUGCAACACGUGUACGAUGGCGAUUCAAUAGACAACACAAACUUAUCAACGAAGUAAGGUCCAAAUACUCACCAAAGGUAAUAAUAUUCUUCGUAAAAGUUUAACCGACGGAAGCGGAUGGGCCCUUUGCCCAUUAUUGUGGGGCAUUUCCGUAAUAUGGACAUUGCUUUUUGGUGAAUUAACUUUUCUUGUCUCUAAUAGUUUUUAAUGAUUAAUUUUCUCUUUAUUGAAAUAAUAUUUAAGAAUAAUUUAUAAUAAACAAUGGAGGUGGUUUCGUGACUCUUGUAGUGGUCCUCCAGGCUGGACCACACUGACAGUGCGUGGAGAGCAAAGAUUGCACGUAGUUUUUCGUCCAUAACUUUCUUAAACGCACGACUUGUAGACGAUUCUUUUUGCAAGUAGUUUUUUUCUUUUUGAGGUUGCAAGUAUCUUCUUGCUUAUGGUGGAAUUAUUUUUUUUUACAAAUUAAUUGAAAUCAUAACUGUUUUAAAAAAGCACAGGAAUCUCUCUUUAUUGCAUCCCAAUCAAAAUCAAAAUCUGAAAUUAAAGGCCAAAGUUGCAUUGAGUUUAUGUUUUUCUUUGCAGCUGGUAAGUCCCGGUGCAUGGCUAUGUGACCUGACCCUUGAACGUUAUGAAGUUAGAGAGAAGAAAAUCUCCAAGAAGGUACUUUUUGUAUUACAACUCCCCAAUUGGAGAAGCAUUUACAUUAAAAAUUAAUGGAGCAUAAUGUUUGUAUCGGGGAUCUAAUCUGAUGCAGAGACCGAGAGGAUUGAAGGCUAUGGGUAACAUGGACUCAGACUCAGAGUAGAGGAAGAGGAAGAUGAAUAGCUGUUGAUAGCUGUUGUUUUUUGUUUGUUGAGAAUAUGACAAAAUGUUGCUACCCUGUAAAUCGUUACCUUUCGUCCCUCCCUCUGAGAUGAAUGAAAGGAUAAAAUUUUAGCCAUAUCUUCUCUCUUCUCUCUUCUCUCUUUCUCUCUUCUCUCUUCUCUCUCUCGGUUAUUUUAUUAUUAUUAUUAUUAUAGAGGCAUCAGGCAUCAACACCUGUUUUUGUUUUGCUUAUAUUUUUCUUUUGUUUCAGCUUUAUUUAGGUGCUGGUUGACUGAGCUGGUCACGCUUUAGGCCCAGUAGUGGGCUACGUCCAUUUUGCUGGUUAACAAGUUAAAAGCUACUUUACCAACUUGGUAUAACCUGUCUAAAGUGGGAGUGACGAAUGUGCCACUAGCUUUGCUUAUAGACAAAGCAAGGCUAUUUUCGCACAUUACAAGAUGGUUGAGCUGAAGUUCAUGAAUAAGCUCAUUGGCUACUGGACAAAUAUGGAGUACUAAUAUAAAUUAUUUCUGCACAUUUUAUUGUGCAAAUUAAUACGAAGAGACCUACAUCAAUUAUUUUUUAAGUUAAAAAAUAAUCAAUUGCACAAAGCGUGCAACAAUAAUAUAAAGGGUUUCGAUUAUGUUGGAGUUUACUUACAGUGGUGUGUGAACUUCAGUCAUACAAUAAUAUAUAAGAGUUUGAUUAUGUUGGAGUUCACUUACGGUAGAGCGCGAAUCUCAAUCAUACAAGGAAAGUGAUGAAUAAUAAAAAAUGAGUUAUUUUUUUAUUAUUUAUUAUUUUACGUGUAAUUAAAAUUCGUAUUUUACCGUAGGUGAAUUCCAACAUAUCAAUAACCUAAUAUAAAAUGUCAUCUCAAACUGUAUUAAUGGAAUAAUUAGUGCUUGUUAAAGAGUUUAUAUUUCUAGAAUUUUUGAUUUAGUAUAUAAUUAUGUAGGGCAAAGCAAACGGGAAUCAACAAUUACGUGGUAGGGUCCACAAACCAACUAUAAUAUUCGUACAAGCUAAGCAAAUGUUGGGGAACUCCAGGUGGGGGGUUGGGUGGGGGCGAAUGAAAAGGGAGAACAACCUCAGCUCACCGGUCAAAUAAUACGUUGCAAAUCACGCUUAGCCAUUGAUUACAAAAGGAUGGUUGGGCCGAAUGAGUCAAUUUCGCAAAGACUGCCUUGUCCAACAUAAACUUUUCGAAAAUCAUCAUUCUGGCGACUUCUUCCAAGGCAUCGCCAAGUGUAAUGAUAUACCCCUAUAAACCAACAAAUUGAAUCAUUGCACAUUUGAUCCCCCUGUUGUUUUCUGUUUCACGAAGGUGCCACAGACCCGAUGACUUGGACUUGGAAUAAUUAAAAAAAGGCCAAAAAAAAAAAAAAUGUUCCUGUUGGUCAUGUUAAAGGCACAGAUUCCCCUUCUCCUCCAAUUCUCUCAUUCAUUGUCCUUUCGCACAAUUGCACAUGGGAAUGGGAGUGCAGAAGCCAAGGAGUAAGCGUGUCAGCUGUGCCUUGCCACUUGGGACUUUUUUGUUUAGGGAAGAUACGAAUUACUGUUUACAAGUGCAUUACUUUUACUUAUCAUCGAUUCUUGUGGGAAAUGUAUUUCCUCUUCUGUCGUCCGGCGAACGCGAUUCGAGUGAAAUAAAAUUAAAUUGAUUUACAUAAAAAAAUUAAAAGAAAAGCGGAUAGUGAAUGAUAUAUAACAUAACAACAAAAGGAAUAGCUUAAUAUAUACUGAUAAUAAUCAUAAGUCUCCAAAAUAACAAACAUAAAUCAAAUCAUAUCAUCACAUCUCCGUGAGCUACAAAGCAUAACUGAUAACUCUCUCUCAUUAUAAAAUUUAUAUGUAAUAAGACUCACUCCCUAAAAGACUAAAAACCCAGUGGAUCCGCCGCUACUAAGCCCACAUAACGUCUAAACAACGCAAAAAAAGAAAAAAAAAUGAAGAAACCACUCUACACACCCAAUAAGCUAGUGACACGUAAUCAGAUAGAGAACCGGCCUCUUAAACCCUGAGAACUGAGCCGAACACCAGAGCGGAAAGGAGAGCGACACCAGCGGCGGCUAAGGAAGGCGAGAUCGAGCCGGCUCCGGAAGCGGGAGCUGGAGCGGGAGAGAGAUCUUGAGCCGACCCUGCGAGAACCAAGGCGGCCAGGACAACGGCCAUCAUCAGCGUAGCCAUUGAAGCCUUUGAGAAUGCCAUUAUUGAAGCCUUUUUUUCUCAGGGUUUUUGAGAGCGUAACCGAAGGAAGCUGAGAGAGAUUCUUUUUCCUGUGUCUGUAUGUGGGAAGUGUUAGUAUUUAAGACAUGAGAAGAAAAUAGUGAGGUUUAUUUAUAGACUGAAAAGUGUGGACGGGAAGAGAGAAUUUCGGGCAGCGGCCCGGAUUUUUCCAGUCUGUCUAUUGGUUUCUUGACAGCUAUGUUUAUUUGUGGGGCCCAGUUAAUUAUAAUUUCACGCGACCGUUUAGGGUAUCGAACGGCGAAGCGACGUCGUGUCGGUUCACGAGUGUGACUUACGCCGAGGAAAUAAUUGAUUCUUUGGGAUUGGGAAAAAUUUGAGCAAAGUAAAAUUACGGAAACAGCAGCGAAUUAUAAUAUCGCAGUCUGUGAUAAACUUGAUAACUAUCUACUUGAAUUGAUAGGACAUAUAAAAAGAACAUUGUAUUAUUUAAAGGAUUGAAUAAUUUAAUUGAUAAAAAUCUCUUACCGCUAAGUUUGGAGAUCCAUUUGCACUCAAAUUUGGUGGAGGAAAAUUUUGAUUUCAGUUGUGUUAUGUUAUUAACAAAAAUUAUUGUUCAAAAAAUGCCUUUUUGUAGCUGCAAUAAAUGAGAAAAUUUUAAAGUACUUUUUUUUUAUUAUUUAUAUAAAUUGAACGAAAUCUUGGUGUGAUUAUUUUGUAAAUUCUCGAGAACUUUUGGGGUGGGGUGGGGGAUUUUGUGUAUGAAUGUAUGAUGAGUUCAUUGAAGAGGCGAAUGUUUAAUGGUGGGAUUGAUGAUUAGGGAUCAGUGAUGGUGCAGUUGAUUCCGCUACAAAGAUUUUUGUAAGCGCCCACAGACAGCCCACGUGGGAUGCGGUGGCUCGACCAUUAGGAGGAGGACGCGUGGAGACGUGGAAGGGCACGGGCUUUUUUAAUAUUCGAAUUUUGAAUUUGAAUAAUCGGAUGUGGACCUGUGGACAGUAUGAAAUGAUCGUGAAUUUUGUGGGUUUCCAGAACUUUCCGUUUGGCGUGUGCGACUGUGUGUUCAUUGGCAGGCACAUGUAGGAGUGUUACGAAGUUUACGCGUUAAACGUAUGCGGAAAGAAAAUGGUUUAACUUUGGGUAAAUGUUUAAAAAAGGAAAUUUCAAUCAACGCUUCUUCUUCUUCUUCUUUUUUUUUUUUUUAUUCCAUAAAAGAAGAUCUUUAAUUUCUGUAAUUAUAUCAUAAUUGAGUCCAAGAAGAUCUGGCUGCAUUGUUGUAAUUUUAUUUAGUUAACCAUAUAAAUUUGAGUCCCGAAGUUAAAAACUUAAUUUUAAUUUUAACUGCUCUUCCAUCUUCUUUUUGUUUUUGUUUUUGUUUUUAAAUGAUCAUGAAACACCUCUUCUCAUUAAUUAAUGUAGAAAAAAAAAGGUUUCAACCACUCCUACGUAUAUUAGCAUGAUUUCUUUUUUAAAUAUUAUUUGAUUGGUAUCAUUGCAAAGUUAAUUUAGAUUCAGUAGUUUAUUUUGGCUAAAACAUCAUAUAUUUAAGAUGCAUCAUCAGAAAAUUGAUUUAGAGUCACCUAAUUUUGAGCUCAAAUAUUAUAUAUUUGCACUCACAAUCAUAUAAUUGGUUUAGAUUUAAUCUGUUUUAAGCUCAAAUAUGUAGCUAUCACAUAAAUAAUUUAGAAUGUUACAAUAUUCUAAGGGCGUGGUCGGGUUAAUUAUAGUGCAGUUGUAGCCUCUACCAAAAUCCGGGUUCGAUUCUUAGAGAUCAAGAUUAUGUUUAGGCUCGCCCACCUCCUCUUACUUUAAAAAAAAAAAAUUUAGAAGGUUACUAAUAUUUUUUUAAUUAUAAAUAUCAAUAUAUAUUGUAAUGUAAUAUUCUUUUUUUUUUUAAAAAAAAAAGGUCAGGUAGAAUUGAUCUCCCUCAUACCAAAUUUUGUAAAAAAUAAUUUAGGUUAUGCCGAUUCAUAAGAUGAGGGGUUCAUAUAGUUUAGUUCAGUUGAUAAUUUUUUUUUUUUGGUUGAAAAAAGAGAUAUGAGAUUUAAAAUCAGUUUAGGUGAGCAAGGACGGUUUUGGGUUGUCACCGAGCUAAAUUAAAAAGGAUUAAUGAGAUGAGACGAGUGGUUUGUUAAAAAGAAUAGUGCCACAUAUUAUAAAGUUUGUGUCAAAAAAAUUCAUCCUAUAAAAGAAGAGACACUCCUAAUAGGCAUGAAAAAAAAUACAAUAAAUCGUUUUAAAACAUAACUGUGACUAGAACAUCCCCUUGUGAAGAUAUAUUUUUUAUUUUUUUAAAAAAAAUUAUUUAAAUAUCUCUAAUGUUCAUGCAACAAAUACGAUGAAUAGUCACAAGGGCAGUCUAGAAAAAGGCAUUUACAAAUACACGGCGGGCCAACAAAGAAUCAUUCACCUUCUAAUCCUUCGAUGUCUGCUUGCAACUCAACUAAACUAACAGCAUUCCAAAAUCAGCAAGAAAACGAUUUAAGAACUUAUUUUGGAAUGCUAUUAGUUUUUAAGGAUUAAUGAGAUGAGAUGAGUGGUUUAUUAAAAAGAGUAGUACCACCUACUGUAAAGUUUAUGUCAAAAAAAUCCAUCCAAUAAAAGAAGAGACACUCGUAAUAUGCAUUAAAAAAAAACACACAAUAAAUCAUUUUAAAACAUAACGUGAAUCAAACAUCACCUUAUGAAGAUAUAUAUAUUUAAAUAUCUCAAAUGUUCAUGCAACAAAUGCGAUGAAUAGUCACGAGGGCGGUCGAGAAAAUGCGUUGACAAUUACACGACCGGCCAACAAAAAAAUCAUUCACCUUCUAAUCCUUCAGUGUCUGCUUGCAACUCAACUAAACUGAUAGCAAUUAGCAUACCAAAAUAAGCCAAAAAAAAAAAAAAAAAAGAUUUAAGAAUCUUAUUAUUUUACUCGUUAAUAUUGCUAAGCAUAUGGCAGCCCUGGGCGGCUGUGGAGUGCAGCCUGGCGUUGGAUUUGCUCACAGACAGGACCUGUAAGGCUGAAACAACACGGCAGCAACAAAGAAAGUAGUUUUAUUUACGUAAUACAAUUUUUUAUACCUUUAUUUUUUAUCUGCAUGAUUUAGUUCUUACACAGACGUGCUAACGAGAAUCAUCCAGUAGCUGGUGUCACUUGUCAACUACUCCUUAACUUAAAGAGCAUAUUUGGGAUUGUCAAGUAUUCCCAAAUUAGUGAUUAUUUGAGAAUUUGUUAUCACAUAUGGUUGGUUCGAGUUAUUCUCUCAGACAUAUCACACCAAUAAUCAUCAAAUAAGUGAGAAUCAAACAAAAUUUGAAAGCAAAUUCUCAAGUAAUUGGUUAGAUUGUAUGAAAAUUUGACUUGUGAAUAUCAAGUAACCUCAGAAUUAGAAUGACUGUAAUGUAUACAUUGGCAUUUACUAUUUACUAAUCACCAAUCAUAGCUUUCUAUUUGGCUCAAUGGCUGAGUGCAAAUCCAGAUGAGCAUGAAAUUCAAAUCAACUCAAAAACCGUUAGAGAAAACAAAAUAUCUUUGAAGUAGUUAUCACUUCAUUAUUAUCAGUAGGAUGAAAAUGAUCGAAGUUAAAAACGUCCAAAAUUAUUAAAUUCAUUUAUCUAACCUGAAUAAUGGACACAUAUACCACGUUGGCUGUCAUUCCUCUGUACAUACAAGAAUCUCACUGUAUCAUCAAAGAGGCUAAUCCUAUGUAACAGUCCUCUCAAUUCGUAUUAUGCAACACGUCUAUCCGAAAAGCUCCUAAUCAUCUUUCUUCCUCGGCUAUUACCAUUCAUUCAAAAGUCAACUCAAAAGGUAGACAAAUUUAUUUGUUAAAAGCCCAAAACUUUAGAUGAUAUAUUCAUCAGAGGUUGUAAAGCACUCGGUGCAAAUUUUCUUCCAAAGAGAAAGCAAACUGUAGAGGGCUGGUUAUUGUAUUUGCAAUGCUGACCUCCAUAAACUUUCUUGAAAAACUCCUCUGUUAUGUCGGCUCUUCCGAAUGUGGCUGGAUGAGCACCACCUCUCGACCAAUCAACCCAAGUGCUGCUUCUAUUUGCCAAGAGAUUUGGCAUUUGAAUAGAUAGCAUGGUGGGAAAAUAGUGUUCGUCCACAUAACAAGGUGGUCUACAGAAUUCCGCGAAUUUUGGAUAAUAUGUAGUAUCUUCCACAAUGUUGACUGCAAGCCUUCGGUUGAUUUCAAACCAUUGGGAUCCUUUGCGCCACUGGGUAAUGUUCACCACAGGUGCCAUGUUCGCAUUGUAGCGUCCUCUCCCAUAUGGUCCAGGGUCAUCAAAUGAACCCAUGAAACUAUGUUUGGAUUUCUUUAUGUAAUGGUAGAUGAGGGAGAAAUUAUAAAGAGGAAUGCAAGACUCAGAGACAAGAAUGAACCAUUCAUUGGAGAUAUCAAGCAAUGCAUUAGCAAGGAGUCUUCUCUCAGCAUCGCACAUGCUCAUUUUUCCCCAUUCAGAGAUCUGCAAAGGGAAGAUACAGAAGACAUUACAAUCUCCUCUAAAUUUUGGGAAAUAUUGUAUUCAAAGCUAUGUGCUAAAGUAAAUAGAAUAAGCAGAUAAAGCAUAACCAUCAAAGGCUUUCAGAAGAAUGCAAGACAGUUCCACUACCAAACACUUCACCUAGAACAUGUAAUGAUAACAUUUGGUAAAGGUAAUCAUAAAACCUGUUAUUUUCCAGGAUCAAAGGGUAUCAAGUAUCAAUUUUACAUUUGGGACAGGAUUAUGGUAGCUGCUUGUUGUUGAAAUGGCACUGUAGCAGAGCUAACCAAAUCAGAUCUCCAUUUCUUGGAGGAUUUGUAUCCUGUUCCAGUUACUACAAGGGGGCAACUCAAGAACAUACAUGUCUUCCUACUUGUCCAAUACAAAAACGUAGGGAGAAAAAAAAAAUCAAAUAAAACGCACUUCGUCGAGCCAAUAUACAUACAGACAGCUCAACCCUCCCCCUUGGUGUUUUGGGAUCCAAAAUUUUUCACCUCCACACGAUAUAUGGCAGUGGUUACCAGCCUUAGAUAAACUUACACUGUUGCAGUUCCCAACUUUCAAAAUUCAACCCAAAAAAUGACCGACUCUUAUUGUUGAUCAUUCACUCAAACCCAGUUUUGCUGGUGAAAGUUAUAAUGUAUGCCAUCAAAUUAAUUAGAAAAUGUUUGCCAAGUAACAUUCAAGAAUGCCACCAUGUCAUCUAUGGAUUGUCCGCUCCUGCUAGAUUCCUCGCAAUUUCUCAUGGACUCCAAUAAUCCGUAAGGCAAUCAGGGGAAAAAAAAAGGAGCAAAAUUUUAACUUGGCUAAGCAAAAACAGAAUAUAUUUAGUUUAUAAACAGAAUCUGUUAAUCAGCAUAUUCCUAUUCAACAGAGUAUUUCUAGACUUUGAUCGUGAAUCACCAUGCAUAUAAAAGUGAUGAUGCUAAAUGGGAACACUACUUUCUACUUUCAAACACCAAGAGCCUACAGAUGACUGAGAGGUCCUAAGAACUGAAGAUUGUUAAACAAAAUUCGGAAAGCUAUGCAAGCAUGCUAACACUAUAUAGAUCCUCAAAAGAAUAAUUCACAUUAUAGGUAAAAAAUAAAGUACUGCUCAUCAUCACUCAAGAGAAGAAGAUCAUAACUUACAUCGUCAUAUAAUCAAUAGUACAACAAAGAUGAUCAGAUGAAGUUUCCACCAGAAUUUUAAAUGAAUAAAUAAAACCUGCAAUAGAUAGAUAUAAUGUCAGGCAUACCUGACUUGGGAUUUGUCUGUUGUAAAAAACUGAUGAAGAUGGAAACUUGUUCUCGAAUGUUGGCAGAGAAUGAACAUAGAUAGAAUAUAGCCCUUCAUGCCCCUUGAAAAACUUCUCCCAAAGAGGUCCAAGAGGUAAUGGCCCCUUCGUCAAGAACAUAAAUGCAAUCUUUGGAACUCUCUUAAAGGGAUACUCCUUCACUCGAGGCACAAAUGAGGCCCUCCAAAAAAGCUCCUUAUCACUCAUUGUGUGCAUUAAAUUUGAUGGAGGAUUUAUCCAAUAAUCCAAACCAUUCGGUAGUUCAGGGCAUGCCACAAAACUGGACUUAACCGUUGUCACAACACUCUGGACUCCAAACCGACGAACUGAGUAUAUACUAAUCAACGAAAAGGCUAUACACAGAGCCAGAAACAAACCAAAUAACUGAAAUAAUCUCAGUGGCAAGGCCCUAAAUUGAUUUGUCUUGUUAACAACUGCAGGGUCUUUGCCUUCCUCUAGCGGAACAACCCUUGCUUGCAUCUUUAUAACUCUAAAUCAAAUCAAAAUUUCACCUUCUGCGUCAGAUCCAAAUCAACAUCCUAGCAUCAAAAGCACUACUAAGCCUCAAAAUACCAGCUAAUUUAUUCACCAGAGCUAGCAAAAAAAACAGCUUUUUUUAAAUAUUUGAAAUUUGUGGAAUUCAAUAUGUUUCAGCAAAACAACCCCACUUAGCAACAGUAACGAAAUUAGAUCUAGAGCUGACACUACAGUACUCAAAAAGCAAGUAUUAACAGAUAUAGCACAAUCAUCAGCUUUCACAGCACAUGGGUUUCUUGAAUAAGAAGCUCUUAGCAAAAAUCAAAAGUCCAGAUCGGACUACUUGAUAGUCUAUAGAUCAAACGAAACCAUUAACGUGAUUGGUGGGGUGAUGAAAAACAGUACACGAUGGUGAACGUUCAACAUACCAUGUAAAUUUGUUGGGGCUAUAUGAGGAAACAAAGUUUGAAGCUUUAGCUCGAAUUGCGCCACCAAAGAAGAGAAACAGAACGGUCAAAUAAAUGAACAAAGUUAGGCAAAGAAAAUAAGAGGAGAAAAAGAGAAAAGUCCUUGGGACGCCCAAAGAGAGAGAGAAAAGGAGGUCCAAGAAAGUGGGGAAUCAAGGAAAUUUUGAGUGUGUGUGUAUGUAUGUAUAUAUAUAUAUAUAUAUAUAUAUAUAUAUAUAUAUAUAUAUAUAUAUAUAUAUAUAUAUGGGACUUUGAAUUUGAGGAAAUCACAGAAUUGUAAUUAGGUGAAUUGUGAAAUGUGGAGAAUUCAAAGAAUGUUUUUUGAUUUAACACGUACAGUGGAAGUGUCUGCUUCGUCUUUUGUGGGUUAGCCGUCACCAUGUGAGAGGCGGUUUUUGCAAGGUAAUAAUACGGCAAUGUCUUGCUGUCAUUUUGUAACGUUUUGGAAAACAAAUUUACCCUGAUUCAUUUGCCUUGAUAGAUCCUUUUUUUUUUUUAACCUUUUUUUUUAUAACUUGAAAUAGAAUGAAAUUAGUCAAAAUUUAAAUUUGAAUGAUAUGUAAAUUUUUUUAAAAUUUUUAAAAAUAAAUAUUAAAUUAUUUGUUUUUUAAUUUUAAAAAACUGACAGCCUAUACUUUUACAUUUUUACCCUUACUAAAUUUAAAUGUUGAAUAAAUAAUAUAUUUUUAAAAGAACUUAAAUAUGAUAAUAACAUUAUCUUUUUUUUUAAAAAAGGAUAAUAACAUUAUCUAAAUCAUCUUCAAGUAAAUGAUUUAUGAAAUCAUUCACUUGGCAUAGGGUUGUUCUAACUUAACCAAUGUUUUUUAUUCGAAUCUUGAAAAUGCAGUUGCGUUAAAUACUUAUUGGAAGAGCUUUGACGCCCUAGUGGUCUUACCCAGCUCGAAUUUGAAUUAGUCGAGACCUAAUGUAGUUUCGGAUACCAAAUAGUUUAAUACACGAAAAAAAAAAUUUAUAAAAUUAUAAUAUAAAAAGUUCUUUAAAAUUAUCACAAGUUCACAAUGCUAGUGCGUAAUAUAAGAAAAAACUAACAAGAUACUUGGGAAGUAAAAAAAAAGAAAGAAAAAACUGAACAAAAAUUCUACAAGAAAAGACUGUCAAUGGAAUCAAUUAUGGACUAUCAAAGGCCAUAAAGGAGAUUCAAGAAAUCCUUCGCGUGAAUGUUGUGUCUCAUCAUGAAAAGUAUCUUGCCUUGCCAUCUAUGGUAGGGAAAAACAAAAGACAAUUCUUCAAGUCGAUCAAGCUUCGAGUGCUCAACAAAUUAAAAGGAUGGAAGGCCAGGCUCUUCUCAAGCGGUGGGAAGGAAGUAUUGUUAAAGGCUGUCAUUCAAGCCACUCCUGUUUAUGCUAUGGGCGUUUUCAAGUUGCCAAAAUGCUUAUGCGAGGACCUACAGCGUUGCAUCACAAAUUGUUGGUCGGCCAACUAUGAUGACUCUAAAUGCAUUCACUGGCUUUCUUGGAAGAAUCUUUGCAAGCCAAGGAAGGACGGGGGGCAUGAGAUUUAGAUAUUUAGGUCCUGUUUGUGAUUGAAGUAUGCUGUUAAAAAAAAUUAUAGUUAUAUUAUAAAAAUUAAUAAUAUGUAGUAAAUAUAAAUUUUAAAUAAUAAUUUUGACAAAAUUAUUAAAGAUAUAAUAGAUUUUAUAUUAUACAAGUGAAAAAUCAUAUCAAUCUAAUUUUUAACUUAUAGCAGUUAGUAUUUACUGAACACUUUAGUGCUGUAGCUUAACCUCAAUCUCAAACGCGCUCUUAAGUUCCUUUAAUUAAGCGCUCUUGGCCAAGCAAUGUUGGGGAAUACUACAAGCACCUGAGUCUCUUUUGGCCAAAGUUCUUAAAGCUAGGUACUUUUCCAACACAAACUUCCUAAGUAGCAAAAUCAAAAGCGGCUCAUCUUUUGUAUGGAAGAGUACUCUAUGGGGCCGUGAAGCUAUCAACACUGGCUCAAGAUGGAGGGUUGGCGCUGGUAGGAGCAUAUUUAUUUAUAGAGAUAAUUGGAUGCCAAGUCCAUUAUCUUUUAAACCUAUAUCCCUGAAGACAUGCAUUGCCGAGUGAUUCUAAAGUUUCAGACCUGUUAAUAAAUGGUAACGAAUGGAAUGAGCAGCUAAUAAAGUAAUUCUUAAAAGGAGUCCCCUUGCCACGAGUCCCUACUAAUGACAUUUUAGUGUGGCGUUAUGAAAAAAAGGAGGAUUUUACACAGUUAAGAGUGGUUAUCAAGUGUCCCUUAUUCUCACUCAUCCUAAUUCCCCUUCAAGUUCAUUUGGCUCCGCUAAUUGGUGGUAUCCCUCUUGGCUUUUAACCAUUCCAUCUAAAGUCAAGAUCUUUUUCUGAAGAGCUCUACGCAAUAUACUCCCUACAUCAAAUAAUCUUUUUCAACGAAGGGUAGUGGAUUCCCCACAUUGUCAACGAUGUUACAGUGCUGUUGAGGACACCUUUCAUGUGCUAGUUAGCUGUAAGUUUGCGAUGAAGGUGUGGAAGUUGUCAACUAUGGCUGCUCACGUCACGAAUAGCCCUAAUAUGGAUUUUGCAUUUUUUUUGCUAAGAAUUUGGAAUCUUCGCUGUCAAAAGAGGACUACUAAUCUUUUGUGAUGAUUGCAUGGUCUAUUUGGCACUCUAGGAACAUAGCGCUCUAUCAACAUCAGAUGAUGGAUCCACAAAAUAUUCUUUGUGGCUGAAGCUGUUUUGAAUUCGACACUGCUACUCAAGGCUCCCCAAUUCAAGAGCUAUCGGUCUGUCCAACCGAGACGGAUGUUGGUUGGAUUCCACCAGAGACUCAUUGGUACAAAAUGAACGUUGAUGCAAACACUGACAUCUCUAAUGGAAUUACAAGUUUGGGUGCAAUAAAAAGAAAUUCCAAGGGAGAUUUCAUGGCUGCCUCAGCUCGCAAGAAAUCUUUUCUUGGUGACGUUGAGAUUACAGAUGCUGAGGUUGUCCUACAAUGCAUCAAGCUGGCGACAGAUUCGGACUUCUCUCCCUUGAUUGUCGAAUCUGACUCGGCAAAUGUUGUUCUUGUUGCAAAAAUAGUAUAUCGAUAUGCUACUUCGAUGGCACAUUUUGAGUGGGUUCCACGUAGCGAAUGUGGAAAAUCUUGUGAGGUUUGGAUUCUACUCCAUGAAAACUUCGAAAGUGUAUAUUUAUGUACUUAAAAUGGUGCUUGGCUGAAUGACAAAUUGUCUCUCAAAGUGCACUCUUGAAGUUGAAAAUUUGAAAGGAAAUGAGUUUUAUCCCACAAGGGAAAAUAAGUCAAGGGAUUUGUGUUUAUAUAUACACUUACCCAUGCAUGAGUAAGAAUUAUAAGGAUAGAGGUUUUCUCCACACGCGCAUGCGCCGGGGGAGGGGGUGUUGUAAAUUCUAGACUUAUUUGGUUAAAUUUGUGUGCGUCCGUGCGUCCUGCGCACGCGAAUAUCAGUCCAAAAUCACCCAAACUUGCAUGUCAAACAAGUUUUUAGAAAUUGUAAUACGCCCAUUAAUUAGCGAAAUUGACACUCUCUGUUAUUAACGAUCUUUGUUUGGUUGGAAGACCCUCUCGCAGACAUUGUGGUACACAUGUAAACUUUGUAUUUGUCCAGCAAGGAAAUGUUUUAAAAAAAAUAAAAAUUGUCGACUAUCAAAGGAACCGAUUCACUCUUAAACUUACAGUACACAAUAUUACAUGCCAAAUUAUGACUAAUUAUGCCUAAUGCAUUAAUAUCCUUUCACAACGGUGAAAUCUGAAGGCCCAAAAAUAUUGUCACUUGUUCAAGCCAAAAUAUUGAGGCCAGAUAAGCACCCUAAGGUCAAUAAAUAAUUAACGAAAUCAUACUAGCUUUCUAAUAAAAUCUAUCGAAAGUAAUAUAAAUUGAAAAAUGAUGGAGCACUUUUUAACCCUAAAGGCCUAAACUCAAAUUCACACCUUUAAGAAUGAAUUAAAAUCUAAUUAAAAAAAAGAUUUUAUAAAAAAAGAUUAUAUAAGGAUGAGUUUAUUAGUUGUACAUGGGUGACUUUUUUGAUAAAUAUAGAAAAUAAAUAAUUAAAUAGAGAUAUUUUUGACAUUAGAAUUUUAGUCGGUUUAUGCAGAAUUUUUAAUUUAGUAAAACGUAAAAAAAGAGGCUUAUUUUAUUCCAUCAAAAUUAUCUAAAAACCUCAUUAAAUCAUAAAAAUAACCAUCUUUAAUUGACUUAAUUAAUUAAGUUGUCAUUUAAUUAGAAAAAGAUACACCCCUUAGUUUUUAAUUCAAUUCGUAAUUAAACAGGAUACGUCUCUGUCAUUUGUGCACAAUUAAUAACAAUGCUUAUCCAGAAUCCUUUUAAUCGGCCUUUAAAUUGAAUAAGAAGAUGUUUGGAAGAAUUUUUUUAUCUCUAUCAUAAAUUGUGAGCAAGAAGAGAGGGCAUAUAACAACUAAGAGAAAAUAAGUACAAAGCACGAAAACCAGCUCUGCACUUUUUUCUAGUUCUUUCAGAUUCUGCACUCCGUUUAUUCCCCUCCCAUGUCAUGAAGAGAUGGGUCUUUUUCUCUUCUUCUUUUUUUUUUUUUUCCUAAUAUAAUUUCUAAAAGAAUUUAUGAACAAACAGGUAUUUAUAUGCACAAUUAAUCACGAGUCGCACAAACCAGUGAUUCCUGGCCACGAUCGUGCGAUAUUACGACAUUGCUGAUUUUUUUUCUUUUCUUUUCGUUGUGAGUAAUUAACAUAUAGGGCCCACCAACCACUGCAUCCCGAGAUUGCGUGCCAAAAUCAUGUAAAUUGAUUUUGGAAGUUUCGGAGCUAAGUACGCGUAGCAUUAUUACUGGAGAACAUUCAGCCUUCAAUGCUACGAGAAUUCUCGGGUUGUUGCACAUUGAUUUUGGAAGGUUGGUGCGCAGAAUGCCAUAGAAAAAGCUCACGCAACUCAGGUAAUUAUUUUUCCACGUGGCAGCUACAUGGAAAAUGAACGGGCACAGACUCCUAAAGUGCCACUAAAAUACAGUCGUAAUAGAUUAUACAAGCAAACGAAAGUUUUAAGAAAAAUGAAGUAUCAUUUCCGCAGCCCCUGCACAGAUUAGGGGAACUGCAAAGACAUGCUUUGACAAGAACAAAUCUCGAUUUCAAUCAUUCAGAAUAUUGACAUGCUGCACAAGAAAUUGAAUUCAUAUAUUUUCUGACCAAUGGUGAGUUGCAUCCCAUGGAUGCACUCCAUCAGCAGAACUGUCAACACACCAUGAUAUUUGUAUCCAGAAGACAAACUUUCCUAAAAAACACAACAUCAUUUAGCGAGCCAUUAAUCAGUUGACUGCUGUUAUGACAGCACUUUAUGCACGUAAUCAGAAGUAGACAUAUUUCGUCAAGCAACUCCCAUACAUUGCAUACUACAUGUAAUCCAGUCAAAUGUUUCUACCUCAUUCACAAGGAACAGUUAGGGCGUAUGUACCAAGAGAAGAGCUUUACUUCAGUGCUUCACCACUUCAAACUUGAAGCGGAGGUUGGAAAUCAUAACCGGGCACUCUCCUUUCUCAUCGUACUCGGCAUAGUCCCCUCCUGACAAGUCAAUGUCUUCAUACUGAGUCCCAGCAAGCUACACAAACAACUUACAGUUAGUUCGACAAAGCAAAACCAGAACAAAUAGAAUUUCUUUUUUUGGGGUCAUAGAGAAUUUUUCCUCAUAUUAAUCUCAGAUUAACGAGAUUAAUUUGACUCAUCAUCAUCGCACAAAUAAAAGAUGGCUUUAGUAACAACAAAUGUCUAUGAGGAUAGAAGCAAAAUGUGCAACAAGAAAAAGCAUCAACAGUAAUUAGAAGAAGAUAUAUUGAUGAUGAAUCUUCUUAGCUGCGGCAAAACAUUAACCCAAAAAGUACCAAGUGCAUUUACAGCUGUCUGCAUGGGAAUGAGAUAGUUAGGAGCACAGUAGAAAAAGAGGAGAAACAUGUGUAAUGCAUUCGCCUGUUCUUAUCGAAUGAAUGCAAGUUACACUUCAUCCAGCUCAUCUUUAAUACAGUUAGUAAGCAAAUAGAAUCUUCAAACAAGGUUUCCAUUCCAAAGUCUGCCCACCCUUCGCCAUUCAAGUCAAGAGUAAGCCGAUAGGAGACUGAGAGAGCAAAAAUCUAUUGUCAUGCUCUCCACCUAAAUAGAGAGGCAGAAACCAUAAAGGCUAAACUAGAGCAAAUAAUCAAACAAUAUGCUAACACAUUAAAGAAAAAGCUGGAAAGAAUUUGUAAACUAAAGAGCUCAAUGUUGAAAAUAUUCACAACCGUGAAAUGCAUAAAAAAGGAUAAGAUGUAUCUUAAAUGAAGAUGGUCAUGCAUAAUCAUAAAUACGAACACUCAACUUGCGCUCUGAUAACACAAUGCAGUGCUCACAAGUCAUUUCCAUCCACCACUUGAAAUAUGUCUAAUGUUUAGUGUUCAAAAACUAUGGGGAAAGGGCAAGAAUAGAAACUUACAGAUUCAACUUUCCAUCCAACACCAAAGACGAAAUCCACAGGCUCAUAACCCCUGCAGUCGAAUAACAUCAAGGGGCUAAAACCCCCAGAUUGAGCAGCUUCCUGGGUCAGUGGUUUACCCCGGCCUGGGAUCAUAGUAACAGUUCCUUCUCUCCCACAAAAUUUGCACUGUGAAGAAAGAUAUGGAGCCAGAAAAUCACCAACAACCAGAACACAGUCAUUUUAUAAAUAGAGUGAAAAAGUUUCAUCUGUAAUAUGUCACAGCAACACUUGAAAAUACAGACAAUAUGUCACGGUCAUUUAUACUACAAGUCUCUAACAGAUUAAUCUACCCAAGAAACUUGAAAAUAUGCAAGAAAUCCAUAGUACCAGAUCCUCAUUCCCACACCUUCAAAGUAAUUACUCAAGCUCAACCAAAGAAACUUAAUAAUUCUUUUUCCAUUCUAAAUCCAAGGCAUCAAAAAGCAUAUAUAGGUCAUUGAACAGAAAAAAAAUACAAUUUAUACUAGAAGUCCCAAGAAAAACUAUAUCUUGAAAGCUUGUCGCAUGCAAGCAAUUUUUACAAGAUAUCAAAAGAGCUGAAGAAUUACAUUCAAAUCAUAAAAAGAAAAGCUCUGAAGUUCACAAAGAAUCAUGAGGAUACAUUAUAGAGUUAUGUUCUAUCAUGAUUCCAUGAACUCGUUCACAACAACAGUAACAGAAAGGCCUUGGUUUUAAGUCCAAGAAAUUGAUUUGUUACACUAUGCUACUGCUAAACAUCUCCAGUUUGACUACAAACAAUAAUAUACAUCUAAGCUCAAAUGGCACCAAUUUUAACUAGCUUGAUGAAUAUAUAUAUUCAAUUAGGGAUCUCUGGUUGUAUUAAAGUUGGGAAUAAGCUAACAGACAAAAAAAAAACAGACUCCAGUGCAGUGUAUUUUGUUCCGUAUUGUGUUGAAAUUUGUGUUUUCUGUCAUUUAACUUAUCCCUAACGUUAAUAUGAUCAGGGAUCCCUGAUAGAAAACUCUCUCUCUCUCUCUCUCUCUCUCUCUCUAUAUAUAUAUAUAUAUAUAUAUAGAUAUAUGUGUGUGUGUGCGCGCGCAAUAGUGAUGUACUGCAACCUAUUUUAAUCUCCACUGCAAGUGUAUAUUACUUGAAACAAUUUACAUUAGCAAUAUCUGGUACAAGUAUCAUGACUACAGACCAUCUAAUUGCAUCAUUUAUCUAAAGAUAAAUGAUUAAAUGAAAUAUGUAACUUCACUAAACUAAGCCUGAGGUACCAGUAUAACAGCUUUUCCUUCACAGUUUGAUCAUUUGGUUAGAGCAUAUAUCUAUUUAAAGUCCUCGCAAUAAGACAAACAAGAUCACUCACAUUUUAAUACAUACACAAAGAGAGGAAGAGAGAGAGGUAUUACUUUUUGAAUGAGAUUUGUGGUUCCCUUGCCUCCUUGAGUAGGAAGAGUUUCAGCCAAGCUCACACAAGUUUCUUUCUGGCUUAGUUCUCCGCAUCCACACUUCAACUACACCUCACAAAAAAUAAACAGAUAAACAUCUAAUUCAGAGAGCAUUGCAAGAUUAAAAUUCAAUUCCAACAUUAACUAACUAGAAUCAACAAAACAAACAUAUAAUAUAAUUUGAUAAGAGUGAUAUACAAUGUUACUGAAAAUCAACUUAUAUGAACAUCCAUAAGCAUAUAUAAAUCAGAUCUGAAAAUAAUAUGAUGAGUGACAGAGAUUGAACUGAAUAUAAUCAUUAUACAUAAAAACACAAACAUACAUAACAGGAGACAACAAAUUUGAACACUUAGAAAAAGAAUCAAAACAAAAAAUCCAAAGCAAAACAAGGUGAAGAGCAUUACUAGAGAUCAUAGUCACAAUAAUCAUCUGUAUUUGAAAAUCAAGUAAAAUGAGUAACCUAAAACCAGAAACCUAAAAAUAAGUACUCGCAUUCAUUUGGUGUACGAGAGAGAGCAAUGAAAACAGAAAAGAAAAAUCCAUACCGAAAUUCAUCCAUUAUGUGAAGCAAAGCGAGCAGUGCAAGAAGUAAAUACGAAGUAAAGAAGAAUCAAGAGCGGCGAAACGGAGGUAAUACUGAGGGAGAGAAAGAGAGGGGACCUUGAAGAAGUAAGAGAAGUUAGGAUCGUCGCAGCCGCCUUGAGGUUGGAGAUUGGUGAGGUUCUCGAGAUCGGCGCUGAUCAUCAGCAUGCAAUUCACCAUUUUCGCUUAGCUUUCCAGUGCCAAAAUAUUCUCUCUCUAUUUUUUCAGCGUGCUGGAUGGACGGAUGGGUUGAGACUUGAGAGAGACAAGGUAAGUGCUCGCCGCUUCGAUCGAGGGAAUUCUAUUAUACGCGCGUGGCUUGGCGAAUGUUGCCCGCCCACGGAGAUUACAUCGAUACGAUAAUUGUUUUGAACGACAUGUCGUAUUUUUCUUGGAUGGUAAACAGACAAGACGUUUAUACUUGGUGAAAAUGCUACAAUUUUGUAAUCGGGAUUUGUAUGACCAACUAGGGUCGCAUAAAGUCAGUAGAGUUUGGUAUACAUGUACAAAUAAUUUGUUACGUGCUUUGUAUCUAAGCUGGAGAUAGUAUUAUGAUUUUAAAAAAAUUUUCAAACGAAAAAUUUUAACGAAAUCUUUCAAUUUUUUAUUUCAUUGUAUUUAACUCUAUAUAUUUCUCUAUUCGUAGAGUACAUUGAAUGUACAAAAAUAGUUAUAACAUAAUUCUUAUUAUUUGUAUUAACAGUUACUCUAUAAACAAUGUUGUUGUGAAGCUGUUAGUUUAAUUAUGUUACUAGUAUGCUGACGUGGCGAGCUGAGCUGGAGUGUGGGCCUGCUGUUAGUUAGAAGCCGUUAUUAUUAACGGUUGAUUCCAAAAACAGAGGCAUGCAUAUAUAAGGGUUGGUUUGUGGCAUAGUUAGCGUGUGAUUUUAAGGGUGAUAGAGUGAGAGAUAAUAAAUUCUGUAAACUAAAGAUUUAAUCUCUGCACUCCAUAGAUUCUUUGUGUAAUCGUCUCCAUUAAUAAAGCUUAAGCCUUCUGCUGGUUUUUCAGCCGUUGAUGUAGGUACCUUGAUACUGAACCACGUAAACUCUUUCUCUGUGCUUGCUUCUUGGUUCUUGGUUCUUGUUGAAUCUUACUGUUGUUAUUUGUUUCUAAUUCUAGUUCUUGGUUGUUCUGAGUUGAUCCUAUUAUGUUAACUAGUUCAAGGUGGUUGCAUUUGUCGAUUAAGCAUUAACAAACUGGUAUCAGAGCUUGGUUCAUUGAGGCUGUUCUUGAUCAAAAUGACGACCACCAGAUUUGAUCUCGAAAGGUUUAAUGGUGAUAACGACUUCUACGUCUGGAGUCUUAAGAUGAGAGCAAUUCUCAUCCAGUAAGGGCUUGAUAGUGCUCUUGAUGAUGAAGAUGAAGAUCCAAAGGGCAAGAAAGAACAUGCAUAGGGCUCAUCAAUAUUAGGAGGAGAUCAGAAAACCAUUAAUAACAAGGCUCACAGCACCAUUAUCCUACAUCUCUCUAAUGAAGUGCUGAGAGAGGUUGCAAAAGAGAAGACUACAUCAGGAUUAUGGUCAAAGUUGGAAGACUUAUAUUUGAAGAAGUCAGUGGCCAAGAGAUUAUAUAUGAAGAGGAGACUGUACACCUUCUCCAUGAAAGAGGGAGUAGCUAUAAAUGAUCAUUUGGAUGAAUUCAAUAAGCUAAUCUUGGAUCUUGAAAAUGUAAACAUCGAUUUGGAAGAUGAAGAUAGGGCACUAAUUUUGCUAAGCUCCCUGCCUGAUUCAUUUGAGCAUUUUGUUGAUACUCUUUUAUAUGGAAGGCAGACUCUCAUGUUAAAGGAUGUUAAAAGUGCCUUGGAAUCAAAAGAUUUGAAGAAGAAAUCUAAUGGGAAAGAUCAAAGCUAUGGGGAAGGAUUAACAGUCAAGUCAAAGGCAAAUAAAAAAAACAGCAAAGAAAAGAAAAAUACCAACCAGAAAGAUAAAAUAGAGAAAAAGAAAAAUAAGAAGAAAUGUUAUUUUUGUCAAAAAGAAGGGCACUAUAUGAAGGAUUGUUUUGAGAAGAAAAAGCUUGAGAAGCUUCAAAAGGAAUCAAAUAGGAAGGUUGCCCUUGUGUCAGAGGAUGAAGGAGACUCAGAGGGUGCUGAUGUUCUAGUAACAGUAGAAAAGCAUCAAAUUGGUGAGUGGAUACUUGACUUUGGGUGCUCUUUCCAUAUGUGCCCAAAUAAGCAUUUCUUUAAGACAUUUAGAAGUAUUGAGGGUGGUAAAGUGUUGUUGGAAAUGACUUAGCUUGUAAAGUUGCUGGAAUUGGAACCAUUGAUAUAAGGGAAAUUAUCAAUCAUAUACCCUUAAAUGACAUCCAUAUCAAACGUGUGUGAACACUUUUCAAGUGUAUCACUCGUAUACCAUAAGUUGACAAAACACUUAUGUCGUCCACCAAUUUGUUAACUUCCGUUAGAAAGUUAACAGAAUUGUGACAAAUUGACUAUUUUGCCCUUGAAACUCAAAAUGAGGUAAAAAUAUAAAUUUACCCAAAAAAUUAACGUAAAUUUUCAAUACACAAUUUUUUUUUUAAUUUUUUUUAUUAACAAUACAUUUUUUUGAUUAAAAAAAUGAAUUAUUAAUGGUACAUAAUAUUAACAAUUAUCCAUAAAAAUAUCCAUAUUAUACCAUAAAAAAUUAUUAACAAUAUAUUAUUUACAAUUAUAUAUAUUAUACCAUAAAAUUUUUUAGUUGGAGCUUGGAAGAGUAGAUCUUCAAAAAUUUAGGUUAAAUUUUGGAGGAGUAGAUUCGGUUGUAAAGUAAUUUUUUUAGUAAUUAUUAAUAAUUAUCCGAUAAAUGGGAUGACAUGUCGUUUUUUUUAAUCAAAGUUUCAUCAAUUUUAAAAGACUAAAUUACCCUUAUGAUGUCAGCGCUUGCAAACGGAAGUUAACGGAUUGGUGGACGGCAUAAGUGUUUUGCCAACUUAGGGUAUACGAGUGAUACACUUGAAAAGUGUUCACAUACGUUUGAUACGAGUGUCAUUUAAAGGUAUAUGGUUGAUAAUUUCCAUUGAUAUAAAAAUAUUUGAUGGUGAAAUUAGAAACUUAGAUCAAGUAAGAUAUGUACCAAAACUUAAAAGAAACCUUAUAUCACUAGGCAUGUUUGAUCAAAUUGGCUGUAGUAUUAGAGCUGAAAAUGGUGAGAUUCAUGUGAUGAAAAAUGGUACUACCAUCAUGAAAUGAGUUAGAAAGAAUGGCUUUUAUGCUCUAGUAGGGUCUUGUCUCUUACCUGGAAUUACAACCACUAUGAGUAAUGAUAAAACCAAGCUGUGGCACAUAAGGCUAGCACACAUAAGUGAGAGAGGGUUAAAAGAAUUAGAGAAACAAGGUUUGUUUGGUGAAGACCACAUAUCCUCAUUAGAAUUAUGUGAAAAAUGUGUUUUUGGUAAAGCUACAAUGCAAAAAUUCAAUACAGGAAGAAAAGAAAUAAAACAGACCUUGGACUACAUUCAUUCAUACCUAUAGGGACCAUCACAUGUUCCCUCUCAUGGUGGAGCUAGGUACUUCAUAACCUUCAUUAAUGACUACUUAAGGAAUGUUUGGAUUUAUAUGUCAAAAUAGAAGAGUGAGGCUCUGAAGAAGUUCAAAGAAUGGUUAACACUUGUAGAAAAUCAGACUGGUAAGAAGAUAAAAAGGCUAAGAACAGACAAUGGACUGGAGUACUGCAGCAAUGAAUUUGAUGAAUUUUGUAAGAGCAAGGGCAUAGCAAGGCACAGAACAGUAAGGCACACCCCACAGCAGAAUGACCUUGCCGAAAGGAUGAAUAAAACCUUACUUGAGAAAGUAAGGUGUAUGAUGUUCAAUACAAACCUAUCUAAGCAUUUCUAGGCUGAGGCAGUUACAACAGCAGCUUAUCUAGUGAAUAAAAACCCUUCAUCAGCCUUAAACUUCAGAACUCCACAAGAAGCUUGGUCAGGAAAACCACUAGAUCUUACUAACCUCAAAAUCUUUGGCUGCAAUGCAUAUGCUCAUGUUAGUUAGGGCAAAUUAGAGCCAAGAGCAUUGAAAUGAUACUUUAUAGGAUAUCCAAAAGGCACCAAAGGGCAUAAGAUCUGGUGCAUACAUGACAAGCCCUCAAGAACUCUAAUCAAUAGGGAUGUGGUGUUUGAUGAAGACUCAAUGCUGCUGUCUAAAGUAGAAAAUGAGGUAAUGUCUACUGGUUCAUAUAGAAAACAAGAUGCUGAGUUGAAGGUGGAGCAUGUUGAUUGCUAUCAACCUGCAGAAAUGACUCUAGAGAAAUCUGACAAGGAGCUCAAAUCCUAUGAGCUUAACAAUUAUCAGCUUGCAAGGGAUAAAGAGAGGAGAACAAUAAAAAUGCCUAAGAAAUAUGGCAUUGCUGACCUUAUCUCAUAUGCACGGAGUGUUACUGAAGAACUAAGUGGUGAAGAACCUAUGAGCUAUAAGGAAGCCAUGUGUAGAAGAGAUAAAGCUAAAUGGCUUGCUGCAAUGAAAGAAGAAUUAGCCUCUCUUAAGAAAAACAACACCUGGAUCUUGGUAGAAAAACCCUUCAAUAAAAGACUAGUAGGCUAUAAAUGGAUUUAUAAGCUCAAGGAUGGAGAGUCUGCUGAUAAACAACCCAGGUACAAGGCAAGACUGGUAGCUAAAGGCUUCACACAGAAAGAAGGAGUAGAUUUUAAUGAAGUGUUCUCACCAGUGGUAAAAAACAGCUCCAUAAGGUUGUUGCUUGCUGUUACUACUUUUCUUGACCUGGAGUUAGACCAAAUGGAUGUAAGAACUGCCUUUUUACAUGGUAACCUUGAUGAAGAAAUCUUUGUGACACAACCUGAGGGUUUCAUAGAAGAAGGGACUGAAGAUAUGAUGUGUUUACUUAAGAAAAGUUUAUAUGGCUUAAAGCAGUCUCUAAGGCAGUGGUAUUUGAGAUUUGAUUAGUUUAUGAGCAGCCGUGGUUACAGCAGAAGUCAGUAUGACACUUGUGUGUACUACAGAAGCUUGACUCAUGACAGCUACAUCUACUUACUUCUCUAUGUGGAUGACAUGCUCAUUGGAUGCAACCAGAGGGAAGCCAUAGAGGAACUCAAAAUGCAGCUCAGCACUGAGUUUGAAAUGAAAGAUUUAGGUGCUGCAACGAAAAUUCUGGGUAUGCAGAUUGUAAGAGACAGACCAGCAAGAACUUUGUUCUUUACUCAGGCUGGUUAUGUAAGGAGAGUGCUCAAUAGGUUCAUCGUGGACAGUGCUAAACCUGUGUUGACACAUCUGUCAACUCAUUUUAAGCUCUCUAAGCUCUAUGAGCCAACAACUGAUGUAGACAUAGAAUAUAUAAAGAAUAUUCUCUAUUCAAAUGCAGUGGGGAGUGUUAUGUAUGCUAUAGUCUGUUCCAGGCAGGGGUGUCAAAAACCCCGCCCGGACCGGAUCUGACCUGAACCCGGCCAAUCCGGUCUGGGAAAAAUCCGGACCGCAUAUACUGAAAAAGUGGAUCCGGGUUUCAGAAUUUAAAACCCGGACAUUUCCGGACAUGGUCCGGGUUCAGCACUAAAAACCCAAAACCCGAACCCGGACCCGUUUUCCGAAUAAACUUAAAAAAAAAAACUAAAACUAGUUACCCAAACCCAAAUCGCAAAACACCUAAAUCCGAAAUCCCUAAUUCCCCAAAUCGCAAAACACCCAAACCCAAAGGCAUAAGCAGCGAUGCUACCACCGUCACCGUUGGCUAGCACCCACCGUCAGUCCGUCACCGUCGCCCCUCGGCAGUCGGCAGUCGGUAGUCGGCAUCAUCUCUUCUCGUUUGGCAUUUACUGACUCGGUUUUGCUCGAUUUUGCUCGGUUGUGGCUGUGACGGGAGUUGUUCGUGCAGCGGCAGCAGCGCAGUGCAGCCCCCUCCGGCGCCGUCAGCGUCAGCGUCUGCGCCACCGUCUCCAACUCUCCAUUGCCACUUUGUCAUCCACCAUCAGUCCAUCACUCUGCCAUCACAGCCACCACUACCAGCCGCAGGUAUUGAUUUUUUUCCUUCCAUAUUUUGUCUUCCUAGUUGCAUUUUUGCCAAUUGCUUCUCCAUUGGUGUUGGUUGUUGCUAUUCGUGUUUAUCUUCGGCCAAUUUUGUGCAUUUUGACCGUAGAAUAUGAGGAAAAUAUGGCCAAUUUUGUGAGGGAUCCUUAUUGCCUGCUCGUAUAAUGACAAUGUUGAUAAGCAGAGAAAAUAAUAAUCACGGGAAAAGCAAUUUUGUGCAUGGUUGCUGACUUAUAGUGUGAGCCUGUGAUUACUGUAACUGUUGCUCUUUUUUUUCGGCCAAAUCCUUUUGCCUAUUUUAAUUUUAUGUUGCUGAUUUACUGUGAGCCUAUUAGUUAUGUAAUCUGUGAGCCUGUUAGUUAUGUAAUGAUAAGUUUAUUCGUGUUUAUCUUCGACCAAUUUUGUGCAUGGUUGCCGACUUGCUGUGAGCCUGUGAUUACUGUAACUGUUGCUCUUUAAAUCAAUUCUUCGAGUGCUCCAGAUUUAUCUCGUAAUGUUGAAGAUAAAAUUGAUAAUGAGGUUGAGGAAAUUUCAGUGUCAACCGUGAAUGAUAAGAAAAGUAAGGAAGAAACUAGAAAAAAGAAGAAAGUCUCCGAAGCUUGGGAGCACUUUACAAAAAUAAUGGUAAAUGGAGAACAAAAGGCAAAGUGCAUGCAUUGUAGUGCAAUUUUAAAAGCAAAAUACCAAUCUGGGACUUCAACUUUGAAUAGGCACGUGGCAAUGUGUUUUAAGUAGAAUCAACCAGACAUAGAAGAAGCACUUCAAGGAAGCCUUAAAGUGAUUAAAAGAGAGGAUGGAACUUGUGGCAUUAGUUAUGGCAGUUUUGAUCAAAAUGUUUUACGGAGUUUGAUAGCAAGAAUGGUUAUAAUGCAUGAGCUUCCACUUACAUUCGUAGAAUAUAUAGGCUUCCGAGAAAUGAUGACACACAUAUAGGCUUCCGAGAAAUGAUGGCACAUGCUAACCCCGUGGUUAAGCCAAUGAGCAGAAACACUUUGAAGAGCGAAAUCUUGAAGUUAUAUCAAAUCGAGAAGGUUAAGACUUUGCAUUUAUUGGGGAAAAAUCAUGGUAGAGUAGCCAUUACUACAAAUUUAUGGACAGCUAGUAAUCAGAAAAAUGGAUAUAUGGUCGUGACGGCCCAUUUCAUAAUGACAAUGUUGAUAAGCAGAGAAAAUAAUAAUCACGGGAAAAGCAAUUUUGUGCAUGGUUGCUGACUUAUAGUGUGAGCCUGUGAUUACUGUAACUGUUGCUCUUUUUUUUCGGCCAAAUCCUUUUGCCUAUUUUAAUUUUAUGUUGCUGAUUUACUGUGAGCCUAUUAGUUAUGUAAUCUGUGAGCCUGUUAGUUAUGUAAUGAUAAGUUUAUUCGUGUUUAUCUUCGACCAAUUUUGUGCAUGGUUGCCGACUUGCUGUGAGCCUGUGAUUACUGUAACUGUUGCUCUUUUUUUUUGGCCAAAUCUUUUUGUCUUUUUUAAUUUUAUGUUGCUGACUUGCUGUGAGCCUGUUAGUUUUAUGUCUCUGUCUCUCUUUUCUGUUCACUUUUUCGUUUCCACACUAAAAUCUGAAAUUUAGUAUAUCUUUGCUAUUGUAACAGCAGAGUAGUGCAAUGUCGGACAAUGUGAAAAUCAAUUCUUCGAGUGCUCCAGAUUUAUCUCGUAAUGUCGAAGAUAAAACUGAUAAUGAGGUUGAGGAAAUUUCAGUGUCAACCGUGAAUGAUAAGAAAAGUAAGGAAGAAACUAGAAAAAAGAAGAAAGUCUCCGAAGUUUUGGAGCACUUUGCAAAAAUAAUGGUAAAUGGAGAACAAAAGGCAAAGUGCAUGCAUUGUAGUGCAAUUUUAAAAGCAAAAUACCAAUAUGGGACUUCAACUUUGAAUAGACACGUGGCAAUGUGUUUUGCAGAAUUAACCAAACAUAGAAGAAGCACUUCAGGGAAGCCUUAAAGUGAUUAAAAGAGAGGAUGAAACUUGUGGCAUUAGUUAUGACAGUUUUGAUCAAAAUGUUUUACGGAGUUUGAUAGCAAGAAUGGUUAUAAUGCAUGAGCUUCCACUUACAUUCGUAGAAUAUAUAGGCUUCCGAGAAAUGAUGACACACGCUAACCCUGUGGUUAAGCCAAUGAGCAGAAACACUUUGAAGAGCGAAAUCUUGAAGUUAUAUCAAAUCGAGAAGGUUAAGACUUUGCAUUUAUUGGGGAAAAAUCAUGGUAGAGUAGCCAUUACUACAAAUUUAUGGACAGCUAGUAAUCAGAAAAAUGGAUAUAUGGUCGUGACGGCCCAUUUCAUUGACAAUUCCUGGAAAUUGCAUAGUCGAAUCUUAAGGUAAUUUGUCUAUAAUUUUUUAUUUGCUUAAUUUUUCUUUUUAGUUUAUUAUUACUUAUAUUAGAUUUUUUUUUCAAGUUUAAAUUGUAAUAUAUUUUAAGUUUGUGUAUUUAAUACCGACUUUUGAAUAUUUGAUAGGUUCGUCUAUGUUCCAAGCCCCCAUACUGCUGAUGCCCUUUGUAAUGAGUUAGUACAAUGCCUAUUGGAUUGGAACGUGGAUAGAAAGUUAUCCUCAGUGACAUUGGAUAAUUGUACCACUAAUGACGCAAUGGUGGAGAAAUUAUUGUUAAUGUUUGAUACCGAUACCUUAAUUUCUAGUGGUAAAUUUUUUCAUAUGAGAUGUACUGCUCAUAUAUUGAACUUGGUUGUGCGGGAUGGGUUGAAAGUUAUAGAAAGUGAGAGUGGAAAGAUUAGAGAGAGUGUGAGUUAUUGGACACAAACACAAAAGAUAUGAAACUUUUGAGUUAGCUGCUAGACAAUUACAAAUUAAUUGUAAAAAAAAAUUGAAAUUGGAUUGUCCUACUCGUUGAAACUCUACUUAUGCCAUGCUUGAAGUAGCAUUGAUGUAUAAAAGUAUUUUUUCUCGGUUGCAACAACGUGAGCCUCAGUAUAAGAGCUUGCCAAGUGAUGAGGAGUGAGAUUUGACAGUCAUAAUGGUGGAGCAUUUGAAAUCAUUUUGCAUAUUAAUGGAGAUGUUUUCGGGUAAAAAAUAACCAACUGCUAAUUUGUUUUUUCCGUUGAUAUGUAAAAUGAAAUUGUCAAUUAAUAGGUGGCGCACUGCUGAUAACCUUGCUAUUAGGAUUAUGGCUGAUAAAAUGGCUGAUAAAUUUGACAAAUAUUGGAAUGAAAUUCAUCCGAUGUUAGUUGUGGCUGUUGUGCUUGACCCAAGAUAUAAGAUGAUGUUAAUUCAUUUUUAUUUUCCAAAGAUAUAUGGUGAUACAGCAGAUGAGCUUAUUGAGUGUGCACAUAAGCUUUGUUAUGAUUUAGUGAAAGAAUAUGAAUCGAAGGCAGUGCAUGUGAGUGAUGGGCAGAAUGUUGGAUUGGAAAUUUCUCAUUCUGAAUCUUGUUCGAAUUCGAAUAAGUAUUGGGAUGUAGAUGAGUUUGAAACAUUUUGAAGCCAAAAUAAACGUGCUAAGGUAACUAAGUCGGAGUUGGAUAGGUAUUUAGAUGAGGAAUUGUUGGAUUCUAUUCCGGACUUUGAUAUUUUAGCUUUUUGGAAGAUGCACACAAGCCAAUAUCCUAUUUUGGCUGAGUUAGCUAAGGAUAUCUUAGCCAUUCCUGUAUCCAUCGUUGCCUCUGAGUAAGCUUUUAGUGCUAGGGGCAGAUUUUUUAGUCUGCAUUGUAGUAAACUUCUUCCUGACACUUUGGAAGCCUUAAUGUGUGCUCAAAAUUGGAUUUGGGCUUCUACUUUUGGAGGUAUAAAGUUAUUUGAAUUAUAUUUUAGUAGUAUUUAUUUGCUUAAAAUGCUUUGAAUUUUAAUGUGUUAUUUUUGUUGUAAGGUGGAGUUUUGGAGGAUGAGAUUUUUACUGGGGAGGAGGUAAUUUCGGAUGAUGAUGAUGAGCCACAAGCGUCGAUGAGUAGCAUGACAUGAACUUUUAUUUAUUUAUUUGGAAUUAGACAUGAACUUGUUAUUUAUUUAUUUUACAUGGGGGUGUUUUGACUCUUUUAUGAACUAUUGUUUGAGUUGUUGAACAUUUUAGGAUUUUCAUGUGUUGUAUUGAUAAUUGGUGUCAUAAUUAUGAACUUAUGAUAUGUUGGAUGUUAUUUAGAUUUAUUGUGUUAUUGAAUUUAAUUUUUUUUAUAUAUAUAGAUUGAAUGAGUUUAGGUUAGAAGUUAGAUGAAUUUUUAUUUAUUAUUUGUGCAAAAAUUGUAUUGUUAGUAUGUUAUAAGUUUGUAUUUAACUAUUUCUCUAAUUUCUCUUUGACUUAAGUUUGAGAUUUAUCUUGUAUUAUGAUACACAAGAAAUGUGCAUGCAUGUUGUAUUGUUGUUUCACUUGUUUGGUGAUAUUUAGGUGUCAUACAAAGACAUAAAAAUGAAAGAAAUUUUUUUUGAAAUAAUUGUUUGCGGGCUUAGAAGCCCGGAAGACAAAACCCGGACCCGGGACACGUCGGGCUCAAGCCCGGACCGGACAUGCAAAAGCCGGGUUUUGUCCGGGUCCGGGUUUCAAUUUUUGGCGUCCGGUUCGGUCCCGGGUUGCACCAAACCCGGACCGGACCUGGGGUUUUGCCAAGCCUAGUUCCAGGCCUGAUAUAGCAUAUGGUGUUGGAGUUGUCAGCAGGUUCAUGGGAAAUCCAGGCAAAGAGCACUGGAAUGGAGUCAAGUGGAUAUUGAGAUAUCUUAAGGGGACUUCUGAUCAUGGAAUUUUGUUUGGGAAAGUCAAUGGAGCCACCUGUGAGGUUGCUGGUUUUGUAGACUUAGACUUUGCAGGUGAUCUAGAUAAAAGAAUAUCCAUAACUGGUUUUGUUUUUACCAUGUGUGGAGGUGCUAUUAGCUGGAAAGCUUCACUGCAGUCAGUUAUUGCUCUCUCAACAACUGAAGCAGAAUACAUUGCUCUAACUGAGGCAGUAAAGAAGGCAAUCUGGCUGAAGGGUUUAGUUUCUGAGUUGGGUUUCAAGCAAGAGACAGUCACAAUUAGCUGUGAUAGCUCUAGUGCUAUACAGUUAAGUAAGAAUCCCAAGUAUCAUGAGAGAACUAAGCAUAUAGACGUGAUGUUACACUUUAUAAGGGAGGAAAUCAGUAGUGGUGUGGUGAGUGUUGUCAAAAUACCUUCUAAGGUUAAUCCAGCUGACAUGCUUACUAAGCCACUACCAACAAUUAAGUUCACGAGUUCUUUGAACUCGAUUGGACUUGGUAACAUGUGAACUAAGUCUCAAAUGCUGAAACAGAGGUGGAGGAAAGCUUGAAGUCAGAAUAAACUAAGGUGGAGAUUUGUGAAGCUGUUAGUUUAAUUCUGUUACUAGUAUGCUGACGUGGCGAGCUGAGCUGGAGUGUGGGCCUGCUGUUAGUUAGAAGUCGUUAUUAUUAACGGCUGAUUCCAAAAACAGAGGCAUGCAUAUAUAAGGGCUGGUUUGUGGCAAAGUUAGCGUGUGAUUUUAAGGGUGAUAGAGUGAGAGAUAGUAAAUUCUGUAAACUAGAGAUUUAAUCUCUGCACUCCAUAGAUUCUUUGUGUAAUCGUAUCCAUUAAUAAAGCUUAAGCCUUCUGCUGGUUUUUCAGCCGUGGUUGUAGGUACCUUGGUACUAAACCACGUAAACUCUUUCUCUGUGCUCUUCUUCUCUUUGCUUGCUUCUUGGUUCUUGUUGAAUCUUGCUGUUGUUAUUUGUUUCUAAUUCUAGUUCUUGGUUGUUCUGAGUUGAUCCUAUUACGUUAACUGGUUCAAUGUGGUUGCAUUUGUCGAUUAAGCAUUAACAGUUGUUUUGCGGUGCUAAUGACUUAACACUAUUUUUAUAGUUUCAGAAUGUUUCUUUUAAGGCAUAUUGGUUGUUAUUCGCUCUAUAGUCUAUAGAGACAUGUUUUAUAUUUGAUAGGUGAACGACAUCUACCCCGGAGGCGAAUUUGAAGACCGUGCAAGUACGUCUUCUUCGCAAGUCUAGCUAAUUAUUUCGCAUGCAGUUUUCAGUGUUAUGGGCUGUUCUUCGAAAACCCAAAACCAUGCCUAGCAGAUUGCUUGAUGAAACGGUGCCGUUUAACACUUUCAAUAAUUUAAACAUGGAUGUUGAGCCACACACACACACGUAUAUGAAAUGUCUGUUUAUUCUCUUUCUCCUAGCUAGCCGAUGACAAUGAACUCACAAAACAAAUUAAACUUGCAUGCGCACAGUAUGCAAAUUAAGAAGGCGCCAUCUGCAGAAGCCACUUGAAAUGGCACAUGCUGCAUCUCAAAUAUUGAAGAUGCGUCAUGCAUGUAAACUUAAAGCGAAUGAGAGUAGAAAGGUGAAUCAUGCAAAUUUGGUGUCUUCAAAAUUGCGCUCCAACUAAUAUUAACAGCAAAGAAUUUUCCAUGUCACUUCUGUUUGAUUACCAAAAGUAUAUAUGUGCUGCCUUUUAAGGAGUUCUUGUAUAUUCAAUAAUCAUUGUUGUGUAAAAAGAAAAUUAUUCUAACUUCUACUUAAUUGCAUUUAUAUGUUGUGAAUUUAAAAUAAUUGGUGAAAAGGUUCUGUGAUCCCAUGGAGUAUAUACUGGGAUGCAAAGGGUUCAUAAUUCUACUAGGAGUAACUUUUGUAAUAAGUUAUGAGUUUGCAAAGGGUGAGAUAAUCUCCGGACAAAAGAGUUCCUAUAUUGGAAGGAAAGUAAAUCAUCUCAACAGCAACGGCAAUGUAGUGAAAAGCAUUCAGGUAUGUAUAUAUAAAUAUAACUUCUUUGACCUAUAUUUUUAAGUUAUGUAUCAUUGAAACUUCUUGGUCCUUAUAGAGUGAAGAUGGAGAUAUUAUCGAUUGCGUCUGCAUUUACAAGCAGCCAGCAUUUGAUCAUCCUGCUUUAAAGGAUCAUAUUAUCCAGGUACAAGUACAACACUUCUAGUAUUUUCUUUUAAAUAAAAAAAUUCAAUAAUGUUACCACUAUGUAUUUGAUUCAGAUGACACCCACUUAUGAUCCAAAUGGGAAGACAGUGACAACAGGAUCAGCUGAUACAGAAACAUCCACGACUGUUAUGGCAUCACAAAUAUGGAGAAAAAAUGGAAGCUGUCCUGAAGGAACAAUACCAGUGAGAAGAAUUCACAACUCGAAUUCCUUUGAAGGUUAUGGCAGGAAGCAGCCAAGCUUCUAUCAUCGUGUUAAGCAGCUUAAUGAUAUUAAGCAACCAAACCUUCAGCAACCAAAUCAUUCAGUAAGAUUCAAUCAUACAUGAUGGAGUGAUAAAACUAUACUUAAUUUUUGCAAAUAUGUCUUUAUCUGACUUGGCUUUGUGUAAAAAUAUUAGAAAGCAAUACUGCUUACAGUAGGGUACAUGUUUUCUGGAGCAAAAGGAGACAUCAAAGUCUGGAACCCUUUUGUUGAAUCAGAUGAUGAGUAUAGUACUUCUCGUGUUAGUCUGCAAAGUGGCCCUUACUAUGACUUUGAGAGCAUCGAGUCUGGAUGGGCGGUUAGUACUAAUUUAAUUAUGAAGCCACUCAAUUGUCUUCAAGUUCAUUAUCAUUCAUUAAAGAAUCUCUUAAUCCCCACAAUUCUUUCUUUCUUUUAUUUUAUUUUAUUUUAUUAAUUUAUUAAUUUUUGCCUAAAUUUUCAGGUAAAUCCAAGAGUGUAUGGGGACAGAAAAACUCGAUUAUUUGUAUAUUGGACUGUAGGUUUAUGCCAACCAUGACUUAAAAAUGUUGUAAUGCAUAUUGCUGUAUCAAUAAACAAUGUUUUGUUCAUGUAUUAGGCCGACGCAUCAAAGACAACAGGGUGCUUUGAUGUCACUUGCCCCGGUUUUGUUCAAGUCAGCAACGAGAUUGCGCUUGGUGCAGCAAUUUAUCCCAUUUCAAAUCCUAAUGGGCUUCCAUAUCAGAUCACUAUAUACCUCUUUAAGGUCGGAGAAAAUGCAGCUUUAUUUUGAUUUAAUUAAUAGUUUGCAGGGGAAGCAAUAAUGGAUUUUCACAUUUUUCUGAUGGAAGGUUCUUUUACUUGCAACUUCCUAUUGGUUCAUCUCUUAUCUUUUCUGAUUUCAGGAUCCGGACACAGGCAACUGGUGGAUGCAAUAUGGAGAAAAAAUCAAUGUAGGUUACUGGCCCCCUAAGUUGUUUAGUUUGUUACCCAGUGGUGCAGAAAGUGCCGAAUGGGGAGGCGAGGUCUAUAGCUCGAAGUUGGAGAAUCCUCCUCACACAGCAACAGCAAUGGGAAAUGGGCAUUUUCCUGAUUAUAUUUCCGGUAAUUCAGGCAGUGUCAAGAGAAUUAGAAUUCUUGACAAUUCUCGUACAUUGAAGUUUCCCGAAUGGGUGUAUAGUUACACAGACCAGUACAACUGUUAUGGUGUCGAUUAUGUUGGAGACUACAUUGUAGAUCCUGAGUUCUACUUUGGAGGACCUGGAAGAAAUCACUUGUGCCCUUAAACUCUUGUAACAGAUUCUAGCUACAAACGGAUGCUUGCUGAUUUGCCACCACUUUCUUGGGUGGCAAGCUAAUAUUUUAGAUGCUUCUUAAUUUUGAUUAUUUGCUACUUCUUGCAAAACACGACCGGUCAUAUUUGAAGAUUUGAUAAUUCAGCUACUCAGUGGUCCGCAAGAAUAAAUUCUGCGAAUAAUCUCUUUUGGAUGCUGCACCAUAAAACACAAUUAGCCAGUAAACAUCAGAAUAAGUGGAGCAAAGUAUAAAUGGAAAUACAAAUGUCAGCUUAAUGUGGAGUUUUGACGCUUCCUUUGUUGUUUUUGCCUAUUUCUUGCAGUUUUAUCCAGAGCUUUCCUUUUUCCCUUUUUUUUUUUUUUUCCUUCUACCAAAUAUAACUUUCUGAAUCUGUAUAUUGGUCAGAAUUAGGGAACUUACAACUGAAAUAAUAACACCGCAAAUUAGACACCAUAUGUGGACUCUCCUAGUAAGACAACUUAUUUCCAUUUUGAGAAAAACUUCUGCUGGUGUCUUUGGUUUAGAAUAUUGCUUAUAAAUCAUUUGGCUGAUAAGCAAGGAGUCUAAAUUGAAAUGGAAACAAUAUCAUAGCUUUCCAAAUCAACCUGAAGCAUGGUUAAUACACCCCAAUGCAUUAUGAUAUUAUAUAAUUGUUAUGUUGAAGAUGAAACUGUCAUUGGCUUCAUACUUGCUUCUGAAACAAAAAUGGAGAAUGCCAAAACCAUUUCUGUGCUUUUGCUGGUAACGUUUGUAUCUGUUUUGGGAAAUGGAGUCGAUAGUAAACUUAAAGCUGGACAAACUAUUUCUGAAAUUGAUAGGAGACUGAAGCUUCUCAAUAAGCCUGCAGUAAAAAGUAUUAAGGUAUGUCACAUGCUACUAGUCUAGUACCCCUGGACAAUUUUCGUCACUUAUUAUGUUGGCACUCUAAUGUAAGAGAUUGUUCCCGUAGAGUGAAGAUGGAGAUAUUAUAGAUUGUGUUGACAUCUACAAACAAUCUGCAUUUGAUCAUCAAGCAUUGAAGAACCAUAAAAUUCAGGUGCAUUUAUUAUUAUUCUUACCCCUUCUAUGAUUUGGAGAACAUUUGUUUUCUGAAAAAUGAAGCCUUAAGUGGACUGUCUUCAUUCAUGUAAUAAGCAGCUGAAACCUAGUGUUGAUCUACUGUCGGAGGAAUUGGAUAGAAGGAACGAGUCUCCGCGGCCUGUAAUGAUGCAAACUUGGCAAAAGAGUGGAAGUUGCCCAAAUGGAACUGUUCCCAUUCGCAGAAUCCAGAGGGAAGACUUAUUGAGAGCAGCUUCUCUUGAAAAUUUUGGAAGAAAAGCCCCGGAAAUUCCCUCUUCAGCAAACAAAACAAAUGUUAAAGAAACUCAGUUUAUGUCUUUCAACGAUAGCAAACCAUUAGGAUUUCCUCCCAUAGUUAACCGUUCUGUAAGCCCUCUUUAAGCAGCUGCCAUGUUUUUUUGCCCUUUUUUCAUUUCCUGAACAUAUUUUUUUGUUGCUUAACUCCUAAUUUCUUGAUACACUUCCUGAACCAGGCUGCAUUACUUGUUACAGUCGGAUACAAUUAUAUAGGAGCUCAGGGAGAUAUAAACGUUUGGAACCCAAAAGUUGACUUACCAGAUGAUUAUACUACGGCUCAAAUCUGGCUUAAGGGUGGCCCUGGUGACAAUUUUGAAAGCAUAGAGGGAGGAUGGGUGGUUAGUGCAUUUACCAAAAACAAACAAAAAAUGCCAACAGUUCUAUAUCUUUAUGCUUUGCUCCUAAUCUUAUUAUAAACUGUUUUCCAGGUAAAUCCCAAGUUAUAUGGUGAUAAACUCACGCGUCUAUUUGUGUAUUGGACAGUAAGUACACCAAUUAUCUGCGCAAAAAAAAAAAAAAAAAAAAAAANNNNNNNNNNNNNNNNNNNNNNNNNNNNNNNNNNNNNNNNNNNNNAAAAAAAAAAAAAAAAAAAAAAACUCAUCCCAUAAGUGGAUGACGGUACUUAACUACUUGUUCCAUGCAUGUUCAUCUUAUAUUUGUUUCCAGAGGGAUGGCUACAAAUCGACAGGUUGCUUUGACGCCAUUUGCUCUGGGUUUGUGCAAACAGGACAAAUAGCCCUUGGCGCAACCAUUAGCCCCAUCUCCAGUUCUGGAGGAUCCCAAUAUUAUGUGACUGUUGGCAUAUCCCUGGUAAUAUUUUAAAUUACAUUUUUCUUCCUUUUUGGAUGCUACUAUGUAUGUAAACUCCAUGUCUGUUGAUUUUCAGGAUCCUAACUCAGGAAAUUGGUGGUUAAAACUUAAUGGUAACGUUGUUGUUGGCUACUGGCCUGGAAGUCUCUUUGGUUACCUAAGUCACAGUGCUACAAUAGUGGAGUGGGGAGGACAAGUUUAUAGCCCAAAUGUGAAGAAAACUCCUCAUACAAAAACUGCCAUGGGCAGUGGAGAAUUUUCACAUAGUCUUCAAGGUUCUGCUUGUUCAAUAGAGCACGUUCGAAUUAUAGACUAUUCUCUUCAGCUCAAGUACCCUCAAUGGGUGGGCACUUGGGCUGAUGAAUAUUAUUGCUACGAUGCAUAUAAUUUUGUUGAAGGAUACACAACUGAACCAGUGUUCUUCUUUGGAGGGCCUGGCCAAAAUCCUAAUUGUAAGUGAGAAUCAUGAUUUAAAGCAAAAGCGUUACGUACUCAUUUCAAUGUAACAAAGUAAUUUUCACAGCUCCCCAACUGUAGCUAUACAUCAAAGUAUCCACUCAUUUCAUAUUGUUGCUGUGAAGUUUAAUGGAGCUGAUGUGCCAAAAUCGGAUCCAUUAUGGUAGAGUUUACAUUUUAGAUUGGAGUGGGAAUUCUGAAGAGUGAGAAUCUUGAAAUUAAAAGCGUGGAAUGAGAGUGAGAGUAUGUUAUUUACUUACACUUGAGUGGGAGUAUGAAAUUGUCUUGGAUUGGUAGUAAAUAAUUUAAAUUACAGUUUUACCUUUAUUUAAAGAAUUAUAAUUUUUAAUUACAAAAUUAAUAAAAAUAUAUUUGAAAAAUAAAAUAUUUAUUUUAUUAUAUUUAUAAAUUAAUAAUAAUUAUUAAUAUUCUUAAUUAUGUAAAUCAUAAUCUUUUAUUAAUUUUAAUUUGAAUUAUGUAAAUACAAAAUUUUUAAUAAUAACACAAAUGAAACAUUAUUAUUGAUAAUCUNNNNNNNNNNNNNNNNNNNNNNNNNNNNNNNNNNNNNNNNNNNNNNNNNNNNNNNNNNNNNNNNNNNNNNNNNNNNNNNNNNNNNNNNNNNNNNNNNNNNNNNNNNNNNNNNNNNNNNNNNNNNNNNNNNNNNNNNNNNNNNNNNNNNNNNNNNNNNNNNNNNNNNNNNNNNNNNNNNNNNNNNNNNNNNNNNNNNAGCAGUAUUUUAUUUUAUUAAAUCUAAUAAAAUAAGUAUGUUUAUUAUUAUUUUUAAUAAAUGUAAUUUAUAAUAUAAUAUAAUAAUAUUAUUUAAAUAAAUAUGAUGUUAUUUAUUUUAUUUUAUUAAGAGAAAUUAUUAGUCAUAUACAUAUAUUAUUAUUUUUAAUAAAUAUAAUUUAUAAAAUAAUAUAAUAAUAUCAUUUAAAUAAAUAUUGUUAACUUCCGUUAGAAAGUUAACAGAAUUGUGACAAAUUGACUAUUUUGCCCUUGAAACUCAAAAUGAGGUAAAAAUAUAAAUUUACCCAAAAAAUUAACGUAAAUUUUCAAUACACAAUUUUUUUUUAUUUUUUUUAUUAACAAUACAUUUUUUUGAUUAAAAAAAAGAAUUAUUAAUGGUACAUAAUAUUAACAAUUAUCCAUAAAAAAAUAUCCAUAUUAUACCAUAAAAAAUUAUUAACAAUAUAUUAUUUACAAUUAUACAUAUUAUACCAUAAAAAUUUUUAGUUGGAGCUUGGAGGAGUAGAUCUUCAAAAAUUUAGGUUAAAUUUCAGAGAAGUAGAUUCGGUUGUAAAGUAGUUUUUUUUAGUAAUUAUUAACAAUUAUCCGAUAAAUGGGAUGACAUGUCAUUUUUAUCAAUAUAUAUGAUAUGACAUGUCAUUUUUUACUAGGUAAAUAGGAUGACAUGUCGUUUUUUUAAUCAAAGUUUCGUCAAUCUUAAAAGACUAAAUUACCCUUAUGAUGUCAGCGCUUGCAAACGGAAGUUAACGGAUUGGUGGACGGCAGAAAUUUUUUGUCAACUUAGGGUAUACGAGUGAUACACUUGAAAAGUGUUCACACACGUUUGAUACGAGUGUCAUUUAAAUGUAUAUGAUUGAUAAUUUUCCUUUUAUUAAAUAUUAUUUAUUUUAUUUUAAAUAUAAGGAUAAAAAGGGAAGAGGGGGGAGUGGAUUCAAUCCACUCUCUCCUUAAAAAUUGUAAGUAAAUAUUAGAGUUGGAGGAAUCCAAACUUCUCACUCUCACUCCAGAAAAUAAACACUACAUAUAAGCAGUGCAAUCUAAUAUAUUUUAAAGUAACUAUCAAUUGUCAAUUUGAAGGGUGAAAAAAAUGAAUGGAAAAUACUUCUUUUUUUUAUGUUUGCUUUCGGAGAUUUGCAGAUGCAACAGAGGGGAAUCAAUUGAGAAAGCAAUUCUUUAAUUGUAAGUCAAAAACUUUGUUCUUUUGCCUAUUUUUGUAGGUGUGUUCGUACUCACAACUCAAACGUUAACAAUGAACUAAUAACAGAUAUCUCAACAAGUUUAUCACAAAUUAGUUGUCAUGAGAUGUGGCAUUAAUUGAGUGAUUAUGAUUUUGCACUAUUUUUAAUCCGCCAUUUUACCCUCCACUUGAAGAAAUGAAACCCACGUGAGUUUAGGAUAAACUUUUAGGAUAACUAGCAUUCUUAAACAUUAAUAACACAAUAUAUAUUAAGGAAAUAACUUUUAAGACCUCCGAGGGAAUUAUCCCUGAAUAAGGCAAUUUUGUAUUCCAUUUUUAGAAAAAGAAUAAAUCAGUUGGAUUUGGGUUUGUUUGGAUAAAAUAACUUGAUUGGAACUUUGCAAGAACCCACCUGCAAUGGAAACAAAAAUUUGACUUUUCAAAUGAACUUGAAGCAGGGUUAAUGAGCAAUAAAUAUUACAUAAUUGCACUUUGGAAAAUGACACUUUUGCUUUACAGUGUUUGUGUCAUCAGGAAAUUUCGAUUUUCCAAUCACUCUUGAUGCUUUUGUUUCUGCCGCCAAAGCUGCUUUUGUAACAGAGCAAAAAUGGAGAAAACAGUUUAUUUGUUUUUGUUGUUUGGGGCUAUAUCUACCCUGUGUAAUGGAGUAGAAGUGAACGCUAAAGCUAGAAAAACUCUUCCUGAAAUUGACAGGAAGUUGAAGCUUCUCAACAGGCCUGCAGUAAAAAGCAUUAAGGUAUAAGUGAGUAAUGGUAUUUUACAUCCUUAAUAUUUAUUAAAAAAAAAAAAAUUCACUCUUGUUUUGGGUGGUUGGUAAUGGUAUUUUACAUCCUUAAUAUUUAUUUUACAUCCUUAAUAUUUAUUAAAAAAAAAAAAAUUCACUCUUGUUUUGGGUGGUUGGUACUCACUCCCUUAACUUUUGAGUUUUGCUACCAACCACUCUUGUUACUAACCAUUAACCCAGGAGUGGUUUCUGCUGUAAAUAUUUUAAUACUUAAAAAAAUAAUACUGGCUUGUCAAAAAAUUAAUAGAGCAUCAGCAGUUGUUUUUCCUUUUAAGACGCUGAAAAACUAGCAUUUAUGGUAGAGUUUAUCUUUCAUAGAGUGCACAUAAUGGGAUGUUUCCUUCUGUAGAGUGAAGAUGGAGAUAUUAUUGAUUGUGUUGAUAUAUACAAACAACCUGCACUUGAUCAUCCUGCAUUGAAGAACCACACAAUUCAGGUGCAUUUUAUCAUUUCUCUCUUCUUUUCCUGAGCUACUUAUGAAAGAUCAUGGUUAGAAACUUGCACUGACUACAAUUCUGUUAGAUUUUUACUAGUCUUGCUUCAUACAAUAUGCAGCUGAGCCCCAGUUUUGAUAUACCAGCCGAGAAAGUGGAUAGAAGAAAUGAGUCUUCUAGGCUGCCGGUAACAAUUCAAACUUGGCAAAAGAGUGGAAGUUGUCCAAACGGAACUGUUCCAAUUCGAAGAAUUCGAAGGCAAGAUUUAUUGAGAGCAUCUUCUCUUCAGCAAUUUGGGAGAAAAGUCCCUGAAGUAUCCUAUGCAGCUAAUAGAACAGAUGCUACACACAGCAAAUUUGAGUCUAUAAACAACAAAACGAUCCACCUUGGUCCUCUAGUUGACCGUUCAGUGAGCAGCUGUAGCUUUUUCAUGCCCUUAAUAAAUUCUUGUUGUUUCAAAUUCUCCUAAUUUUCUUGAUGGUACUAAGUACCAGGCUGCACCCCUUCUUACAACACAAUACAAUUGCAUAAAAGCUACUUCUAAUAUUCUCGGUUACAAUUCCUGAACCAGGCUGCAGUACUUGUUACAGUCGGAUUCAAUUACAUAGGAGCUCAAGGAGAUAUAAACGUUUGGAAUCCGAGAGUUGAAUCGCCAGAUGAUUAUACUACUGCUCAAAUUUGGCUCAAAGGUGGGCCUGGUGACAAUUUUGAAAGCGUAGAGGGAGGAUGGGUGGUUAGUACAUUUACCAAUAAUGUAAAUAAAAAUGCUAACAGUUCUACAUAUUUAUGCUUUCUUCCUAAUCUAAUUAUAAUUUUUUUUUUCAGGUAAAUCCAAAGUUAUAUGGUGAUAAACUGACGCGAUUAUUUGUAUAUUGGACUGUAAGUGUAUCAAUUUUCAUUAAAAACUCUCACCCCAGAAGUGAAUUGUGGUUCUUACUUACUGGUUCCAAACAUGUUCAUCUCAGAAGGAUAGCUACAAAUCGACAGGAUGCUUCGAUGCCAUUUGCUCUGGGUUUGUGCAAACAGGACAAGUAGCCCUUGGAGCAGCCAUUGGUCCUUGGUCGAUUUCUGAAGGACCCCAGUAUUAUUUGCCGGUCGGCAUAUACUUGGUAUGAUGGUAAUAAUUUUUUUUUCUUUCUUUUCCUUUAAUGCACCUAAAAAUGUAAAACUCCAUUUUUUUUUUCUUUUUCAAUUUCAGGAUCCUAACACAAAAAAUUGGUGGCUAAAAGUUAAUGGUAACAUUGUUGUCGGCUAUUGGCCUGGAAGUCUCUUCAGUUACCUAUCGUACAGUGCAAUAUUAGUGGAAUGGGGAGGACAAGUUUAUAGCCCAAAUGUGAAGAAAACUCCUCAUACAAAAACUGCCAUGGGGAGCGGAUCAUUUUCACAUGGUCUUCAGGGUUCUGCUUGUUCAAUCGAGCACGUUCGAAUUAUAGACUUUUCUCUUCAGCUCAAGUACCCUCAAUGGGUAGGCACUUGGGCUGACGAAUAUUACUGCUAUGAUGCUUACAAUUAUGUUAAAGGCUAUACUACUGAACCAGUGUUCUUCUUCGGAGGGCCUGGUCAAAAUCCUAUUUGUAAGUGAGAAUUAUGAAUUAAAGCAACAAGCAUAAUGAAAUCAGUGUAAUAUAACAUAGUGAUUUUCACAGCUCCUUAUCUGUUACUGUACAUCCAAUUGGUGAAAAACAUCAACGUAUCCGCUCCCUUCAUGAUGUUGCUGUGAAGAUUAAUGGAGCUGAUAUGCCCAAAACGGAUCCAUCAUAAGCUGUGAAAUCCAAAGUAUUUUUAACUAGUAAUCAGUUGGCAAUCCGAAGGUGCAAAGUAUGAAUGGAAUUGCUUAAGUAUGUUAGCUUUAGAGAUUUACAGAUACAACAGAUGGGAAUGAACUGAAAGAUAGCUAUUCUUUACAGAUAAUAUGUUAGCUAUGGAGAUUUACAGGUACCUGACUGAUAAUGUACACGGGGCAUAAGAUUGCUAAGGUGAAAACUAACAUGAGGAGAGGAUCCUAUCCGCUAUAGGUGUAUUCGCACUAACAAUUCUCUUAUCACAACAUAUAUUAAGGAGUAAGUUUUAAGAUCUGUCUGGGAAUUCUUCCUGAAUAGACAAAUUUGUCUUCCAUUUUUAGAAAAAGAAAAAGAAAAUCCACUGCUUUUGUUUGGAUUAGGCUACCUUAUUAAAUAACUUGCCUGGAACUUUGCUAGAACCAACUUGAAAUGGAAACAGAAUUAAAAGAUUAAUCGACUUUCCAAUAACUUGAAGCAGGGUGUUUGAACACCAAUGAUUAUUUAAUUGCACCUUGAAGAUGAUAAUUUAGCUUUACAAUAUCUUCGUCAUCUGGGAUUUUCCUACAAGUCCUGUUGGCUUUUGUGAGAAAGCACAUAUGGAGAAAACAGUCUGUUUGCUUUUGUUUAUAGUGGCUGCAUCUAGUUUGAGUAACGGAGUAAAAGUGAAUGCUAAAGCUAGAGAAACCCUUUCUGAAAUUGACAAGAAGUUGAAGCUUAUCAACAAGCCAGCAGUAAAAAGUAUCAAGGUAUGGCAUACAAUAAAUAUUUAGAUCUUAUCAAGUUCUAAACUUGGGAGGCCAAUGUUGUAUCAAUGAGUCCAAAAGUGAUUAAGGGUGGUUUUUCUUCUUAAACUUGUAGUAUUUAAAAAUCCCACUGGCUUGUCAAAUGUUUAAUAGAGCGUUGCUGGGCAGUUUUUGUUAUUAAGAUAGUGAAAGAAUAGCAUAUACGGUAGCCAUUUUCUUCCAUAAAGUGAUGAGUUCUUUAAUAACAUAAUGUGAUGGUUCCUCCUGUAGAGUGAAGAUGGAGAUAUUAUCGACUGUGUUGAUAUCUACAAACAGCCUGCGUUUGAUUAUCCAGCAUUGAAGAACCACACGAUUCAGGUACAUCGAUCAAUUCAUUUUUCAAUUUCCGAGCCACUGGUGAAAAGAACCAAAGGUAGAAAGUUCCCUUUCUAUCAAAAAUACAAAGAAUUUUGCACUUGCAAGAACUUUGGUUAUUUUCUCACUUGUCUUUGCUUCAUGUUAUAUACAGCUGAGGCCCAGUUUUAAUAUACCAUCUGGGAAAUUGGAUAGAAGAAAUGAGUCUUUUAGACCAGUAGCAGUCCAAACUUGGCAAAAGAGUGGAAGUUGUCCGAAUGGAACUGUUCCAAUUCGAAGAAUUCGAAGACAAGACUUAUUGACAGCAGCUUCUCUUGAGCAGUUUGGGAGAAAAUUCCCAGAAAUUUCCUAUGCAGCCAACAAAACAGAUGCUAAACACAGCAAAUUUGUGUCUCUAAACAGCAAGACAGUCAAUCUUGAUCGUCUGGUUAACCGUUCAGUGAGCAGCUAGAGCUUUUUCACGCCCGUAAUUAAUUUCCAUUGUUUAACUUCUCUUAAUUUUCUUGACGGCACUUCAUGUACCAGGCUGCAGUCCUGCUUACAGUAGGAUACAAUUACAUAGGAGCUCAAGCAAAUAUAAAUGUCUGGUGUCCAAACGUUGAAUCAACAGAAGAUUAUACCACUGCUCAAAUCUGGCUUAAGGGUGGGCCUGGUGACAAUUUUGAAAGUGUGGAGUCAGGAUGGAUGGUCUGUACAACUACCCAAAGCAUGCUUCACAAAACAGUCAAUGCUAACAAUUUAGCAUCUUUAUAUUUUUCUCUAACUUUACUAUAAUCUCUAUAUUCAGAUAAAUCCCAAGUUAUAUGGUGAUAAACUCCCACGAUUUUUUGCAUACUGGACUGUAAGUAUAUUUUCUACUAAAGCUUCUCUAAACUACUUUGGAUUGCAAGUACAGUAGCUAAUUUGUUCCAUGUCUAUCUCAAUUUUUUUAGAGGGAUGCUUACAAAUCAACCGGUUGCUUCGACCUGACCUGCACUGGUUUUGUGCAAACAGGCACUCAGAUUGCCCUUGGUGCAUCCAUUAGUCCUUGGUCUAGUACUGCCGGACCCCAGUAUUACAUUCCCAUUGCCAUGUCCAGGGUAACAAUUUAUAUCUGCUUUUUCUUGGUUAAGUUGAUUGUUUGAAGUUAUAAAUCAGCAGUAAAUAUUUAAUGAAGUCCAUUUUUAUUGAUUCCAGGACCCUCAAACAGGAAAUUGGUGGUUAAUGUAUGGCGAUGCUGUUAUUGGGUACUGGCCUGGAGCUCUCUUUGAUUACCUGAAGCAAAGUGCAAUCUUUGUUGAAUGGGGAGGGCAAGUCUACAGUCCAAAUGUGAAGAAAACUCCACACACCAAGACUGCUAUGGGCAGCGGAUCAUUUGCAAGUUCGCUCUACGGAUCAGCGUGUUACAUUGACCAUAUUAGAAUCAUUGAUUAUUCUCUCCAGCUCAAGUACCCGCAAUGGGUAGGCACUUGGGCUGAUGAAGAAGAUUGCUAUGAUGCAUAUAAUUUAAUUCAAGGAUAUACUGUUGAACCUGUAUUCUUCUUUGGAGGGCCUGGUCAAAAUCCUCACUGUAUGUAAUGUGAGGAUAAGAAUGAAAAUGAAACGAAAUAUUGCAGUGCAAUCUUGCUAAUCGCGGAAGUUAAUUAUUUGCAAGAAAGUUGUGAUCUGUUUUCUUCCUUGUAUCAAUGAGAACAUCUAAAGUCAUGUUGAAUGGAUUGAUUUUGUGGGAAGAAAAGGAAGUUCUGCCAUAUGAAGAGAAGAAUAAAAAUGGUGCUUUCUCAAUGACCCCUGCUGUAUUUCCAUAUAUAAAAAUAAUCCCCACUUAGAGGAAUCUGAAUAGUCAAAGUAAAUCAAUAAGGUUUCGUUAGCAAUAGGUGAGUGAUUUGAAUUUGCAAUGGCUGCCACUAUUUCAAUCCACUGUUGCUUGCAUUUGACUCUAGUUAUCACCGGUCUCAUGUUGAUUCAUGGAUUUGCUAAAGAGAAAACUGCAAUGAUAAAAAACAAAGAGAAGCUUAUCAAGCAUAAACAUGCUUUUAAGUUUUAAAACCAUUUCAGGUUGUGAUUACCAUAACUUUUUUCUCAAUUCAUUUGGUAGGAUGAUUUCAUAGGGAUGUAUUUGCUUCUCGAAAAUGGGGUUAGUGUCGACUGCAUUGACAUCUACAAACAACCGGCUUUUAAUCAUCCUCUUCUCAAGAAUCACAAGAUACAGGUUUCUUGGUUUUAUAAGUACUUGGUGCAAAUUUAUAAGCACAUAUGGUAAACCCCUUCGAAAUUGCUAUUAUUUCAAGUGACUAGUACUCGGUAAAUGCUCUUGUUUCUGAUUUUCCUUAGAGUAAUUAACAGAUGAAGCCUACUUCACACCCAGAACAAAAGAAAUCUAUGGCCUCCAAAAAUUCCCACACACAGCUUAUUCAACUCAAGGCAGUCGACUGUCCAGAAGGAACAGUCACCAUUUUAAGAACUCGCCAGAUGGUAAUCUUAUGGACACUCGAUCAAGCAGAAGUGCCACCUAUGGAUUCGGCUUUAACAGCAAUGAAUAUGAGGUUAAAUAUAACAUGUAACAAUGAAUAAUGCCGCCUAUAAUACUUUUCACAUUCUGCUAAUCAUUUUCGUUGAUGCAGACUUAAAUAUUGCUGAUGCUGGAUGGAUAUGCAUUCAUGGCUUCAACGUAUACAUUUUACGCAUAUGGAACCUUUGAUACAUGCUCUUCCAAACUGGAUAUGAUUAAAUAUGUAGAAUGUUGAUUUUAAACAAAGAGAACAGAACACAGAGAAAUUGGGGCUGUUAAUUGCAUGUCAUUCAUUGUUGCAGUAUCUGAAUUUAUUCAAAGAAAAGAAACAAACAAAGCCAAAAAAUCUGCCUACAUAUCUUUAACAUAUAUCUGAUAUCAUAAAUUCAAAAACAAAUUGUUCCUACAAUCUUGCAGGAUAUUAUUGACAGCAUAAUCAUAUCUUUGCUGUUUUUAUUUUUGCUCAAAUCCUGCAGCAAAUAUAGCAUUGUCAUCAUAGAAAUAUUGAACCAGAACUUGGAGCAUAUUUCGUCGCUCUUAUUAUUUUGAUCAUAGUCUAAUUGACUGUUUAUGGGUAUAUUUUUUUCGCGUUUUUAGGUGAAUCCAACACUAUAUGGAAACAACCUUUCACGGCUAGUUGCAUUUUUGACAGUGAGCUUUAAUUAUCAUAGAUUCUCUUAAUCAUAUAAAUUGUCAAUGUUUUUGCUUAACAUGCAUGUUAAUUUUCCAUAUUGUAUGUCAAAUUCAGAAAGAUAAAUUCAGCAAAACAGGUUACCAUGAUCUCAAAUGCUUUGGUUUCGUUCAAGUGUCCAGUACACAGUAUCUUGGCUGUGUACUAGAGCCUGUUUCUGAAGAUGGUGAUUACAACCACCAAUAUGAAGUUUUUAUUGCGAUUUACAAGGUAAUUUACUCAUGCUUUACGCCAUAAAAUUGCAUGCUCAAAAAAAUUAGCAAGUGUUUCAGGAUAUAGGCUCGAGAAGUUCGUGGUUAAGAUAUAAGGUGUAAGCAUCGGAUACCGCCCAACUACAAUUUUCACAAAACUGGCAGACAGAGCCAACAGGGUGGUCUGGGGGUGUAGAGUCUACACAUUCCAGCAAAAAUGGGCACACAUUAAAAACAAGGCGGUCUGGAUGCCAUGCUUUUUUUUAUUUGAGUCUACAAGGAGGAGAAAAAAACGACCGGGGCAGUUUCUUUUAUUAUGGUAGUUUUGCAGCUUGGUAUGAAUGCCAAUAACAUAUAUAAAAAUAUUUGGUAAUUAAUGUGACAUGCUUACGCCUGCAGUUAAAUAAAUUUGUCAAGAAAUUCCAAUAGCACAGCAUAGUAAAGGCUCAGUUCAUGAUAAGUGUUUGUAUUGCUACAGAUGUGACAAGCCUACAACAUACGAGGGAAGUCAGUUUUGUGGACUUGGCUAUGUUGCAACUGUAGUACCGUGCCACAAUUGCAACUCAUUAGAUCCACUUGGAUCCACUGUUGCAACCCUCAUCCAAGUGGAUCCAAUGGCUGGUUGCAACUGUGGCACGGUACUACAGUUGCAACAUAGCCGGACCCCAGUUUUGUCAGUGGAAAAACUGUCGUCCCCUUCCCUUAUGGAGAGAUCUAUCCCUCUGCCUAGGAAUAAUCUUAAACACAAAAAUAUUUUCAUACUAUACAGACUUCCUGUAUCCUUCUAGAGAUACCUACAUAUGAAUAAGAAUUAUAAUCACAAUCCAUAAGAGAAAAUACAACAUAUCACACCAAAAAAGGAGAGCAGGGAAGGACCAAGCAACACUCCGAAAGAGAAUCGCAGAAUUUAACCAGCCAGAUUUUAUUUGAUGUAAAAAAGCUAAAUUGAGUCAUACUGUUUCCUCUCUUCUUGUAUAGACUGGAAAAUUCGAGCCACAGAUUCAGUAGCUGAUCUAGGAUUGUGAGGCACAACUUUGAUCACUUUUGUUGGCUGGUCUGCAUCAUGAGGCUGAGGGGCCGCCUCCUGAACAACUGGAGACACGGUAGAAACUUGAAGUGCAUCUGUACCUUCAGCAGCAUGACCCAUCCCAUCACCUCGCACUCUCUCACCUGGACUACUUGCCGUACUUCCUUGUAACUCUGUGUCUUUAGAUGCCUGAAACUGCCUUACUGGUGGAACAGCUCCAUUCUUCUGGGCUGGUACAUUACAGGAGCUCUCUUGUGGCAUGUAAAAAUUAGCAUCUCCUUGAGAGAAUUGAUCACGCGAACCUGGCACAGCAAACUGAUUCUUUUGUUCAGCAGCUGAACCUGAGACCGAUGGGUUCAUAACUGGCAUGCCAUAAGGUGGGAAGUAACCAUGACCAACUAGAUGAGCACCAGGCAUAACCCCAUUUCCUUGAAGAGGAAUAGGUGAUGUAAUCCCAUAGUCUGGAUGCAUAAAAUUACCUGUCAGAGGUGCUGGGCCAAAAGGUGAACAUCCUCCCCCGCAAACUGUUCCCAUAAAUCCAGGUCCAGGAUAUGGCUUGUAUAUAAGCCCCUCCGAAGGGGACAUAACAGGAAUCAACCACUGCUGCCCAGGCGAUUGAUGAAAACACCAAUGAGCCAUUCUGGAAUUGGUGGCUUCCAUUGGUGGAGGUUGGUUUGCACAGUAAGGCCCAUAAUUUGAAGGCUGACUACCAUUUUUCACAGAAGAAAGAGACGUCUUCCCUACAGCAUUUUCCGCAGAGGAUUCUAUCUUAUGGUUAGGCUUCUCAGAAUCAACUUUGCGCUUAACACUGUGUGGCAGUGGUUUUACAACAUACUCCAAUGGAAGUUUUUUAGCAGGAGAGGCCUUCAAAGAUGGUUUGCCAAGACAGGCGCUCUCUUCAAGCAAAACGUCUGGUGAUUCAGCAAUCAGUUGUUGGACCUGUUUGAAUACACAGAUUAAUUUAAUUUCCUUACAGCAGGAAAAAAAUAAAGGCAAGAGAGUCUGCAGCCCUUGCCAGGAGAAGUAUAAGCUACUUCACAGAGUUAAGACAUCCUUACCUUGAUUAGUCUAUGCAACUCAAAUACUUGAACUGCAAACACUCUUUGCUGACUGUAUACAGUAACAGGAGUUGCAUCAAGAACCAAAUUCCAUAGAAAUCAUUAAAGGAGUUUAACAAACACAGCACAGAGAUAGGACUAACAAGAAUCCAAUGGACAUCCACAUGCGAUCAGAUAUCAUAUACCAUAAUUAUGAAGGCUGUAGCAUGCAGAACAAAACAACUUGCAUACAUACAAAUGCAAGAUGUUAUUUGGGUUGGCUUUAAAAUUACAAUAUCCAACAAAAAAUUUCACCAAGUACAAACUUUUUAGACCAUAACCACACUUUUUAUCCAACGCCCAUUGUAGAUACAGCUAGCCUCACGCACCUACAAGUGUCAAAGAAGCCUAAAAUCUCUCCCUAGCUCUCUAAUUACAAUCAUACUCUAGCAAUCCUAGUGCACUCCAAUAAAGUCAGAGACAAAAAAAAAAAAAGGAGAAUAUGGUCAAAGACUACGAUACACACAAUUGUAACAAGUUCCUAAACAAGAAUCACUUGGCAAAAUUUCAGUAAUAAAUACCACCAGCAGAAGACCGGAAUUUUUCAUUUCAAAACUUGUACAUUUUCUCCCUUGGGAAAAGCGAGUGAAGUGGAGAACUCUAUUAAUAACUACAAAGAUGUACAAAUAACUAGAAGCAGUACUAGACAUCACCUUGAUUUUACAAUAGAAAGGAAUAAGAAGGAAUAAGAAAAUACAUGCAAGAUAAUGAUUCAGAAUGGAGAUACGUACAUUUUGCAUCUACUUGAAGAGAUGAAGCAUAAAUUUUCUGUUCGAAAUAAUGAAAACGUGUAUAACACAUACAAACUGUACACGCCUAACAUAUAUCAUAAACACAUUGCACAAAAGACUGCGAAUCACAACCCCACAAUAUCUUCCAACAUAAAAAUACUAAGACAUCAAAUGAAACAUCCCAUUCGCCUCCAAGUACUGUAAAAAAUUAUCCCGUUUCUCAGAGAUCCACCCAACAUAAGCUUCAGGGAUCAUCCUCCAGCGAUAUUUCCUUUCCUGCUCCAAGCCCCCAAGUGCUGUGGAUAGAUAAACUCCCAGGAUCACAGGGAAAAGAAAGCAACACCACACCGAGACAGGAAGAUAUGCGAAAAGCAGAUGCAAGACAACAAACAAAAGUGAAAUGAUCCACUGUCUCAGGGCCUCCUUGCAUACCUCGAUUAGGAUUGUCCAUUUCCCUGCUGUAAGAUGAUCCAUUGUUAAAACAUUAUUGAGGGCCUUUGAACAAAAAAGGGGUCACUUACGAGGAAUCCCGGAACUCCACACCAUAAACCUUCCCUCCCUCAAAGUCACAAGUACAACUCUUAAUUCACAAGUGUAGCUUUAUACUGUGAAAAUACUACAAUGAGCAUCUCUUCUCCAAUAAAGAAAUUCUCAUAUUCUGAAAUUUACACCAUAUUAGACAAACUAAGAAACUGUCAAAGUUUCUAAAAGAAAAAUCUAUUACAAUCAUCCUGAAGUCAAUAGUAGGCCCAGCCCCAGACCACAAGCAAACUCAUGCCAGUGGAUCUCAAAAAGAAAAUUGAGAAGAGGCUGCCACUGCAAAUUACUUGCGUCCAUAAAAAGAACAACGAGUCUAGCAUGAAAACAAAAACUCUAAAAGUACUGAAAAAAUUAAGGAAAUGAAUUGUGGGUCCAUCCCAUUUCGACUUGUCACAGCCAAAUAAGAUAAUACACGUCCCAUAAAACCUCACUACUCCACCCCUUAGUUUCCUAUGGCAUACCAGCAUCCUUACAUUUGCAUAAAAUACAGAUAUAAUAUCAUCUAACAGAUAUGGUAUAUCCACUGCUUAUACAACAUACAAUGGUGCAUUAGGACGAUUUCAAGUCCCAAAUUCAGAGCCAUGAAGAAGAAAACAGGAUAAGAAGCUAUUAAUAAGCACCAGAUACUUACUUGACAAUUGCUCUUCUUGCUUUCCAGAAAUGUUUAUGACCUAUUAUUCCAACAACAUCAUCAGGAGACAUAUCCACGCCUGACAUAGAAUCCACCAUGGAGGUUUCAGAGACAUCGUCACUUUUAUCUCCACUUCCCAACUGCAGUGACCCACAAGUCUUGUCUACAUGGUAUCUGCUGUCAUUAUGAAGCCCACUUCGAUGGCCACAGUCUUCUGUUGAAUGAGUGUCACCUCUAGGCUGGAGAACAACUUCCUUCUGAAAAUCCCCAGUGGAGUCAACAUCAUCAUAACGACAACAGCCAUUUGGUGGCAAGCCAGCUCCAGACUCCAGUCGUAAAGAAGCAUCACUAUCAUUUAUUCUGCUAAAAUCAGAUCCUGAGAUUUCUCUAUAUUCUUGAUUAGGAGAUGCACUUACUUCCUUCACAAUCCCAUCAAUCUUUUCUCUAAUUGAUAAAUUCACAGAAGAUUUUGCAGGAAAGUUUCCAAUUGAGAUGCAAAUCUUUGGGUUCUCUUGACAAGCGUGUCCUCCCUGUUGUCUCAAACUGAUACUAGAGGAGCUACUGCGUUUUGGAUUCUUAUCGCAAGCAUUUUGGAAUUUUGUAGACUUACGGGUAUUAGACGGGUUAAAGGGAGAGAGGUUUCCCUUAUCAACAUCACUUUGAGAUUUACCAUGACAUUGUCCCAUCCCUGCCUGAUCGAAUAUAGGAACUGCAAAAUCAUCCUCCUCACUUACUUUCUUACUCUGCUCAUGAUGUUGCAAAUGAGUGUUCAAAGUGGCUCCAGCAGGCUGGUCAGAAUGACACUUCUCAUCCAAAUGAGUGGGUGUUGAAGGAUGUACAGAAUGUGCGAAAAGCAAAUUUCUUUCAAGGCCAUUCCCCUGCAAAUACAACAAUCAUUUAUAUAACUGCAAUGAAGCUGGUCCCUCAUAGAUACUCAUACAUAGAAAGCACACAAUCAUACACACAGACAUAAUUUACUCACAUUAAUCAGAAGUAUCAUAUGUGUAUCACCAAUUAACAUAGGUAAAAAUGAAGUUUUCCUCACAUGUAAACAAAAACAAGUGCACAAACAGUCAGAAGGCCACUGGCCACCCACCAAUAAGACAAAAAUCAGAAAUGACUAGCUGCAACGAAUGAAUCUUUCAAUUCCCCUGGGAGUACAUAAGAAUUUCACUAACACUUGAAAAGCCAACAUCAAAGUCAAACACUUGAUGACCGUAUUAAGAUCUACUUAAACAAGAAGCUUCCAUCACAAUAGGAAAAAACAAAAUAAUUAGUUUUUUUCAUCAUAAUUCAACUGAGCCAAUACAACAAUACAUAAUAGUACCCUUUAGAUUAUCAACAUUGGCAAUACUUUAUCAACAAAAGACCUAGAAGAUCACUCGUGAACUUUUCACCUAUCUCUAACAAAUCAGUUACAGAAGUUGUUGAAGGUACCUGGCUUGAAGAAACUGGAGGAACCAAACUGCUACUGUUUGAUGGAUUCAGAGGCAAAACACCGGUACUAAACCUCUGAGUAGGGAUACUGAGCUGUUCAUAAAGGGCCAUCUUGUUCCUAGGCGGUGCUCUUGGUCCUCCUUUCUCAGUAUCAUUAACAUGUAAUCUAGGGAACAUUGGUCCCAUGAUCUUUUCAUCAUCUUUUCCUCUCUUCAUUUUUUUUUCAACCUAUCUAUUCUAAACAGAACUCAAAAACUAACCCAAAAUGAAACAACUUGCUUCACAUCAAAUUCACUAACAAAUCCCAUGAAAGUCACCUAGGAAUCUAAAACCCACCAGUAGAAACUCACAAUUCAACAUACCCAGAAAUCAAAAUCAGUUCUUUGUAAAUAUCAAGACUCAAAUCUUUAAACAACACAGAAUCUACUCAAGCCUCCAAAACAAAAACUUACCAUAAAAAAAAAUCAAAAUUUCACAAACCCAGAUAACCAAAUCGGCUCUUUCACUAAAAAUCUCUACCAACUUACAAAGCUCAACAUACACACAAUUCAGUCAAAAGUUGGAGCUUAGUAGCUGAAUCGAUGUGGAAAAUGAAAAAAAAAAGGUGAAUUCUUUUAGGAUAUUUGCAAAAUUGUGAAAGCAUAUACAAGAUUGUUAAAAAAGAGAGGGAAUCGAACAAAUUCGAUAAGAAGAAAGAAGGGAUUGGGCUUAUGCUCAUAUAGGGAUUCCUGAGAAGUACAGCGACUUUUAGGAAAAGGGAAAGUGAAAAGUGCUGGAUCCGGGCCCACUUCGGAUAGGCCUAGAAGGCCUAGCACAUUGAUUUUUAUAUUAAAAACCAUGAUCUGGAUUUGUUGCCAGCUUGCUAUUUUAAUUUUAUUUAAUUUAGAUGUUUACGUUAGUUAUUAUUACCCAGUGAAUUGGCUCUUUCGCUGCAAAUUUCUUUAAAUCCCAAAUGAUUCUAUCCAUUUCAUUAAAAAUAUAGUUAAUUACUCAAUGAGCACUUGGCGUUAACAUCAAUAUUUGUUAAUUAUGUGAUAUCAGUAAUUUUAUUAGCAUUUUUAAUAUUUACUAACAAAAAAGACUUCAACCUUAUCCUCAUAAAAUUAUUUUGUUACUUAUUUCAUUAGGAAUUAUUGAUGUUUUAAUACAUUACAUUCAUGUAUUUAUAAUUCAUGUGACGGUAUUAAUACUCUUAAAAGAAGUUCUCUUUUACUCGUAGCUCGCGUUUAAUAAUAAAAUGAUUGUUUUUCAUAAAAUUAGUUUUCUCUUUCUCAUUUUUGUGAUAGUUUUCUCUUUUCUUUUCUUUUUUUUAAUAGUUUUGUCUAUUUUAAAAAAAUUUCUCUACUUUAUUAAUGUUAUUUGUAGAAUUUUUUUUCUUUUUUACUUAUUUUGUGGUUAGACCGGAGUCAAGAUUUUUCUCUAAUCUCGUUCAUUUAAAUAGCUUCUAAUUAAAGAUCUUUUAAUUUAUACGACGUGGCUUAUUAAUCAUUUUUCACACUCUCUUAUUAUGGAGUCAGGAGAUUACAUUUCAAAAUCUUGUUCGUGAUAACAAUGAUUUUGUGAAAGGAGCCGCAACAGCGGCGCUCGCCUACCUAUUCUUGAAAUAUUGGGGCCUGUAAUCUGUAUAUUCACUUUCUAAUUUGAUAUCGAUUCUUCCCUAAUUAGCGUUUCUCGUGAUCAGCGUUUCUGUGCCACAAAUACACGGUCUGUCACAUGUCAAUAGAAUCAUAUCUCUUUCAAUGACGUGGCGCGAAGUGAGUGGUGUACUCCUUGCGGACUUAUUGUUACGGUAAACAUCAGAACCAAACUCUUUUUGCCUUUUUUUAACUUUUUCUCAAUUUAAAUUCAUUUCCGGAAAAGAAAAAAGACAAGCCAGAAUAAAAACCCUAAUAGGGUACAAUACAGAGGGGAAAAGAAAAAAAUUUUAAAAAAAAUUGAUCUGGUUGGAUGGUCCCGAUGACAUGGCUUCGUCUCCUUCUCAUCAAACUCAUAUUCCCCUCUCUUCAGACCCUGGUAAUUAAUUAAUUUAAUUUACAUUUAAAUUUUUUUAAAUUUCGAUCCAGAAUUUUAAUUUUUGAAAUUUAGGUUGUAAUUGAGCAUUUGCAAAUCGUUAAUUGGGGAUUGCUCUGCUCAUUUGAUUAGAUUCGUUUUUCAUUUAACCUUUUGUAUUUUGAACUUACCUUCUGUUUGGUUACUUAGAAAUUAUACGAAGAUGAAAAAUUAUGUUCUUUAAGAAUCUUGAAUCUAAUUGGAAAUGGAGAUUUUUUUGGAAACAAUUUCAAAUUCACGCACUAAUUUGUUAGAAUCACAUUUACAAUUUGUUUUCUUAAUUUGUUAUAAGCAACUGAUAUAUUCUUUUUCGAGUUAUUGGUUGAAACUUUAUUGAGUUGCAACAAUUUUUUUUUUUUGCUGUCUUUUUUCUUAUAUUUCAGAUGGAAAGCCCAUAGAUUCAGUGGUUCCAAUCCAUAUUGUGACCAAUGCUUCUCAACUUCCUGCUGAGUUCCUGGAACCAUCGUCUGAGAGGCAAUUGGUCAUUGGUUUUGACUGUGAGGGAGUUGACCUUUGUCGCCAUGGAAGUCUUUGUAUUAUGCAGGUAUAAUGUGUUUUGCCUUCCCGUUUGAUCCAUCUUAUAUUUGUUCGAAACGAAAUACAUCUAUUUACUUGUUUCUGUUUCAAUAGGAAUGAACCAAAUCCCAUCUACUGUACGUAUGUCAAUUUGAUUUAUGAGAAAAUUUAUAAACUUAAGCUUUGUGCUUUUUGGCAGCUAGCAUUUCCAGAUGCUAUAUAUCUGGUUGACGCUAUUCAGGGUGGGGAGACGGUUGUGAAAGCCUGUAAGCCUGCACUUGAGUCUAGUUACAUCACAAAAGUUAUUCACGAUUGCAAACGAGAUAGUGAGGUCUCUUAUUGAAUUUGUUUACUUCUGCAUCAUGGCAUGCAUGAUAUGCUUGACAGUAUGUUAUUUCUGUUUUUAAAUUUAUUUGUUUGUUUUUGUAGGCAUUAUAUUUUCAAUUUGGCAUUAAGUUGCACAAUGUUGUGGAUACCCAGGUAAAUAUCCUUUAUAACCUACUGAAAACUAUUGCAGGAUUGUGUGCCCUUUUAGUACCUUUUCAAGAUAAAGAAAAGGUGUCCAAUUUUGAGUUUGUAUGGAGACAUUAGGAAUGGAAAACAAGUGAAGUUUUGAGCAUGUCAAAGUUUCUGUUUUGUCUUUUUACCUAGAUGCUUAACUUACCUUCAUUUAUGGACGGGUCUGGAUUGAACCUCUUGCACAUAUUAUUGGCUAUGCCUGUUAAACUAUCAUUGACUUUAUCGUUAUCGGCUGGAGAGAUCUUGUAUAUGUAGAAGGAAAAACCAAUCCCAGUUGUAUAAAGAAAUUUUGCAUUGUCAGUCUGUAAUUUACUUUUGGAAAUGGUUUAUGGAGUUAUUUUGGAAACCUGUUAAACCACCAUUAGACUGAUGUGGUGCUUCGAGAUCAAAAUGUAAUGAAGGUAGAGAAGAUUGGUCCUUAGAUGUGGUUGAUGAAUUAUGAUAUUCCUUUUUAGUAAUCAAUAAUAGAAACAAAAUUCUCGUUCAUUAGCACUGGUUUGAUGUUUAAACUUGCUUUUACUUGACAUGGACUUGUACUUUUUGCUAUCACUCGUCAAUUUAAGUAUCAAUAUCCACUUUUACACUUAUGUUACGGGAACAGCAAUUAGAUUUGAAAUCAAUUAUAAAAGCAAAAUUCUUGUUCACUUUGGAGCCAUCAAUUUAUUAUUGACAUAAUCAGUGAACAUAUAUCUAAGAAUGCCUUUUUCUCCUGGUGGACUGCAGAUUGCUUAUUCUUUAAUAGAGGAGCAGGAAGGUCGGAAAAGAUCACCGGAUGACUACAUAUCAUUUGUUGGUCUUCUCGCAGAUCCACGCUAUUGUGGUAUUUAUAUGUCGUGGUAUCCAUUUAAGUAAAUAUUUGUUUCGUGUCGUCGAAACUUUUUGUUUCCUCAAUGUUUGUUUGUUUGGUCAACUUUUUAGUGAGCAGAGUUUAAAUUGCUUUCGAUAUUUUAUCCUUAGUAGUUACCCCUGAUACCUUUCUUUUGUUAAGCCAGUUAGGUAUUCCUGAUUUUGAAGUUAGGAUUUGUAGACAAUUUUCUUUUCCCUGUGUGCAAUUAAGCCAACCAAGACUAGAAAAUAGAUAAGAAGCAAAGAAGAUGCAUUAGUUUCAUCAAUUGCUGUAUUACUGCUUUUACAAUCAUCUUCUAUUCAUCUGGUUACCCUGCUCUGCUGUAAAGUGGCACUCUACACUUUUUAGUUCUUUACUUGAUUUUUUUGCCCUAUCUCUGCAGAGAUUUGAUAAAUAAGGUUUUGUCUUGCCUUUCUGCUCAGGAUUAAGUUUUGGUUUUGUGACUUGAUAGAUUUAAGAGCAUCUUUUUGUUAUAGACUUGAUUUAUUAUUCAUAUUUUACUACUGUUUGAUACUGCCUGCUAGUGUUGCUAGACUCUUCAAAUUCAUGAUCAGACAUGAUUUGUUGACCAUUCUUUAAUGUCUAUGGCUGUCUCAAAGUCGCUCCUGAAAUUUUUGCAUUAAUUAUUAGGUUGCUGAAAUGUGUUGCUUUUAUUUAAACGCAGGUAUAUCUUAUCAAGAGAAGGAAGAGGUUCGUGUACUCCUUAGGCAGGUUAGUUUUGAAUCUAAUUCAUUCUGAAAUUCUGGGCUAUGGUAGUUCAAAUUUUUGGAUCCUAGAAUUAAAAGUAUUCUUGUUGCCUUGGUUUGAUUCUAUCAAAUUCUUUGGGAUGUGGCUUCUUGGGAAGCCAAAUUCUGUUGUUUGGAAGAUUGUGUGAUAGAUUUCACAAUGUAAUAAAUGGCUUCCAGCUAGAAAGGAUAUCAGUAUAUGCUCUUUUACAACAGUUUGCAAGCUAUUAGACUUAAACCUCAAAAUUUAAAACAAGUACACUGUAAAUGUUGAUUAUGAUCAGUGCUGACACUUGGCCCACGUACUCACCAUCCUAGAUACUUAGACAAUUAUGUUUAAAGUUACUGUAUAUAGGACCAUGUUGUUCUAUGAGACAUGGACCUAAAACUUUGAAACAACUUGGACUCUUAGUGUUCAUGAAAAUCAGUGCUGACUCUUUGCCUAAAAACUUACAAAUGCAGACUGAUAAUUUUCAUGAAAAGCAGUGCCAACACUUGACAUUAUAUUUUAUGUUUGCCCAAACAACUUCCCUUUUCUGAUGCUAAGACAAUUUUGUACACAAUUACUGAUAGAUUGAAGAUCCAACUAGUCUGCAACAUGUGCUACCACAGUAAUUGUUCCGCUGGUUGUCAUGUGCAGGACCCCCAGUUUUGGACAUACAGACCACUAACUGAACUGAUGGUCCGAGCAGCUGCAGAUGAUGUCCGCUUUCUACCGUACAUCUAUCACAAUAUGAUGAAGAAACUAAACCAACAAUCCUUAUGGUACCUUGCAGUGCGUGGUGCACUAUAUUGUCGUUGUUUCUGCAUCAAUGAAAAUGAUUAUGUGGAUUGGCCACCUCUCCCGCCUGUUCCAGGUUUUUAUAUCUUGUCAAUUUCCAUACUGUUAUAGAUUAGUGUAACAACAACACCCCACCCCCCGGCGCAUUUGCAUAUUCCCCGGAGUGUAACAAAUUUGUCAAUAGACUUUGUCCAAUCACCAUUUUGCACGAGGGAAUGUUUCCUUGCAAUUACUCAUGUUGAACAUGCGACAUGGGAAGAACAGUCAAAAUAGGGGAGGAAGCCUGGUGUUUGGGUUUCUGAAACUUGUCUACCUUGAUUCCAUUUGAAUUAUAAAUACACGAGGCAAAUUCCAAUUACAUAUCACGCCCACUUAUGCAUGAGUUGAGUUUCAAUAUAGAAUUCUCUGCUCAUAAGCUUCUUAUUAAUAAUGCACUUAAUCAAUCAAUCAUCCAGCAUCCUAUUAACAAACUUACCAAAGAAGAUAAAGUGUUGCUAUGGUGUUGUAAAGUAUCUGCUUAUAGUUUGGUCUAGCCAAUGUGUUUCUUAUGAUUUAUAUCUACUGUUCUGCUGUCUUUCAUGAUCAAUAGGACUUUGGGCUUUCAGUUUAAUAUAAGAGCAUGUUAAAGUCAUUAUCUAAAUUCUGAAUAAGAUGAGUGAUUCUUGAUGGUUGAAAUGUUGCAUAUAUUUAGCGAGAAACAUAGUGCAUUAGUUGUGCAACCCCUUGGUUAGAAAAAUCUGUAUAUAAGCAGCUUAUGAUUUUUAAUAUUCAUUCACUACAGAAUGUUAUUUUGGAUGGUAUCUAGAUUGAUAGUCAUUCAAAACUUGUGAUGUGUUGUUUUAAUAACAUUAUAUGUAAAGUUUCGGCAACUUUUUGUUUUCUUUUUUCCAUAAGCUUGGUAAACCUGCUGUUAGGAUUUCAAUGUGUUGAUCUAGGUGUGCGGUUCAUCUAUGUAGAUUACUUGAUAGUGGAGGGAGAUGUUCCUGAAGAAGAAAUUCUAUCAAUUCUUGAUGUACCCCCCGGAAAGAUGGGACGUAUAAUAGGAAGAAGAGGGUCUUCUAUUUUGGCUAUAAAGGAAUCUUGCAAGUAUAUAUACCUCUUUCUUCUCUCUGUGUAAUGCAUAUCACAAUUUCAUGUUUGAAAAUGCUAAAUUGAUUAUCUUGGUCGCAAUUUUGCAGUGCCGAAAUUCUCAUUGGAGGUGCCAAGGGUCCACCUGACAAGGUUAGUCUACAAAAACUCAAAAUCUAUUGAAUAAUUAUAUUUUCACCCACACAAAAACAUUAAUCUCCUCGCGCAAACUCAAAGAGUUUCUGUUGAUUUAGGAUGAAAGCCUACAUGUACACUGUGAUGUGGGAGUAUGACUGAAUUUUUCAAUCGCAAUGCUAAAUGAAGGACCACACUAGUGCGUUUGUGACAGGAUCCUCCAUUUUUAUCUUUCUAAAAAUGAGAAUAAAUAAAUGACUAAGCAUUAGUAUUCUCACUCCUCUGGCCGCAGCAUGCAAUCAAAACGCAUAUGGUUGUGAAGUUGAUUUAUAUGGUUUGAGAAAUUUCGGAAGCAUUGUGGACAUGUCCUAAGCCUGCUUAGCAUUGAUUAAAGGGCUCUAUAAUUUCAACACUGCUCACCUCUUUUAAUCUUUUAUAAGUUAUAUUACUUAUAUUACUUUAUUACCUUCUCUGAGUUCACUUCUUUGUUGUCAAUUUGCUCCCCCAUUAUUUUGUUAAUUCAUGCUCAGACUUUAUAUAGUGCCUCAAAUUUUUCCGUGAAUCUCAACAGCAAAAUAUUACAGGAACUUUUGAAAUGCUGUAUCAGGUUGUUCAGCGGAACCUCUUCAAUUAUUUGUCGUUAAUUUUGCUUUACAGUUUAUUUUGUUAUUCUCAGCCAUCCUUUAUCAAAGUAUAACAAAAACUUUUAAGGUGAUGGAUUUAGGUUCAUGCAUGUAUAGGAAAAAGGACUCUUCAAAAUAAGGUGUAGAAAUCUGUCUUUCAAGAGCCUGAUAAGUAGUGGGUUCAUGCAGGUAUUCAUCAUAGGACCGGUGAAGCAGGUGAGGAAAGCAGAAGCCAUGUUGAGGGGAAGAAUGCUGGAGAUGUAUUAAGGAACAUAUGUCAUUAUGCUUGUUUGCAACUCUACAAUAAUAAUCACAAGUUCCAGUGGAUUAAGUUUUCUUCUUAAUGUUGUGGCCCUUCCUCAUUAUAUGGUACAGAGUAAUGAUCAUUCACCCUGUAGUAUAGUCUUUAAGACCAUAUAUUUAAUUCCUGUGGUGCUGUGGUUGAACGUGAAAGUUCCGUAGCGAAGCACCAAAACCUGUUUAUUGAGUGAAACAAUAUGUCUAGGUAAACGAUAAAUGAAAUCAAAGUUAAAUAACUACAGGACCAAUAAAAAUGGUUGUAGAAUCAUCAAAUUAAACCUGUUUAUUGAGCAGAUUAAUUUGAAUUCCUAUCCUCCGGUGGUCUGGACCUACGACGGUAGACUACCAUUGUGACAAAAAAUCUUUCACGGUCGGAGGAAAUUUUAAUUUUUGUUGUAUAAAUUUUCUGUUUUGGGACAUGUGACAAACGAAGAAGCUUUAAAAAAAAUCAUAAUCUUUGCAAAUUAAGAUCAUAUUUAAAAUUGAGGUGUAACUUUUGACGUCAAAAACACAAAAAUUGAUACUGUAAUUAUAAAAUAAAAAUUAAUAGUAUGUGGUCAAUGUAAUUUUUAAAUAAUAAUUUUAAUAAAAUUAUUUAAAAUAUAAUAAAUUUUUGGUCAUACAAAUAAAAAAUUAUAUUAACAUAAUUUUUAAAAUACAACAAACUAAACACUUUAGUUCCAAUAUCAACCCCAAACAGGUCUUAACUCUAUUGUCCGAUGCCAAUGCAACUGAAAACGAGUAUACUUAUAGCCUGACAACACCUAUGAACGUUGCAACGUCCCCUAUCGGAAAUGUUCUAGAGCAGCAGAGUUUCAAAUUGCCAAUUUACUUCAUUCAAAAACAUGAAGCAGAUGAAAAUUCCUCCCAAUAAAUAACCAAGCAAGGAGCCACCACAACUCUGCACGACUUAAAAUAUUUGCAACUUCGCAUCCGAUUCGGUUUAACUUACAACAAAAAGUCCUGUAAACUCUCUGUUCAUGAUUACACAAUAAUCAAGUCACUGUAUUGUUUAAUAUGUAUUUAUGGACAAGAAAGACUCAGGCUUGCAAUAUGCUCAACGCUUCGAAUAUCUUAACCGAAUAGGCAAAGAAUAGAGAAUACAGUAGUGAAAUGAACAUGAACAUGGGAAAAAAUUACUUUUUAAAACUACCAAAUUGAUAUUGUUGGCUGCCAAAAUUUGAGAAUGGGUCAUCUCCUACCGACUGUGGAGAUGUGAACCCAGAUUUACUGAAACCAGUUCCAGUGCCCAUCGCUCUCCCCAUGUAAAAUGAUGUUGGUGGACCCUUUUCCCUUUCAUCUGAACCAUCACUUAAUCCACCCACAACCCCUACAUCUGCCAGUGAUACCUUCUUGGCUGCAAAGUGCACAAAGUACCGUAUGAGAGAAACCUAAGGUAAUUAAUUCACAAUAACAGAAGCGGGGAAGACAUGUCAAAAAACUGUUAUAUGAUGCAAAUACAGACGUCAGUAAUAGAUCUGAAACAGUAAACAUGUGACUGUACUAUGCUAGGAAAUUACAGUACUUAGGAAGAUAAUACUUACAAGCAGAUAUAUUAAGAUCAAUGAUCCCACGACUUAAUGAAUCUGCCCAAAUUCCAGACUUCACCUGGAAAGCAUCCUUUUUGGUUGGAGGAUUUGAGACAGCUGAACACGUUCCAACCAAGUUAUUGAGGCUAGAAUCACUGGCAGCAUUUUGUGUGGUUCCCGUAGAUACUGAAUUUGAGUCGGAAGUGAAUGCUCCAAAGAAAUCAGAUCCAUCAUAAUUGUUCAGUGGAACCGUCGCAAAUGGAUCAACAAUAUUAGUAGUUGUUGGCUCAGAUUUUGGAGCCUUAGGUUCUGGAUGCACAGCUGGUUCAGGGGCAGCAAAAAGGUCAACUGGUGCAGGAGCUGCAGAAAAAUCCACGGGUUGAGAAGAAAAUAGAUCAACUUCCGUCUGCAUAAAUGGACAGUAAAAAAUAUAAGAUUAGCACAUAAACAAAUUCAUUUUAGCCAAGGGAGAAUUAUUACACCCUGAUUCCUGCUUACUAUAAACCAAUGCCUCUAAAAUUCCAAAAGUAAACCAAAGUAUCUUUCAAUUUAAUUAAUCAAACAAUUUUAUACAUUCUUUAUGCUCUUAUUAUUGCCAGGUCCGUUAUAACUCAUCCAGGUAAUGUAGAGGAAAAAAAAUUAUUUCAGACUUCUGCAGGUAAUUCCCAAGUCAUCAAAUGCCUUCUCAACAACACACAAACACAAACAUGCAAACACAUAACAUAUGGCAUUUCUAGAAACAUAGAGGAAAAACAAUCUGACCUUAGUCUGAGAAUUUAGUCCCAUUCCUUGCUCAGGUUGUGCUGACACAAAAGUUGCAUCAGCAAAAAGAUCAACCUCUGAGGCAUUACCAUUCGUGGCAGAUGUUUGAGCAGGGGCUGGAGUUGGUGCAUCCAUGAGAUCACCAAUCAAACUAUCUCCAAAUGGAUCCACUUGCUUAGAGUUCCCAGCAGCAGACUCUGUCGAAUAGGCCAAUCCACAACAUAUAGUGAGACACACCUUGCUAUAUGAAUUAUUAGAAAAGGAACCGGCAGUAAUCAUUAGUAUCAACUCUGGUAAUACUUUCUGCAUUCAAUGAAGCAGAAAUUUGGUUUCCACCAAGUAUCUAAUCGUACAUAUUCACUAUAAUAAUAUGAAGUGCAUCUGGUAGAAAUUCUUUCUACAACUACCACAUAAACACUGUUUUGCAGAAAUGGCAUUGGGCACUACAAGGUUUCCACAGCAGCACCAAAUUUCCGGCACAGGAUGUAUACAAUCAUGUAUGUUAUCAAUGAAUCGAUGCCUUGCUAACAGUGAUCAAGCUCUGUGGACUUCAAAUAAUGUCAAAAACCCAUCAAUCAUCCCCAUAAAAAUCUCCUCCCUGGACCCCCUCCCACAACCCGAAAAAAAAAAAAAUACCACCCAAUGUUAUGCAUUCAAUCACUUCUUCAUGAUCAAGGAACAUUAUGUUGAAUGGUCAGAUGACACUUUUUUUUCCCCCAAUCUAUUCAUGUACAAUCUUUUUAUUUGUGGUAAUUGAUUGAAAAUAAAAGUUUAUGGAAGAUACAUACUCCACAAGGGUUCUUUAGACUCAAUUGAAGCAGACAACUGCACAACAUAACAUGUCACACAGAAUACUUACUAUUACUAGAAGUUCCUCGAGGAUCAAAAUCAUCAAAAUCGUCAUCAUACUUAUUUGAAGGAAUGCUUGAGCUUUGAGAAGGAAUUGAACUGUAUUUGUCAGAGUCAUUUGACUUCAUUGCUGAUUUUGAAGCAUUGGAUGACAUAUUGUCUUGAUCCUUGCUGCAAUUUAUCAUUAUCAAAUUAACAAUAUCAUACAUAAAACAAAAUGCAAACUUCAAAGAGGGAGCAUGUGUGAUUACGUAUCAGUGAGUGUGUGUAAGAGGGAAACUUAGACGGAGAGAGAAAAACACUGGUACGGCAUCCUCUUAACCAACUAUCACAAGUGACUAUAUAAAAUUCAAUAUUAAUGCUAUUGCAUGCCAAGCAAUAACACGAAUCUCUUCUCAUGGAGCCAAUAUAAAAAAAUAUAUAUAUGGAGAUAUCUCCAAGAAAACCUUUAAAAUCUUAGCACAUAUGCCAAUCU